AUCGAUAACACCACGUUCGAUGAUUAGACGUUCAAGGACUGGGAGAUGGCAUCUGAACAACUCAGGUACGAGAAACGCUAAUUUCGAGCAGUUAUAGAUUAACAGUGAUUUCAGUGUAGUGGGUAAACCAACUUUGUGCAGGGAUCUAGAAAAAAUACAAUCACAGAUUUUCAGAUCAUGAAUGUUGGUUUGCGAGAUUUCCUCCUCUAGCAGAGACUCCACAUAAUCACAUUUUCUAAUUGACAGCUGGUGUGGUGCCAUUGGAAGUUGACUCCACUGAGACACAUCUAAAAUUUCAAUUUCUGAAGUUUGAAGAGGUGUGAAGUCACAACCUGGCAUUUGCAACCGCAGUUUACCAAAAUCCACCAUCCUCAACUGACGAAUUGCAGGAACUGUGAGUGAAGCCAUAAGCAGCUGCGGACAUCCAUCAAUUUGAAGUUCCACCAAUGAAAGAAGCUGUUCUGGUAAUUUCCCAGUGAGUUUGGGACACUUUCGUAUAAAAAGCUUUUGGAGACGAGGGAAUUCUCCACAACAUAACCAUUUCUCCCAGUUCUUCAUAUCCUCAAAUGAUAGUGUUUCUAGGAAUUGAAAGGAAGCAUUCUCAUAUAACUCAUCACCCACACACUCUACUCCAUUCAUCCUUGAGAUUUGCAGAUAUUUAAGCUGGGUUAGCUGUCCAAGUGGUGGCAAUGUUGAGCAAUUGCCACAACCCCGAAGCUCAAGGGACACGAGAUUCAACACUGAAGGAUCUCCAAGCCAAUUUGGAAAUCCUUCACCAGGAUAGUUUGUGAUGGAGAGUUGUUUUAAAUUUGGAUGAGGUUGUAACUUGUUGAGUAUAUCAUGCGUUGUUGCACCACUUUGUGUAACACCACUGGUACCCCAACCAAAGAUUAACUCAUAAAGAUAACUUUUAUCCUUCAUAUUAGCCCUUAAUGCAUCAUUAACACUCACCACAUUCUCCAUGUUUGAAAUACAAAGUUUUCCUCGAAUCUCUGACAGCUCCCCCAAUUCUCCAAUUCUUAAUCCAUCGUUUUGGCCCACAAUAAAUUGAGUCAACCUUUGUAAACUUUUUAAUCGACCAAUUCCAUGACUUGACAUUUCUCUCAAUGAACCACAUCCAUCAAUAUCAAGAUAGCGCAAAUUAAUCAAUUUUCCCAUCUUUGAAGGCAAUUCAUCAAGUUUUGAACAAUUUCUCAGCAUCAUCGUUUGUAAAUUGCAUAAACAACAUGCUGAUUUAGGUAAUUUUUUAAUCCUCGUGGAAGACAAAUCCAAGUAACGCAAAUGUUUUAAAUUACCUAUCGAUUUAGGCAAAUCAGUUAUUGUAUAUGCACAUAAUGAUAACACGCGUAAACACCACAUUUUUGGUAAUAUAUCUUGCAAAACUCUUUUACUCAACUUAUACAAAGGAAGAUCAACCCAUGGCUUCACUCUUAAGAAUGUCCGAAGAGAUUUAGCUUUAGGGACAGCCUCAAAAUUCUUAAAUGCAACAAGCCUGGUAUCAUCACUAUUAAAGUACAAAAAGUGGCGAGCCUUCUCAGAUACUUCUGGUGGUAACUUAUCAUCAUCUUCCACUCGAGCACAAAAAUCUCCAGACACGUAUUGAGCCAAUUCAUGUAUUAGAUCAUGCAUUACAAAGCAUGAUCCUUCUAUUCCAAUAGAUUUUUGAAAGAAAGACUUGGCAAGAAGCUCAUCAAAAUAUGACUCACCGAUCUCUUCCAUUCUCCUUCCUUUGUUUUGUUGUGCAUGUAAAAGACCUUCUGCCAUCCAUAAUAAAAUCAGCUCCUCUUUGUUGAAUUGGUGGUCCUGGGGAAAAAUAGAACAAUAAGCAAAACAAUGCUUCAGAGGUAAAGAAAGAUGAUGGUAGCUUAAUAUCAAAGACGGAAGAAUUUCGGAGCCACGCUGCGGAUGCCAUAUUUCACUUCUCAACACAUCGUCCCAUUCCCUUUUUUCGUCCUUAGAAUACAAGAGACAGCCGAGUGCUUUCACAGCCAAAGGCAAUCCUUGGCACUUGUCCACAAUCUGUCUGCCUAUGCGUUGAAGCUCAAGGUAUGCGUUGGGGUCUCUAUCUUCAAAUGCAUGCUUUUUAAACAGGGACCAACUAUCUUCAGAGCUUAAUUCCCCAAGAUGAUGAGUAGGGACUGCUCGCAUGGUUGUUGCAACAGAUUGAUCACGACUGGUCACGACAAUCUUGCUUCCCUCUGCUGCGAGGAGUGGAGUUCGUAGAAUAUUCCAAACUUCACGAUCACUAAGCUCCAUAUAACCUUCAUCACGAGGCUUCAAAUUCCAGACGUCAUCAAGAACAAGCAGAAAUUUCUUGUUACGAAGUUGCUCUGUGAGUUGAAGCUGAAGCAAAUUUAGGUUGUCAGCGGAAGUAGGUGGAGAACCAAUUUCCUCAAGAAUUGUUUUGGUGAGUUUGAUAAGGAAAAACUCAGUGGAAACACAGACCCAUGCUUGCAAGUCGAAGUGUUUCUUCACUUCCUCAUUUUUAUAGAGACGCCGAGCAAGCGUGGUCUUGCCGCUGCCGCCCAUGCCCACUAUGGACAUCACCCCCAUUUUGUCGCCUGUUGUAUUGUCAGAACGCAACCACUCCACCAUCUCCUUCUGAAUUCCAUCCCUGCCGACAAAAAUGGAGUCAUGCUCCAAAGAAGUGGUUAUUGGUGAUCUUGGUCUUGGUGACCGUUUCUCGCCCCCACCUUCUGCCAGCCCCAACCCAACUUUUUCUAGUGCGAUUUUUUCCAGUUGAACAAUCAUGCCCCUGACCCUGGACUCCAUGCUUUUGAUAGCAAAUGGGGCCUUCACAGAAGCAGAGAACUUCUUCCAUUUCCACGCCUUAAGAGUUCCGUCGGUAACGAUCUCGUCCAGCAGGUCUUCCGCACCAUACACAGCAUCCUUGACAGGGACGAGCCACUCUUUGACAUUUGGGUUCGAAAAUUGCUUCACCUCCGCAUCAUCGAGCACAUUGUGAACAACCACGAGUUUCCUCUUCAACUCGUUGAGGAGUUCAUCGCUAAGGCUCCGUCGCCGAAUGAAGUUUAUGAGCUCUGGAGAAGCCAACCUUUCGAAUAGAACUUGAAGCGAAGUUGAGAGGAGGGCGUCCGCCAUAUCUGUGUCGACUGUUGCUUUGCAAUAGGAAUUCAGAGGAUUGGUUUCUGUUACCGCGAUACCACCAAACUGCAAAAGACUGGGUUUGGAUUACCACACUGCAGAAUGCUUGAAGGAAUCAUUAUUGGUGGUGGACCCAGCUGCCAGAUAUUGGUGGUGGACCCAGCUACACUGCAGAAUGCUUGAAGUUAUUGGUGGUGACCCAGCUGCCAAUAUUUGUCAAACACCAUAGUGGUGAGAAAAAGAACAGGAAAAGCGAGUGGGAGGUAGAUGCGCUUUCCCCAAGGAAAGCAGAAUCAACAACAGCAUUCGGUAUUUUUCUUUUUCAUCUACGCAUUUCUUCUUUCUUUCUUCUAGUAUUAUUAUUAGUAGACAUAUACACACAAAUAUUUGUUUAUAACAUUUUCAUUCUUAAUAUUAUAAAAUUUAUUAUUAAUAAUAUUUAUACUAAUAUUAUUUUUUAAUAAUUAUAUUAGUAUCAGGAUUUUAUAAUUAGUAUCCUUACUUUUAUUGCUUAUAAUAAUAAUUAUUAUUAUUAUAUUAUGUUAUUAUUAAAAUUUAUUAGUAUUUUCACAUAAACAAUGAUAUAUGCAUAAGACAUAUUAAAAUUUUGAAUAUUAUGGUUAUUAUUAUUUAAUAAUAAUAUUAUUAUUUGAUUCAAAAAAAGUUUAUAAUAUAAUAAUAACAAAAAUAAUUUUUUUAAUAAAAUAAAUUAUAAAAAUAUAAUAAUUUUAUUAUUUAUAAAAUACAUUUAUUUUAAUGCAAUUAAAAAAAUUAAAAUAAUUUUAAAAAAUUUAAAAAUUUUCAAAAAAAAGUUAAAUGGGACGGGAUUAGGAUGGGAUCGAUCCAUCCCAAUGUCGUCCCGUUGUCAUCCCUAACUCAUCUUGUGAUAAUUAAGGCCAUUUUUUAUCAUUGUUUUUUUAAAAUGGUCUUUUAUCCUUAAUAUAUAUAUAUAUAAUAAUUAGAAAUAAAACAUAAUUUUUGUUUUUAAAAAUAAAAAAUAAGGCAUUUUUAGAUCAUAUCCUUUUAGUUACUUUUAUUUGUUUUUAAAAAGUAAUUAUAUAAAUAUAAAAAAUAAAAUAAUUUAAAUAAAAUUUAUUUUUAAAAUAUAGAAAAUUAGUUAAUAACACUUUAUCUUCUCAAGCUCUUGUUUUAUAAAAUAUCAUAAAAUAAUUUUCAAAAACUUUUUUUUUUCACAAUUUUGACAAACAAAACGUGUUGCAAUAAUGCACUUAAAUUCAAUGAACCUAAAAGCCAAAUGUGCAGUGUUGACUUUUCAACAGAGAGUUCACACAUGCCCAUUUUUUUAAUUAAAGCACUAUUGAUAUAAAAUAUAUAUUUAAAUAAAAAUUAGACUUUUAAAAAAAUUAAAAUAUAUUUUUAAAAUUAAAAUAUAUUUUUAAAAUGUUAAAAAAAUAUUUACAAUAUUUCCUUAAAAAAAACAUCUUCCAAAAACAUUUCUUUAAAAAAUACUUCCACCGAUAACAAUUUAGACACACUUGUGAUUUAAUAGUUAAAUAUUCUUUCCAACAGGAAUUCAACUAUCAGUUUGUAUUACCACGAUACCACCAAACUGCAAAAGACUAAUUUUGGAUUACCAAAAUGCAGAAGAGCUGAAGGAAUCAUUGAUGGUGGACGACCCAGAUGUCCACAUUAUUUGUCAGACACCAUAAUUGAGUGAUGAGGAAAUGAAAGAAAAGAAAAUAAAAAACAAAAAAGGUGAUGCCAAACAUGGUCUUAUAAGGUGGGUGGAGCGAAAGCAACAAAGGAAACUAGCAGGAUUUUUCAUUGCUAUUCCAUACCUUAAAGGACAAAUUUUGAAUUACCAAAAUACAAAAGACUUGAAGGAAUCAUUGAUGGUGGUGGACCAGAUGUCCACAUUAUUUGCCAAACACCAUAAUUGAGUGAUGACAAAACAAAAGAAAAAGCAAAAAAGGUGAUGCCAACAUGGUCUUGUAAGGUGGGUGGAGCAAAAGCAACAAAACAAACUAGUAGGAUUUUUUUAUUGCUAUUCCAUAUCUCAAAUGACUAAUUUUGAAUUACCAAAAUAUAGAAGACAUGAAGGAAUCAUUGAUGGUGGUGGACCAAGAUGUUCACAUUAUUUGCCAAACACCAUAAUUGAGUGAUGAGAAAAUGAAAAACAAAAAAGGUGAUGACAAACAUGGUCUUGUAAGGUGGGUGGAGCGAAAGCAACAAAGUAAACUAGCAAGACUUUUCGUUGCUAUUCCAUACUUCAAAGGAUUGAUUUUGAAUCAUCAAAAUACAGAAUACUUGAUGGAAUCAUUGAUGGUGGUGGACCCCGAUGUCCAUAUUAUUUGCCAAACACCAUAAUUGAGUGAUGAGAAAAUGAAAAAAAAAAAAAAGUUAAGAAAAAACAAAGAAGUGAUGCCAAACAUGGUGUCGUGAGGUGGGUGGAGCAAAAACAACAAAACAAACUAGUAGGAUUUUUUGUUGUUAUUCCAUACUGAGAAAAUAAAGGGCUAUUCUAAAUAGAUAAAAACACCCAAGAGAGGAGGUGAAUAGAAGUUAAAAAAUUUCUUUUUAAACACAAUAAAAUUAAGCAUAAGAAGUACAAAUAUAAAGAAGUAAGGUUAUAGAAAGUAAACUCAAAUUUAUAGUGGUUCGACACUUCCUUACUUACAUCCACUCUCCUCAAGCUCCUAAUCGAGUGAGGGUUCCACUUAUACUUGAAGUUUCAACCAAACUUCUAAUCACUUUUUACACUUGGAUUCCAUCUCCAAUGGACUCUUACACAAUCUUUUCAAGUCUUUACUCACUUGAAGGUUUUAACACUCAAUUAACAAGUUUGAAUCUCUCAACCUAGCUCAACAAUGACUCAAAUACAACUCAAGGCUAGGAUGAAUCACUAAGGUGCACUAAAGAAUAUGCAAAUGAAAAUUUAAUGCACUAAUAAAAUAAUGAGAGCUUUUAUGGCAAUAAUAAGUAGGUAAACAAAUAAAUGCAAGUGUUCUCUUACUCAUAAAUGAGGUAGAGCUCUCAAUUUAUAGGUUUCUAACCUCAGGAGCUAAAAAGCCAAAAAACAGUCUCAACUGGUUGAACUGGGGGUUGACUGGUUCAUUAGCCGUUGGAACAUUAAAUGCUUGGCAGGUGACCGUUACCCUCGACCAAACCUUAACUGAGAAGGCAAAUCCAUCAACCAGGAAAGAAAGGCUACUAGAAGAGAGAGAAUGUUUUUCACAUCUCUCAACCGGACCUUGACAUAGAAAGAGUAAUCGGUAGACCGAUACCUUAGCUGAUUGAGCCGAUUGGCCAGUGCCUCGACUAGUUCACCAUUUUUAGUCUGAAAACCUAUCUUUUUCUGGUCUUUUUGCUUCUAGCACUUAGGUAAGGACUUUAGAUAAAAUAAUAUGUCAAUUUUGAAAUGUUUUGCCUAAGGUUCAUUUGAUAGAACUCGGAUUUUGAUGGAAAUGUAACUUUAAUGCAUAAACCGAGUUUUAAAGAUGUAUGAAAUGAUAUGAAUACCCUAAGUACACUCAUGCAUUCAUCUUACGUAUGUUUCCUAUGAUUAAAAGGUCGUUCAAAAGUCUUGAUCUUGCAUUCAUUAGGUCCUUUAAUGAAUUUCCAAAUUAACACCUGAAAUUCUUUAUAAUUCAAAUCAAUUAGUAACUUAACCAUGAUUUGUUAUAAUCAAAACAUGAUUAGGAGAAUCAUUGGGCUAACACAUACCUCAAAGGACUAAUUUUGAAUUACCAAAAUAUAGAAGACUUGAAGGAAUCACUAAUCUUUUUAUAAUUUAGAAAAAUAAGUAAAACGAGUUUGAAGAAAUGUAUAAAAAUAAUUUAUUAAAUUUAAAUUUAUUUCUUAUUUUCCUUCAUUUUUUCUUUUUUUCUACUUUUUCUUUCUAUUUUCUUUCCUUCUCGUUUUCCCUCAAAUUUUCCAAGAGCCAAAUAUAGCUUAAAGGUUUAGAAUCUUAUGCACAAGACUUUCAAUUUUUUUUACAAUAUUAUUUUAUUAGUUAAGAAUUAAAAUUUAAUGUACCAUAUCUAACACUAACAAAAAAAUUUAUAACAACCAAUCUUAUCUUUUAAGAAUAUAUUGUUUAAAUGAGAUUAAAAAUUAAAAAUAAAUUUUAAUUCAUUUAACAACUAAAUUAAAAUGAAAUUUAUAUAUAUAUAUCAUAAAUUUAUACAAUUUUGAAUCAUUUUAUAUGGAGGAUUGAGAAUGGAGAGAUUGAAGAAUUGUUUGGUGACGAGGAGAUUGAUCGAAGAUUUUAUAGUCUUAAGGUUCUAUGGGAUGAAAUUUUUUGUAAAGAGUUUAAAUUUUUGUAAAAAAUAAAAUUAGUUUUAUGUUAUUUGAUUUCAUGGAAAUACAAAGUUUUAAUUCAAAGAUUAUGUUUUAAAAAUAUUAUUUUUAAAAUAUAUUUAGUAAAGAUUUAUAAAAAUUUAAAAUUAAAAUUAGUUAAUCUAUCAACUAAAUUAAAAUAAGAUUUAUAUAUUAUUUUUAUAGAUUUACAUGUGUAAAAUCUUUAAAAUGCCUCAACUUAAAAUAUCCUUACAAAAUUUCAUUAAUCUACUAGCAAUCUGCAUAUUGUCUCUACAUAGAGUCAAUUUGCAUUAGGAUGAAUACCAUCAUAAUAAUAAUUACGCUCCACAUAUGAUGUAUCUUAACAUCCACUUGGAGGUUAAAAAAUAAUUAAAGUAAGGGAAACUAAUAUAUUUAAAAUUUAAAAAUCAUUAUGAAGAUUUGGACAAUAAUUCAAGUAGGCAUCUUUGAAAUUUGGCUUCCAAAUCCCUUUGUCAAUAUACACCACCCUAUGACAAUUAAAUAAAUUAAAAGAAGGAAAAAAAAUGUUAAAGGAAUGACAAAACAUAGGGAACAAUUAUAUUUAAGGAGUGGAUGGAGUUGAUAAUGACUAAAGGGUACAAAUCUUGCAUAAUUGAACUAAAAAGGUAGAAAAGGUUUGUAGAUUGUUGUGGAAGAUAUAAACCCACUUUGUGAGUCAAAAAUGCUCAAAAUACCCUUAAGGGUGUUUUUUAAAAAAGGACAAUUAAGUACUCAUGAUAAUUAAUAUAUUAAGAUUUCAAGAAAAAUUAAUAAUAAAUAAAAUCUUUUUCUAAAUCUAUUUAACAAUCAUAUAGUUUUUAUUUUAUUUUAUUUUUUCAAGUGGCAACUAUUAUCUUAAUUUAUUUUUCAUUUUAAGGUUCAAUUAUUAUUAUUCUUUAUUUUGAAAUUUAAUUAAAUGAAACUGUAUAAGACAUGUUUAUAUUAAUUAGCUAAAAAGGAUAGAUUUUUUAGCAAUAUGAUUAAAAUAAAUAAAAACAAGGAAUUUGAUUUUCUUUAUAAAAUAGAUUAGGAAAAGUAUAUUUCGAUACAUUCGUAUGAAAAAAAAAUUCAUAAAAUAGGAACUCAAGUUUAUAAAAUACAAAUUUUAAGCAUUCAUCUAAAAAUAAUUAUCAUUUCAUGCAUUUUUUUUGUCAAAUAUAUUAUAUUUGAUAAUUUAGGUAUUAUAUUUUAAUAAUAUAAGUAGUACCUUUGACCCCCAUAAAACUUGAAUUAUUUUAAAUAGUUUCUAUUAUAUAAUUAUUUAACCAUUUGAUAUAAAUAUUAAAUAAUAAAAAAUAUAUCAUUUUUUAAAGAAUUUUAAUUAUAUUUGACUUUCUUUUGUAUUUUCUAUGGUGUAAUUCACAUAUGAGAAAAUCAUUUUCUUUAACAUUUUUUUUUCUUUCCUUAAUAAUUUUCGAGAACCAAACAAGGCUUGUAGGUUUGAAUUAUAGGGUAUAGAUGCCAAAAAUACCAGAAUGAGUUUGGGUUUUCAUGCUAAAUGUCUUUAUUAUUAUUUGGUAGCACUUUUCCAAAAUUGUUCCAUUCCCAAAACCACUUAAUUUGCUUAAAUAUUUUUACCUCACGAUAUCAUAACAUUAUAAUGGAAUAGAUUUUGUUGGUGUUCAAAUCAUGUCAACUCAAUUUCCAAACCAUUCGGAUUGUCAUUUGGUGAAAAAUAGAAAGAAAUUUUACUUUAUUGAAAAGCAUUUCAUUUUGAUUUGAAUAUGCUGCAAUGAAAUAGUUACUAAACCAUGGGGUAGCAGAAGAAGUAAUCGAGAAAAUGAAGAAGGAUGUUCAAGAAUUCUUUAUGCUGCCAUUGGAGAAGUUUUCAAGAUUUCUCCUGAGUAGAAAACUUAAUGGUAAGAGUACAAUAAGUCAUAUGAAAUUGGAGAACUGAAAGAGCAUAAGAACCAUGUUUUAUUAAAAGACCUGUGAAAGUUUAAUCAGUCAUGGAACUACUAAGAGGGGAUGAAUUAACAGUUUUCUUAAAUUUUGUCCAAAGUUAUGAAUUUUUAUUUUUUAUAAUUUUUUUUUACUUAAAUUGAAACUUAUUAAUCAAGGUAAGAUUUCAGCCACAUCGAGAAACAAUUUACGUGAAAAGGGACUGAUAAAAUCUUGAGUUUACAGAUGUAAAAACCAUAAGGCCAAAGACUGUAGAACUCCAACCCACUGAAUCAAGAAUAGAAACACAAAUUUAUCUACCAACCUACACUAAUCUCAUAUCUACAAUGCAACACCAUCGUACUCUUAAGUGACUUGAAAGGAUGUGAAUAUUUCUCACAAACUUCAUAAUGAAAUUCAAAUUAGCUCUGAGAGUUUUGGGUUAGGCACAAAGAGUAAUAAUGCAUAGCUUUUGUGUGUGAGUUUUUAAGUGAACUUAAGACUCAAUUUAAAGCAUGUAUUUUACUAAAAAUAAAAAAAUAAAUUUAAGAAACUUCAAGAAUUUUGGAAAGAUAAAUUUUAAAAAAAAUUCAAAGAGAGUCAGAAAAUGUUUCCUUUUUAAAUUCUCAAUUUAAUUUAUUUUCAAAUUUAUUAAGAGUUUAAGAAAUAUUUUCUUUUUAAAUUAUCAAUUUAAAACUCUCUUUUAAAUUAAUUUUAUUAUUAAUUUUCAUGCAAGUCUACUCUAUACAUUUUACAUCGUUAUUCUCAAUUAACUCAACAAUAUUAGAGUGUAACAUCCCCAAUUGAUUUUGCACCAACCUUAAGUCUUCAAAGACAAUGAUUGAGGCAUUUCUUCUCCUAUUUUCUCCGAUGUAGAAAAAAAACUUGAAUAAGGUUAAAGCUGGUCUAUAGCAAAAAGUCUUAAUUUGAGUUAGCCUCUUUUUUUUUUUCCAAAUGAUAUGCAGGUCCAUCUAGCCUUCAACUCAAAUUUUUUAUUCAAAAAUCACAUGUGGAUAUGUGAACAAGUAAAAGUUGAGUUUUACCUAACAAAUCAUUUUGAAAAUUAGGAAAUUUAAAAGGUAUUAGUUUGUUAAACUCACCACCCCUGUCUAUUCUACAAAACAAGAAGAUUAGCAAAGAAAAAGUAUUCAUAUUUGUACUACAAAAUAAAAAGAUUAGCAAAGAGAGAAAUUGUACCCAUGAGUGCAGAGUUUUGGGUUAAAACAACCCUUUUGAUGGGAAAAAUAUUAAAUUUAACCACUUUGUCAAACUAAUGUGUAAAAUGAUCCUUUUAUUAUCACAUAGGAGUCAUAUCACUAAUAUAUAUAUAUAUAUAUAUAUAUAUAUUUAAUUUAAGUUGAAGCCUCAAUUGCCAAUUAAGGCUUCAAUUAUCAAUUAUGACUUUAUUUUUAACCCGAAACCUUACUUGCCAAUUGAGGUUUCAACUAAAAAAAGAAACCUCAAUCGUCAACUAAGACUUAAUUUUUUAAUUGAAGCCUCAAUUGACAAUUGCGGUUUUAUUUUAAAACUGAAAUCUCAAUUGUCAAUUGAGGCUUUACUUUUGUGGAAGGAUUAUGUGACACUCACGUUACUAGAAAAAAGCCAUACUGAAUAUAAGUUUCAAAAGUGGCUUAAAAGGUAUAAAUUUUAUGAUCAAAGAUGCCAUUUUGACCCAAAAUCCCAUGGGUGCAUGAGACUCUAGUUAAUCAUAGAUUUCAUAGAUAAAAAUCAGAGUUAGGAUGAUUCAACCCCUAAGCGUCAAGAAUUCUUUAACAUAAUGUUAGAACAUUUUCCAAUUUAAAUUCGAGAGUUGACUUUAUUUGAAUGUGCUUUUGAUUUUUUUUUUUAAAUAAGCUUCAGUGUUUUUUUUAAAAAGAAAUAAAAAUAAAUAAAAAUAGGAGCUUCUAUAUAGAAAGUAAAAAUUUUAUCCAACAAAUAUAAGGCUCACCUUAUAUCCUUAUAAAAUAAAAAAUUUUAAAUUUUUUAAUACCUCAAAAUUUUUAAUCAAUAUUUAAAUAUCAUUAUAUUUUCAAUAUGAUUCCUUUAAAAGUUAAAAUUACUUAUAUUUUUUAUUUUCAAAAAAAAAAUAUAUAUAUAUAAGUAAUUUUAUGUUUUUUAAUUAUUAAGAUGGAUGAAAUAAUCCCAAAUUUGCAAAAAUAACUUCUUCUAUGUUUGAAUUUGAAAAAUAACUCAUUUCCAACAUAAAUACUCUUCAAUAUUUGGAUUAUUUUAAUAUAAAUUUUAGAAGAAAGUGUUAUUUUGACAGGAAAACAUGAAAGACAUUUUUGUUAAAAAUUGAUCUUUUUUUAAGGCUAAAAUAUAUAUAGGUUUAUAUUUACAAAUUUGAGACUAUUUCGUCCUCUUAAUCAAAUAACUUAAAAAAGAAAAGAGUUAAUUCCACAAGUGGGUUUAAAAUACUCACAAAAUUGCAAUAUAUAUAUAUAUAUAUAUAUAUAUAUAUAUAUAUAUAUAUAUAUAUAUAUAUAUAUAUAUGAAAUUACAAAUUUACCCUCGUGUGUUGAGCACAUGACACUUCCAUUCAUUAAAGCUAACAUUGUUAAAUAACAAAUGUACAUUGCAACUAUUUAAGAAGUAUGAAGGGCACAUUGCUUGAUUUUAGUACAUGGUGAGAAACUUGUUGAACAAGUUAUGUGUAAAGUUUUAUGGUUCAUGUAUGAUAGAAAAUACAGAUCUACUACAACACUGGAUUUGCAAUUUGGGUUAAUAUUUAAAGAAAAGACCAUAGGACAAAAAGAAUUAAACUUUUGGUGGAAAACAAUAAAGAAAGGACUACAUGGAAAAAGGGAAGAGAUCAUUAUAAAGGAAGAUUAUUGAAUAGAAAUAAUUCCAAGAACCUAAGGCAAGACAUAGAGUAUCACUACUACUAUCACAAAAAGGGGUAUAUCAUAAAAUUUAUGAAAUUUUGAAAAAGACCUAAAAAAUGAAGAAAAAAAAAAACAAAUCAAAGAAGCCUACAAGUGUAACUAGUGUUCUUAAAGUUGCGAAAUGAAGGUAAUAAAUCAAAAGUAGAUUUGUUAAUAGUUUUUAAAAUGCUUGAAUUAGGAAUUGUCUACUUGUACCAUACAAGCCCUUGUAGAGACUGGUUUGACAUGUAAAUUGUUUGUAAAAUCAUUUUAAUGGGCAAUAAUGCACCAAGUUGCUCCACGAGAAGGGGAGGGGUUUGUGAAACCAUCACUUGUCAUGACAUACAUCGUCGGGUAAUCACGGAUGAGGGCAUCCACGGGAGGCCAAUGUCUACCCUCGCUCCACACCCCUCUAGUACAAGGCUCUAGGAGGGAGAGAGGCAACAAGUGUGUGACACCAAGGUAAAUAUGCUUGACCUUAUGGCUUUGGGAGCAACUUGCAUUGAAAGACUUGAUGAUUCACAAGAUUCUACAAUUCAUACAAAGUAUUGCAUUUUGCGACGUUCUUCAUCAAUAAGAGAGCCUAGAUAUCCAUUGUCAAGAAUUCUUUAUGUAUGAAAACAAAGGCGCCUAACCGACAUGCCCAAGAUCAAGGCAACUGGAGCGUGUUGCUUCGCCCAAGUUACUUAGCGCGUUUUGUGCCAAAGUUUGUUGUUCGCUCAAGAGGGCUUUUGUGAAUCUUUGUAAUAAAGGGAUAAUACAGAGUGGGCCGUAAUUUAGCAUCUUACACGCUUAGUUUCUUCCAUUGGUGGCAUAUAUUAUUUUGUCUGUCAUUGGUGAUUAUUUAAUAAAACUAUGAGAGUAUUUCAUGAAAUAUAAAUAAGAGGUUUUUAGGAUAUUUAAUCGAUGGUAAACAAAAGUUGAAAACUAAGUAGGGAGGAAGAUAAAAUAUUUUAGAUUUGAUAGUGGACUUGAGCAUUAGAACAAGAAGUUCACAAAGUAUUGCGAGAAUUCUUAUAUUACUUAACAUCACAUGUAAAGAAAUUACAAAGCAAAAUGGAGUGGUUGAAAAGAUGAAUAGAACACCAUUGGAAUGACUAGGUGGCUAAGAUUAACCAUUGGGUUACUUAAGAAUUUAAGGGCUAAAGCUAUCAACAUAACUUAUCAUGUAAUUACUUAGUUGUCAAGUUUUACAAUUAUUUUCAAUAUUCCAAAAGAAGUGUCAAGUAAAUCAAUUGACUUUUCAUCUAUUGAAAUAUUUGAUUGUUGCACUUAUAUUCAUAUAUAGGUGAAAAAAAAAUUCAAUCCAAAAUAAAAAAGGUAUAUAUUCCUUGGGUUUGAAAAAAGGAUUGAUUAAAGACUAUAGACUUUGGGAUCCAACAAUUAAAGAAAAAAAAGUGGUGAGCAGAGAUGAAUUCAAUGAAAAACAUAUGUUAAAGAAAGAUCAAGGACAAAUGAAAUUGGUAUUGAAAAAAAAUUCAACUACAUGACCAAUCAUCGAGAUGAAAUUUGAGAAAAAUGUCAUUAAAUAUGAAAUCCCUCCUAAUUGAUGUCCCUAUUAGAACUUUAUAUGGGCAUCUUUCUCUAUUGCUCUAAAGAAUCAUCGAAUUGGGUAAGGACAUCAAUUUUAAGAUUUUAAUUUUUUUUCAUUAUUUAUUGGAAUAGGAGAUCUUUAAAUUUUUUUGGGGCUCAAUUAGGAAGGAUGAUAGUUAUCAAUGUGUUGGUGCUAUGUCAAAUGAGAAUCCAAUGCACAUGUUGACUAAAGUUGUUCUUAAGGAUAAGUUCAAGCAUUGGUUGAAUGUCAUUAAUUUUUCAUUUUGUAGAACAUGGAAGGUCAAUUUUAUCGAAGAGCCAGGUCAAUCAACUUCUAUUAGGACUUCCAUUGAUUCUUGAUUUGACUAGAGGGACUCCUAGCAGUAAAUUUGUAUGAAGGGGCCCUACGGAGAUGCAAGAGCUGCCAAUCGGAUCGACCAAUAAAUGAUAGGCCCAUGCAGAGAUGUCCCUGAAAUAGGGGAUUGGUUGAUUGGAAAGCUUAGGCAGAGUAUAAAGGAGAACAAUUUAGCAUUUUGGGAAAAGCACAUAUGAAGAUGUUUACAAGUUUGGAAAUUUGAGUUAAAGAAGAGAUGGUCUAAAAAUGUUUCAAAUUUCAAUUUUAUGUUUUUCUAAGUUUGAUAUAUCCUAUUUGGAUAUUUGGGAAGUCUUCUCUUGUUACAUAAGGUAGUCCUAUGAUGAGAUUUGUUAUGAAAAUAGGUUCUUCCUCGUGUGAAAUAUUCCUAUGAAAUUAAGAAGGAAUAUAGGAAGAGUUUUUAUUGAAAUUAUGAAUCUUUUUUUUAUGUAAUUAGAACUAAAAUAUGAGAGUUUUAGAAUUGUAAUUACACCUUUGAAUAUAAAUAAUUGAUAAUAGUGAAUUAAUUUACCUUCUCCCUCUAGAUGUAGGUAAAUGCUAAAUUAUGUUAAAUCUUGUAUUCUCAUAUGAUUUUUUUUUUCAUUUAUUUUUCAUUUUCUUGCCCAUUUCUAACUUGCUACUACAUAAUAACAGGUGGUAUCAGGCUUUUUGUGUUUGCACAACAAAUGGUCUCAGUUUUUCCAGCACCACAAAAAUGAUAUUUUACUUAAUUGCUCCUCAGUGGAAAAGUUGGAAAGAAAAAUUAAAUCAUCGACUACACCUUUUUUUUUUUUUCCAAAACUUUUCUUGUCUUUGUGCAAGAAAAUUAGUAUAUUUUCUCUUUAGUAUUUGUUUCUCAUUUAUAUAUAUAUAUAUAUAUAUAUUCAAAUGGAACCUUAAUCAUCUUUUAUAUGAAGUAUAAAAGAAUUAGAAAAUAUUCAAAUUUUAAAUGAUUUUUAUUAUACUUUGUCCACUUCCUAUUUCAUAUAUCAAAUUACAAUAGAAUUUAAAAUUCUUUUAUAAGUUUUUUCUCCCUUUGCUACCACAUAAACGCAAAGACAGUAUGUGAGUUAAAUACCUUAAAAGAAAAAGAAAUUAAAAUGUGAUACAAAACAAAAGUAACCUCUUUAAAUUCAAGGAAACAAAACACUAAACUUUUUCAUGUAUUUUAUUCCAUUUAUAAAUGCAACAUGACAAAAAUAGACAAAAAUAUAAAUGGAAACCCUUUGGGUCCUUUAUUUUAUAUUUUAUCAACUUCAACCAAUUCUAUUUCUAUAGCACAACCGAUAUUAUAAAGUUCAAUGAGUAUAUAAUAUAUAAAGAUACUAAUCAAUACGAAUUAUUCUUUCUUUCAAAUGGCUACUUGUAUUAAAAAUUAAAUGUAAUUCCUCCUAAACAAUAAAAUAUGUUGACACGAUUUCAAUGAAUAUACAGUACAUAAAGAUAUGACCAAUUAGUACGAAUUAUUCUUUCUUUUAAAUAGCUACUUAUACUAAAAUAUAAGUAAACAUAAUUCCUCCUAGAUAAUAAAAUAUGUUGACACAAGGAGGAAUAUAUUUACUAAUUAUAUCAUUUGCAAUAGCCUCAAUCUCGUGACGUUCUUCGAACCAACCAUAGACUUUAUUGAGAUAGGUUAACCAAGGGAGCUUCCACUCUCAUAACUCGUAUAUGAAAAUUUCAUCUUGUACAACUCAAAUAGAAACCCAUAAAUACCAGUUGAAACCAAAAUGUAAUAAAUAAAUAAAAACAUAUUUCAAUGGAUCCAAUUAGUAUUUUUCUGAUCUCGGAUAAACAAACAAAUUUUUCUUCAUUUUGUUUUUUUUUCCAUUAAUCUUUGUAAGUAAAUUAUAUUUUAAUUUAACAAAGCACUAAACUUUACUUUAAUUUUCAUGCAGGAUCAACUAGCUUAUCAUAAUAAAAUUUAUCAAUAUAGCUGAGCAGAGAUUUGAUGUAAUAAUACCAUACAAAAUUCAAGUAAAAUUAAAUUAAUCAAAUAGGACACUACGGUCAUAUUUGGAUACAUAUUCUAUUUUUUAUUUUUAAAAUUAAAAUUUUGAUAUAAAAUAUGACAACCCUUUGUAUAAAAAAUAAAAAUUUAUCCUAUAAUCUUAAAACUACUUUUCAAUAUUAAAAAAAAAUGAGGACGUGUCCUAAAAUUUUAAACAAAUUUAAAAAUAUUUUUAAAUACCAAGAUAUCCACUUUUUUCUUUUUUAAUAAAAAUUCCUAUAUUUGAUAUAAAACUCUAUUUUAAAAAAUGAAAAAUAAAAAAUGUAUCCAAACAUAAGCAAAAUUGUUAGAUUUCAUUGUGAGAUUUCUUAGAUUCUACAAUUCAUAGUGAAAUGAAGACGAGAGAUAACUGACUGAAUUAUGAAAAAAAAAAUUAACAUUGAUGAGAUUCAAAAAUGCUAGUUAAUGAAAGAGUUUCUCCGCCAGGAUGACUAAGAAAAAUGCUGAAAAAUGUGUCAUGCCCAAAGCAAUGUUACAAUGAAGAAUAGAAUGAGAGCUAACCCGAAACAAAAUCCGACAAUCGCCAUGAAAGCCUGGAUGCAGAGGAAAUGUAACUAGAGACAUGUAAGGAAUCAUUAAGCAAGUGAGAACAAUAUCAAAAUCUCAUGUACGACUUACUUACCUUUCCCUGAGAUUCAAACUUGAAUUUUACUGUAAACCAUGACAAUCCUCUAUCUACAAUAGGUGCAAGUGCAAGGGCCCUGCAUGAGAAGCACCUCUACAAAAAUCACAGAAAACCCAAAGGAAAAAAAAAAAAAAAGAGUAAAUAAAUAGAAACUAGUCUAUCAGAAACCAGGAGGCUGCAACAAAUAAUCUCCAAAUGUCAGAUUUAAUAUUUAUUUACAAAUGCCACUAAAAGGCCUUUUCAUCAGAGAAAUCUAGAAUAAAAAAGGAUAAGGAGCCAUUUGGAUUACAGAGGUCAAAGAUUGGGUUGGAUGGGAGCAAGUUUAACCUCCUCAGUGAAAAUGAAAAUGCAAGGCCCAUCAUCAACGCUAGGUUCAAAAAUUGACACCAUUUCUUGAAGACUUUCUUUUUUCAUUCUUCAAUUGUCAUUUUGAUUCAAAGAAGCAGCAGCAUGAUAGACUAAACAAUCAUCAUAAACCCAGUUGCAAGUUAUAAGGAUAAGAAAGAAAAUGAACAGAAAACAUAUAUGAGAGAACUGAUAGGCCAAAAAAAUCAUUGUUGAAGGAAUCGAGCAUAAAUCUCUGAACAAAAUUUAGCUGAAAUUCACUGAUUUUGGGUUAUUUUGUGAUAAGAGCAUUGCAAUAUCCCAAUAAACUGUUACGCUAACUAAAGAUUUAAAACAGAAUUUAGCUGCUUACCCUCCAGCUCUGACAAGUUUAGUGACCUGGCUGCCUGCCCACACCAUAGCCAUGAUUUUGACAAAUCUGCCAAUUGGAUUCCAUGUCAAGAUAUUUUGAAAAACUUGUGCAAAAAGAAACUUUUUGGAAUAAGUUUUUACCUUUCAACUGCCGCCAAAUAACCCAUCCUUCCUGGUGCUGGAGCAAUAUAAAACCUAGAAGCAGCAUAGUGAAUUCAGAGUUAUACUGGUUAUUUGAAAUCUACUCUGAACACCUAUGAUAGAGACUGCAGGAUGUGGUAAAACACUAAGGCAUAUUUCAAACUACAUUAUAAGGUAUUUGAUUAGAAAAUUAAAUAAAUAAAUAAAUAAAUAAAAUAACAUAACAUAAAAUACAAAAAAGAAAAAAAAAAUUAACAAACUGAAUUUGUCCAUAUGCAACAAUAUGCAAUUGUUAGCCAUGAAUCCCAGUUAUGUCGGUUUCCAGUAUUAAUAAUUAAGCAUGAUGUUUAUGAACUAGACCAGCAUUCUAAUAACUCUAGAUUGAAGGGCAUGGAUGUCACAUUUGUAUUCCAUCAUGUGCAACUAACAUCACAUUGAAAUAAUAUCCACUAAAGCAAGUUAAGACCCAGUAUAUCAGAUUAAAUUUUUUCUACCAUGAACAUAAGCUUGAUAAAAAUGAAGAUGGAAAUGCAAUACUUCUUUAUAUGACAUAAUGAAGGGAACCAAAUACAAGGACUCCCCAUUCCAGAUGCAGAAAGCCAAGUUACAACCUUUGCCAAAUAAAGAGAUCCACCAUAAGUUCAUUUUUAGACAUGCUAUAGUUGAAUAUGCCAUCAGUAAGUGAUCAAAAGCCAAUUCAGAUGGGAAUAACAGCCACAAUGUUGGGAAGGUCAAUAACAAAAGCAUUGACUUGAAUGUUGGCAGUGUCAUUUACACUGGCCAUAAGAACCAGAGGUAAUGCAUACAGUUGGUAAGGUGGGGAGGAGGAGAUGAGAAAUUGAAAAGUCUUGAAUUUAUUUGUUUCAUGCAAUUCCGUUUUCCAAUACUCUAUACGAUAAUAUACAUUGUACAGCACAAGAAUAGGGUUGUUUUAAAAUUUUGAACAAAUAAAAAUUUCAUAUCAAUAUCUAAUAUUUAAUAAAAAAGAAUGAAACAAGAGUAAGUACAUUCUCUUCUCCUUAACAUGGUAUUAAAGCAGUCUCCAAACUCUUAACUCCUAGUUGCAUACUUGAUUUGCACUGGAAGUUGCAGUUUGCUCAUUUUGUUAUUCAAGUAAGUUACUUCAAUCUAUCAUAGUUUAAAUGACUUGGGACGGUAGUUGUCAUGGGCACGAAUUUUCCCACAAAUUUUUCGCAUUCACACAGCGCUUAGAAGCCCUCUAAGCCAACAUACUCAAACCCACAUGAGAUUGCAAUCAAGAAAAACCUCACAAAGACACACAAGGCUAUGGAGCUCAAUCCCUAACUUGUAUUUUAUUUCUUCUCUAAAUAACAAUACCAGACAUAGCUUAACAAGACUUCCACAAUCUCUUUGGUGAGUUCAUGCUCUCUCUCAAGCUAUGUAUAUUCUCUAUGAUCUCCAGAUUGCACGAUAAUUCAAAGGGCACUCCAGUCCUCCUUUUAUAGGUGUGACACCAACCACUCCCUAUUUGAUAAGGAGCAACGAAUCCUAGUUCUACUCAAACUACAAUUAAAAUAAGAAUCUAAACUCCUAUUCAAACUCAAAUUACAAUAACAAUUUGAAUUCAACUCUGAACUUUCAAAUGUCUUCGGCCCAUUCCUCUUUCAUUUGAAACUCCUUGUAUCAGGCCACAUAUCAGCCCUUCAAUUCCCUGGUUUGUGGUGCAAUAUAUCUUCCUUAAGCUUGUCCCAAUGCCAAGACAUCUUUGUUGUGUUCUGCCUGAAGUCUACCCACUCUUGUGCCUUGAGUCAGUCCAUUCAUGCAUUUGAAUCAGCUGAUGCAUCCGAUCAGCUUGCUAUAGCGUCUCUAGGCAGCCUACUACAUGUGUCUCUAUGCAACUAGUGUGCAUGCCAAGCCCUCUCUUAGCCUACAGAUCUAGCAAUUUUCCUUGGUGCCAAUCUUUCCUUUGGCUGUAGCCCCUUGUUGUUCCUUGAGCGUGUCAGUCAUGCUCAUAUGUGUUCCCGCAUCUGGAUCACGUCCAUGCUGAGGCAACCUGCCCAAGUUUGCUCUGCCUAGCUGUUGUUAUGGCAUCAUGCCAUGCCCAAGCCCUCUUCUUGGUGCAGCAACGAGUCAUGGCAUUGCACCCAUGACUCCUCAUCUCUAUGCACAAGGCAUUGUGCCCUUGUGCCACGCCACCUCAUUGCACAAGGCAUUUCCCCCUCAUGCUACCGUUGGGAAGGGAAGACUGCAUAGCACCCCAUGUCGUUGCAACCUUGAGUUGCACACCAUCACAUGUCAUGGAGCCCAUAUAUGGUUGCUAGCAAGGCUUGCCCAUGUGCCUUGCUCAUGUUUGAGGACUUGCACCAAAGCCCCUAAGUGUGGCCAUGCCCAUGCCACCUCGUCUCCCUUGAGUCACCCCCACCCUCACCCCCCUUAAAAGAGCAUUUUAAGCCCUUUUAAUUAAUUCAAGAAAAUCUAGAAAAUUUUGCUUCCACUUGGAGUCUCCCUUUUGAAGGUUCCUAUAAAUCUUUUAUCUCUAAGCGAAUUAACCAAGUCACUUAAUUGUUUUGCAACAUUCCUUCCCUUCCCAUAGUGUAUUUCAAGAUCUCUUAAUGAACAAGACAAUUGGUGGAGGGCAUGAAGUAAGUGGAAUUUAUCACCAUAUUGGCCCACCUUUUACUCCAAUUGCUCUACGUACUUCCAUUUCUUCUAUGUAGUGGCACACCUUUCACUACGCAUCUUUAGCAUAUGGGACUUCUAGUUAUAUUGGACUCCAAGUUAAAGCACCAAGUUUGUGAGUCAAGCAAAUAGCAUCACCAUAGUGUUGUUCUAGUCCUUUUUGUUCUAUAAUCAAUAAGAGGAGUACUAGUCCUUUUCAUCUUGUUCAUUUAGACAUUUACAGUUUAUGUAGUGUUGUUCCUAAUGUUGAACUAAACUUUUUUAUUGCUAUUUUAUUAAUUAGAUCAAUGAAAAUGGUAUGAGCAUAAAGAGGCUGAAUAAUAGGUACUAAUCUCUUAAAAAAAACUAUCUUGUAGAAACAUCAUCAGGUGACUAUGCACAAGUAAAUGGUCUGACAAGGCGUGAGAAAAACAUUCAUUUUUGUGCAACAACCAAGUAUUUGCAUCUUAAUCAACCAAAGAAUAAAUGGCUGAAGACAAUAAAUGACUGAACAAAAAGAAAAUCAUAAGUUUUAGGCCAGACACUUUUUUCAUCAAUUAUAUACAACAACAAUAAAUCAAAUAGUCCUAAAUUUCAAAAGAAUAAUGCUCAGCAGCUAUGCAUACUCACAAGUCACAAAUACCUCAUCCUUGACUAAUUUACAUGAAUGAAUUAUUUACUUACCAUACCAAGAGAAACGUUGUAAGAUAGUAUGCAGUAUUCAGGAGUCCAUAGGAUAAUAUUCCAGAAAUUCCAUAUCUCUUCAGUUUCUUUAGAAGACUGAAAGGUUAAGCAAGAAUGAGCUCUCAAUGUAAGUAGACAUGCAUUUCAGCAUACAAAGGGCAAAAGGAUUGAGGUAUCACUUCUUACAGAUUGUUUGCAUGAAAUUCAGUAGUAGAAGAGAAAUUAAAAUGAUUGGGACAAGAUCACUCAUCCAAACAAUAGUUUAUUUACAGAGAAAAGGUCUAAAGCAUAAUCAUGCAGUAGACAAAAUGAAUCUUUUGUGUCAUGUUCCAAUAAUGUUAACAAACUACAUUAAAUUCAUAAGGUUACAUAGAAAAAGAAAGAAAAGACAUUGUUGCAAUAGUUUGGUUGUUACACUGCUAGCACCCAGACUACGACCAAAUCCUUGCAUUGAAAUUGAAUUUCAAACUCCCAAUGUGAAAAAGGAAGAUACAAAAAAGAAAAGAAAAACAGGAGGAAAAAAAAAAAAACAGAGGGAAAGAAAAGAAACAUGGGAUUUCCAUGUAUAAUACAUACAUAUUAUAUCUAUAGAUAAAUGCAUGUAUGUGCAUAUGUCAUAGAGGCUGGUCAGACACAUUUCAAGAAGUUUCACAACUUGCUUUGGAAUGACAAACACGUGGAUCAAUAAAUGGCUUGUCUCCAUUAUUGAGAAAUUGCAGGUAAAUUUCAUCCACUACAGGCAUGGGGUGGCUGGACAAAGUUAUGCCAUUUGGUGGGAUGUAGUGGACUUAAGACAGAAAAUUCUCAAUCAUUCUUCUGUCCCUUGUGCAGUGUUGAAGCUGACAAUAUUAUUGAGCAUACAAGGAAUGUGAUGUAAAACAUCAUUGAGGACCAUGAGCUGCGAAGGCAGGGAGAAAUUAAGUUAUGAUUAAGUUUUGGUGAGGGAUUUUCAGAUGCAGAUCAUAUGGCAAAUUAACUUCAGAGAAUUGCAUGUUUUUAUUCAUUUCCAUACACAUUGAAUAAUCAUAUUUAAAAUCCCUCAUUCACUUGUUUCGCUUCCAUUAGUGCUCCUUCCACAUGCCUAUUAGCAGCAUAGACCUCAUGAUAGUUUGGUAAAGGUAAGACAAUAAAAUUGAAAAAUACAGCUAAAGCCUAAAAUAUUGGCUCAUAAAGAGAGAAACCAUCCAAGUUCUAUCUUAAAUGACUCUACAAGUUCUAAACAGGGAGACAAGGACUUCAACCUGGUCCAUCAAUGCAUAUAAAUGGGUAAUCAUUCCAACAACCAUUACGUUAGAAGUACACUAAAAGAAAAUUAUUAAACAAUGUUGUUUCCAAAAAUUCCAUGUUAAAGAAUAGAAGAACAUACUGCUAUAAAUGAAAUUCAUUCAAAACAGUUCAAACAGUAAAGUUAAGAAUUGUGACUGCAUAUUUUUUUUUAAAAGAAACAAGAAUUGUGACUGCAUAUCACCACACUUGUUUUAUUUAUAAUCCACACAAUGUAUUCUUCCCUAGCAUGUUAUCCCAUUAAGUAACCUCCAGAUAAAAUUCCCUUUCUGACUCUGUCAAUCAGCCAAAAAAUUUGAUGUAAAAUGUAAAAUACAUGGGUACACAAAAACAACUAUAUAAACUGCCAUCCCAUCAUUAAUAAAUCAUUUGUCUAUAACAUAGACUAAUAGCACUGUAAGGCAAGUAGGAAGUACUCUUUUGAUGUGUGCAGUUCUCCUUCACCAUUUUCGCCCUUUGCACUGGAGUCUAUAAAAAUAUGUAUAAGUAGAUUUUUAGAAAUAUCAAGUUUAUCAAAUGUAAAAUAUGGUAUCACAGAAAGCUACACCAUUUUUCUAGUUAUCAUUUGAAAGAUAUUGAUACCUUCAUGGUUGGCAGAGUAGUCAUGACCAUUUGACAUGCCAGAAGCCUAACCUACAACAAAGGCAAUGUUGAAAAAGCAAUAUUCAAAAUUCAAUGAAAAAAACAGAAGACAAACAAAUGAACAAAUAGCAAAUCAUCACACUCAAUUGUUUUCCAAAAAUGAAAAACCAAAUGAAAGGAACAAGGAAUAUAUUGAGAAAAAAACCUAUGAUCAAUGGAUAUGCAGUUGCAUUCUAGCACAUAUAUAGGAUCAAACAAGUAACUAAUCUAGACAUAGCUGCAGCAAAUUUGUGUAUCUCUGAAUGCGUGUCUGCUUUUUGUGGGGGGAUAUUUAUUAUGACAUGUUCUUAGUGCAGACAAACCAUCUGCAUUUACUUGAGGAUUAGGUAAACAUACUUUCCAUUUAAAAUGAGGCCUUGAACAUCAAGCCCCGGUGAGUUUUCAAAUAAGGAAAACAUAAUAGCUUUACAAUGAGUCCCAUAGCAAGAAGGCAUGCAAUUCCAUUCAUCAGCAUACCAGAAUAUAGAAUAGUGUGGACAUGUGGACACAUGCCAGAAUUAGCAUUGGACACACUAACAUGCCAGUCAUACAUAGAAAGACUUUCCAAAGAUAUUAAAGUAAAACACUGGUAGUAAGCAAAUUAGACCCAGAAAAACAUGCAAGUAUAGGCCAAGAUCAAAUCUUAAUUUUAAUUUCCAGAAAAAAAAUAAAAAAUUAUAUCAACCAAUAGAAAUGGUAUCAUCAGCAAUUAACACCAAAACACACCAACAUAUCGGAAUGCAUAUCACGUGUACCAAUCUCCAAUCAGCAUUACACCUGUACAAGUUAGCCUGUAGCAGGUCAUAAUAGGUUCAGACUAUAAAACCUUCCAAAUCUUCCUUUGCAGGGCUUAGAAACUAUUUUCUAAGUAAUUUGCAAUUUUAAAAGCCUGUGACAAAAUUUUGGAUGAAGAGCUUAAACUAUAUACUCACAAACCCACUCCAAAAUUUCCUUAAGGUAAUACACAUUUUUUGAAGUCCUUUCCAAUGUCUUCUCUUAUUUGAGUUAGAAAAGCCAAUGUUUUUAUGAAUUGACUACUACGGCUGUUGAGGUUUGAGGUGUAUAACUAAUUUCUUAAUAUAUCAUAAUUUACAUCAGUCAUUAGAAAUUAAGGUUCCAUCCUUUUACACUAAGAAAAUCCUGAGAGCAAUUAAAAAAUACCUUCUUUAAUAUUAUUAAAUUUAAGUUUCCUUUAGGUCUUUGAGUCUAAUAGAAAUUAGUAUAAAAGGAAUUUUAAUUUUCUUACACUAAGAAAAUAAAAAUAAUAGGCAAAAUAAUUUUCAAAUUUUGGAACUUUAUAGGUAAUGCUUAUUAAAAUAAAGCAACAAAGUUUGUCAUUUGCCAAUGAAUGAACCAAUUGUGGAAAACUAUGCAAAAAAUUUUAUUAGCAUGGAAUUUUUUUUUUCUGCCAAUAUAUAGAAUUCAAUUUCAAACCUGCCCCUCCCAACCCACCACUUGCUACUUGAGGCAAGCUUAGAGGCAGAAAACUAUUUACAAUUCUACGUAUGGAUAAAAAUUAUUUCUUAGAUUUUAUGCCAAUUCCAUAUUUAUAGGUAUCAAUUUAUUAUUCUACUGUUGUCAGAAGCUUCAAUUUUGGGCGUCCUCAUGGCUAUGCCACCCUUAAAUGAGAACAACUUUGGUCUUCUGUUUUUCUUUUUGAGCUCUUCAAAUUUUUGCAAGUUACUUCUAUCCAGGUUCUAGGAAACACCCAUUUUUUUAAAUCUCCAAUAAUUUAGGGUUCUGUGGCUGAGGGAAUAGACUUAUUUUUGGUUGAAGCACAUAAAAUUCUUGGCUAUUUUUUUAUUUUUUAUUUUGCCAUCAGGUCCUUUUAGGUUGAUUUUUCUACUUAUUUUUCACCCACCAAUUAACAUUGCCCUAACUCUGUUAUCUAUCCGAACAAAUGUUUAUGAACUAGCAAAUCAUACUAAAAUUUCUUACUAGUUGACAUGUGCAUCAUCUCAGCAUGUCAUUCCAACACCAAACUACAACCAUAAUCUCACUAACAUCCUAACUGCCUCAAUGAGUAUGGAUUACAGAAAUGCAAUUAAAAUAUACUUCCCUAUUUAAUUUCAUAAUUUUUAUAAUAAUAUUUCAGCAAUAUUUCCACAUAGUAGCUUAUGUGAGAAAUCCCCAUUUCCGUAUAAAAUCGAAAAACCCUAUAGCUUGCGCAUGUAAAUAGAAAAAAAAAAAAAAAAGACAGAUUUUGCAGAAUUGGGAGAGCAGACUCACACCAGCAUGGCCAUUGAUUGAGCAGAAACGCAGAUGACGAUGAUGGUGGUGGAAUUGGGAGAAAUUGUUGAGUUUGUGGAAUGUGGGAACCCUAGGAAUGCUGGGAUUGAAACCCUGGAUUGAAACAAGAGGAUUGUGAGAGAGAAUUGGAAAUUGAAGAAUCAAACACAAAAAAUAAAUCCAAGAAAUAAAAAAGAAGCGUAAAAAUGAAAUAGAGAAGAGUGUGUAUGACGCACCUGAUGAUGUGAAAGCAGCUUCAGCUGGUGAAGGCAAACUUUCGACGGGAGAGACAUGAGCAUACCGGCCUCCGACAACAAUCCCUCCAAAAUAUUCUUUCUAUACCAUUUAUUAUUAUUAUUAUUAUUAUUAUUAUUAUUUUCAGGUUAUUUGAAGUGCAAUGUCUAGCUAUACCAUUUAUUAUUAUUAUUAUUAUUUUAUUGCUAUUAUUAUUUUCAGGUUAUUGAAGUGUAAUGUCCACCAUACCUUAUAUGCCAUCCAUGAUGAAGGCCUUAGAACUCUCCAUGGAGCCUAAAUCUCGGGAUGCUAAUCACCCUAUAAUAACCAGCAUAGAGUAUAUUCAAAGUAUCAUUAAUGACAAAUUUCGAACUUAGGACCAUAUGUCAUUUACUGAGACCACACUUCUUAAUGUUCAUCCUUAGCGACACACUCAUAUGUACCAAAUCAUCCGAUAACCUGUUUUUCCUAUUUUCUCAUUUUUACAAAAAAAAAGAAAAAAUAAGAAUAACUUCUAUUUUUAAAAUUUUAAUUUUUUUUAUAAGUAAAUUUUUGUUCUCAUUAGGACCUGUGGAACCUCCCACAAGUCCUCCCGAAUCAUUUACCACUUGAGUCAUGCCUUAAUGGCUUGUUUUUUUAAAAAAUAAUAACAACUUUUAUAUAAAAAAAAAUACUUAUAAAAAAUAUAUACAUGUCAUUAAAAGUUUAAAGAAAUUUAAAUUUGAUAAUAAUUUUUUAAAUAAUUUAAUGUGUUAAUUGUUCUUAAAAACCGUAAAUAACCUAAAAAAGAACAGUAUGUUUGUAAAUUGACCAAAUUGUUAUAUGGUUUUAAAUAGUCACCUUAACAAUGUUACAAGUGAGUUGAUUAAUUUAUGGUAGAGAAGAAUUACAAUAGAAUUCAAUUAGUUAUCGCAUUUGAAGUCUUUGAUUAUUUGUUGAAUAAUAUUUGCAGCCAAUUAGCUAGGGUUGGCUAACCCAAGCCAAACCUAGUUACCAAUAUGUCCAACCUAUGCUAAACUCGAUUCAAAGUAAGGUUGGUAGUUACUAAACUCAUUAACAACUAAAGUUUCUAUGGAUUCCCACGAGUUUUCAUGGAUUAUCAAAUAAACCACAUAUAAUGGAAUCUCCUAAUAUAUAAAAGACAUAUUUCAAAUUAUAAAUUAAACCAUAUUAUAAAAUAAAAUUUUAAAAGCUAAGUAUAUAUCAAAGUCAUAAAUUAUAUUACUAUUCACUAAUUUUAAUGGUAACAUGAAACACAAGUGUGAAUAUUUAAAAAUAUUUUAGUAAUUAAACAAAAAUGAUAGACUUAUAGUGUAAUGUAAUAAAACUAGCAAAAGUUAUAGUUAUUUCAUUAUCCCUUUUAUAAAUUUCAUAUUUUAAAUAAACUAAUAAAUAAUAUAAUAGUAAUGAAUUUGCUUAGUCUUCAUCAUGUAGAACCAAUUUGAAGAAUUUUUUUUUAACAGGACUGAUUAAUGACUUAAUUAAGGGUAGGUUACAGCUAAAAUAUUUAGUAGGACUGAUUAGUGACUUAAUUAAGGGUAAACUACAGCUAAAAUUUUCCUAGUAGUCUUCCACUAUGGCAAAUUGUGGGAACUAGUAGUGGCCUGUCCAACCUAUAGAGGAAACAAAUAGGUGAGUGAGUUAUUGAAUAUGUGGCUGAGAGUGACCAACCAUUGAGGCUCACAUGAAGUUGUAGUGGCUGAAAGGAAGGGAUAAGAGACCAAAAACAUGCUCAGAGAGAUUCUUGUUAGGAUCAAAUUGGGGGCAUAGAUAUAUCUCUUUGGUAAGAGUUCCCAUAAUUUAGGUAUUAAUGAAAUAGGUAUAAAAUAAUUAUAUAUCUUGAUAUGAUCAUGUUGUUAAUGAUGAUCUAAUGAGUUGAAAUAUUAUGUUUUCAACUGUGUAUAUCUAAUAAAUACAUCAAGUGCUUAAACUUUAAUAUAGAAAUGGUCCACAAUGGCUUGUAUGACUCAUCGUCUUAUAAACAUAUUAUUUAGAUUAGGCUAAAGUGGUCAAAGUAAGAAGAAAAAUUGAUACUUGAUUUGAAGUAUGAAGAAUUCUUCUUAGACUUUGUGUGUAGUGUUGUUAGCUUAUUGUUGUGUUAAAGUCUAUUUUGAUGUAUUUUGGAAAGAAUGACCAACUAGAACCACAAUAAGAUGUUGCAAAACUUAUUUAAACAAGGGCUUGUGAGCAAGAUUUUUUUUUUUCCCUUUCAUGUACAAAUAGUAUGAUGAAUGAAAAUUUGAUUCUCGAUUGUAAUUAGUGUUUUCUUUAAGUUUUAAAUCAUGCAAUGAAUACUUAAAAUUAGCUUACGAUGUCAAAGAAUGUAAGUAAACAAGGUUUUACAUGUUGGAUAUAUAAUAAAUUCAAAACCUUUACCUUCCACAUUGAAUGAUUACAUUUUUUCUUUAAGUGCCCUUUAAUCAUUCUCAUUUUGUUUAAUCAUUUUCUAUAAUGUCUCGAGCAUAGUAGAUUUCUAUAAAUUUACAUGAGCAUUCCUUAACUCUUCUUGAGUGAUCCUAAACUUAGCAUUGAAACAAUCAUAAUUUAGGCGAAGAUGCUUAUACGUCUUCAUAAUCAUCCUUGGUUGCUAGCCAUUUUUCCUUAAUUACUUUAGGAUGUUUAGUGAAGAUGAUUACAAAUAUUAACUAGUUCACUCAAACAUUUUUGUAUGAGUGUAGAACAAUUUUGCAUUCUUUCCACAUCACUUAUGCAUCUUCGUUCCAAGAAAUAAGAUAUAGAACUCUUAUGUUUUGCCUACACCACUUGGUUCUCCAACCCAUUGUGCUUAUGCAUCCUUUUUAUAUCACAUAUGCGACUUGCUUCUCAUUAAGAUAUUUCACUUACAUGUUCUUGUAUAUGCAUAAUUUAGGAAAAAAUAUUUAAAAAUAGAAAAAUAGAUUUUAAUACAUAUAUUUGGAACAAUUAAACUCAAACUAUGCAAGUGACCUUGUCUACUAUGUAGGUGACUUUGUUUACUACAUAGGCAAAGUAUAUGACAGUGAUAGUCAAGGAAGCUAUGUGGUUGCAUGGUUUAGUGGAGAAUUUAAGAGUAAAGCAAGAUCACAUUGUGAUUUAUUAUGAUAAUGGGAGUGCCCUAAAUUUAUUUAAGAAUAAAAUUCAUCACUCAUUGGUAAGGCAUAUUGAUGUCUAAUUUCAUUUUAUUUAAGAGAUUCUAGAAGAAAGUCAUACCUUAUUUUAGAAAAUUACUGAUGUUAAUGAGGUAGGUCAUAUUUAAAUGUGAUCCAUGUUGAAAGGAUCAAUGUACCUUUAGGUGUGUAGUAGCAAAAUCUUUAAAGAUUGUUUGGUUAGCUUCAUUUAAAUUACUUAGUUAAAUAUUACAUAGUCAAUUAUAUGUUUGACUUUUUGAACUAGAACAUUUAGAUUUUGGUUGUUGUAGUUGUUAUAAUUACUAUUUAGGUUUUUAAAAAGGUAUAAAUUUAUAAUUUUAGUUGGUUUUAUUAGUUUCAUUUAAAAUUCCCAAGAAACUUCAGUGAAGGAAAACAGAGCAAGAGAGUUUUUGAGAAUUGCUUAUAAUUCUUGUAUAUUAUUUUGAUAUCUUUAGUGCAUUCAUCUUAUCAUUACCAUAGAUGAAGGCAUAUUGUCAAACCAUAUAAAUUGUUUAUCUCUUUGUCUAUAUUGAGCUGCCAAGAUCAGUUCCUUGUAAUCCAAUGGCUUAUUUUGAUUCCACGAUGCUACAAUGUAUUGAAUUAAGCAUAGGGAUUAACAAUUCCAAUCAUAAACAAUAAGAGAUCCUCCCCAACAGCAUAAAAAACUUGAGAGACCCGAGGCUCGCAUCUCAGAAUAUGCUCUUGAACUAACACUAAAGAUGCCUAGAUUCACCACCACCCUUUCCACCCCAAUGUUGUUAGAAGUAGAAUCUAAUCAAAUGAAGAGUUCCUGAUAGUUGCGAGUUCUUAUGAUUUUUUUCCAUCAUUUUCUGACUUUUUUUUCAUCCAUUACGUACGUCCUUCUGAGUGGAGUUCUCCUUUCAUGGUAUCAGAAAAUCAUACUCAAUGAAUUCGUUAUAACCAGACCAUAACCAGAACCUCCAUGGCGUGUUUUUCCUGUGUUUUUUCUGAAAAUAUAGCUACAUUUAUACAUAUUUUUAAGAAUAUUAAAGGCAUUAUCAAAGGAAGAAACCGAGAAAACUGAUUGUAUAGAAAUCUAUAAUUGUGCUUACUUUCAGUCCUAGUCACAAAGUUUCAACCAGAUAAAUCAUGUCGAGAGAUGCCCAGCAAGUGGUGGUGGUCCAGGAUGCAUCCAGAGAUGUUAGUUCAAGAGCAAUCCUUAGGAUUCUCCAUGACUUAACACUUAAGCCUGGAGAUGACCUUACACUCCUCGGAGUUCUUCACCAGGUUAAUAAUCCUUGUACGCUUUCUUUCAUGGGAGGUAGGAAAAUACGUAAAAAUUCAUGCCUUUUUUUUCUUUUGAGUACAGAAGAAAAAUCCAAGAAGAAAGAAAUAUUAAACAUAGCACCAGGAAAAUGAUAUAUACCAAAAGGGAAAUUGUGCAGGUUUAUAGAUUGAUGAAUGAUGUGUCAGAUUUCCCAAUACAACUAUUUUAUUCUAAGGUAUACUUUGAUAAUAGAGACAACUAUUUUAUGAUCAAAUGAAAAAAUGAGGUAUAACAAUUAACCCAAGACAAAUCCUUAAGUGAUACUUUAGUUUUUUAUGAAAUAAAUGUUCUUUUUAUAUUAGUAUAAAAGAUUAUUUUUUCUUAGUUUCAUUUAGGGAAAAUUUUGAUUUUUUAAAGUUUUAAAGUUGGUUAAUGUAAAAUUUGUUUUUUAUCUUUUAGAUUUUCUUUUCCAUAUUUACAAAAAUAGAUAAUUAAAUAAACUUAGAUAAAAAUAGAAUUUUCAUGUUCACUUGUUUGCCUUAUGAAUUUAUUUUACUAUUAAAAUAGGUGCUUCUUAUUAUUUAAUUUUAAAAGUGAAGAUGCAUGUUUUAAUAAAUUCUAAGAGAGGACAAUGUUUAAAAUAAAAAAUUGAAAUAUCGUGGAAAUUAAUAUUUUAUUUUAAAUACAGACAAUUUCCAUGUAAUUUUGUUUGUAUAUUAUCACUACAAAUCAACGAUGACUCCAAAUAGCCAUUGGCCUUAAGAGAUGUCAAGCUCACAACAAAAAUAAUGUUCUAAGUUCUCUAAAAAUAUUUUAAUUAAACACAAAGGUAGUCCAUCAUCUAAUCAACAUUUGCAUAUACAAAACCAUUUUAGCAAAAGUUACAUCAUCCGUUAGUAUAAGCAAACAUGAAUAAGUAUUUCCUAAUUAAGAAAAAUAUUAAUUCAAAUAUUUUAAAUUGGCCAACAAAUUAGGAUAUUGAAAUAAUGGUCUCUAUAUCAAAUGAGUUAUAAGAAAAGGUAACAUUAUCUUUCAUCUAAAUUUCUAUGCUUUCACAAUCUUCAAAAUUAAUAAAACAAUAAGUUAUCUUUCAUUUGAUGCCAUUGGCUAUAUUGUAUUUUCUCGUGACAAAGUGAUGAUUAUCUUUUUUUUUUUUUUAUGCACUUGAUUGAUUUGGUUUCCACCAAUGUGACUUUAGUGAUUUAUCCUUCGCCGGUUGUUAGGAUAAUGGUAGUGGUUAAUAUGAUGUCGUCAAUAGAAUAACUACCUACUCUAGGUAGUAUGUUGGAUAUGAUGUUAUAAACCUACUUAUAGAUUAAUAUAGUUCAACAAAUACUAAUUUGAGAGAGAGAGAGAUAGGUCUAUGGUGAGUUGUAGUGAAAGGGAAGGAUUAAGGCUAGGGUUUGUGUGGGUAUGAAAAAGAUAAAAACAUUUUUAUUUUCAUAUCCAUUUUUGGAUUUUAAAAAAUAAAAAUAAAUAGGUGGAUAUAGAAAGAGUUCAAGUGGUUCGUUUGCAAUUUCCCUUCAUAAAACAUCACAGUUGUCAAUGAGAUCUAUGCACUAAGUAAUUUUAACAACCUUUGUUUGUGAAUUGCUUGUUACUGCAUUAAGUUUUGGUAUUCUCCUCCAUGUAGGUGAAACAUAUCAUGUUUAUGUAGAAUCAUUAAUAUAGUGUUUAACAGCUUCCAUGAAAAAGAAAGCGUGAGAGCUUGGGGAUAUACUUCCCAACUUAGAGGACAUCUCAAUAGCAAUGAAUAGAUUUUCAUAUAAAUGGUUAAAUAGUAUAUAAAAUAAUCGAAGAUGUCUUGUUUUAGUUUACCUCCUAGGUAGAUAGCCUAGUUACUUCAAGUAGUUUUGGCAACACCAUUUACUAUCAUCUUCAACGAGUAUAUAUCCUUCAAGGCAAGGCCUCACUUUCUUAGCUCAACAAAAAGUUUAUUAUGAUAAGUUAUCUUGAUAACUAAUGACUAAUCUUGGUGUAUAUAUAUAUAGUUAAGAGGGAUGUGAAUCAAUGAGAAAUAGUUUCCACUUUGUGCUAAUGAUAGGUUUGAGUCAAGGUUCAAAUUUUCAUCCAUGGAAGUAUGAAUGUUGAUCAAUAUGAAAUUCUGGUCCAUCUUGUGAUAACAAAUAGUUUAUCAUAUGUAACUCAAAAUUAUUCUUUCUAUACAUUCAUCUUGUGCACCCACCUUUCUGUUUCUUUAUUGUACGUAUCACUUUCUCUUAUUCCAUAAGGAGAAGCCACUAGACUUGAGAAAUCAAUUAGAGAAUGAUACAAUUCCAACAAGAUCGAGUAUGAAACAUUUCUUAUCAAUCUUUUCAUAGUGACUCAUAGCUUGUAGUAAAUUAAUGGGCUAUUUGUUUUUUAACUUGAGUUUUGAAGCAAGUUGUUUUAAGAUUUAAGAUAAAAGUAAAAAAGAAAUUUACUUUUUCUAUUAACACAAAAUUAUCUUAGAAAAUAUGAUACGUUAAAAAAUAACCAUUUUAAAAAUGACAAAUCUUAUAGAAAAAAAUAAUAUAAAAAAAUAACACUUAACACUAUUAAAUAGUAUUUAGUUUUGAGUUAUAUUAAGGUAUAUAUAUAUAUAGACACACACCACCUAAGGUGAUGUUUUACUUGUUUGUUUGUUUUUUCUAAAAUCUAAAUAGAUUUGAAUUUGGAUUGAAUUUAAAUAGAGCAAAAUGUCAUAAGUGUUUAGACUCUUUGUGCUUUAUUGUAUUUGAAAUAUGUUAAGUGUUAAAUUGUUUAUUUUUACUUAUGUCAAAAUACUAUAAGUAUUAAAUUUAUUUAUUUCACUUGUUAAAAAUGUCUACAAAAUUAAUUAUAGUAUUUGUUAUUAUUUUAGUUUUAAAAAUUUACAAUUUUUAAAAUAUAUAGUAAUUUAAAUAUUUCCAAAAUAUCAAAAUUAUUACGAUAAUAAACAUUUUAUAAUAAUUAAUAUUGUAAUUAUUUAAGCAUAAUUGGAUAAUAACAAGGAUUUCCUAUUAUGCUUGGUUACUAAAAAAAUAUUUUAAAAAAUUUCUAAUUUGACACUUAUUUCUAUAUGGUGUGUCUUCAUAUUUAAAUUUAAAUAUUUUCCAAAAUAUCAAAAUUUAUUACUAUAAUAAAAAUUUUACAAUAACUAAUAUUGUAAUUAGUUAAGAAUAAUUAUAUAAUAAUGAGACUUUCUAAUUAUGCUUGAUUACUAAGAAAAUAUUAAACAAAACUUCUAAGUUAACAAUUAUUUCUAUCUGGUGUAUCUUUGGAUUUAUGGAUUUGUAAUUGAAAAAUGUGUUUUAUUAUUGAGAUUAAUUCAUUAAUUUUUAUAUUUUAGAUUUUCAACAUUAAAUCCUAACAUUUUAUUUUUCAAAAUUAAUUAUUAUUGCUUAUUCUAAUAAUGUGGACCCCGCAUUUCGGCUCAUGCACUUCCACUCGAUGGCGAGCUCGAUUUUUAUUUGAAAAACGAUUUUAUUUAUUAGAAAAUGACUUGGAGUCACCACUUAUUUUUGUUUUAUUUUUAAAGGGUAAACAAAAUACGAAAGAAAACCCUAAGUGUGACUCCUUAUUUUGGAAAAGAUAAUCCACGAAAAACCGGAUCGGGCUCGGGGGUCAGGUUACUUAUCGGGAAGGUAUGGUAAAGACCGUAGCACCCCUCUAAGUCCCUAAAGUCGGGUCUCUACUAAUAAAAUGAAGCUAACGUGGCAAUUGAUGAGGGAAUCAAUGAAUACUUAGUGUAAUCAUGCACAAGUGAGAAUUAAAACAUACAUAUAGAAAGACCAGAAUGGGAGUAGAUGCGUACCUGGGUGAUGAGCCACAAUGCGCUAUCAAGAAAUGGGAUUAGUGCAUAGUAAUGAACAUAAAAUGUGUCAAUCUUAUCACCAAACAAGAGAAAGAACCACCAAUAGCACGCAUGACAUUUCGUUCAAAUUCAUUUUUAUUUUAAAGAAAAUUUAUUUGAUGUUGGGCCCCCACCAUAGCCCAUCUACUUUUGAGUGAAUCGAUUUCGUAAAUUCCAUCAUCAAGAAUUACGAAAAAUAAAUUCACACUUAUUUUGAAACAUUUUGAAAAUCAUGGAAAAUUCAAAAGUGGCUCGCCGGAAAGGAAAUGGUGGCCAAAUUUCAUUGAAAAUGGGAUUUUUAGGUCCUAAAAAUAAACUAAGGAUGAAAACUUAAAAAAAAUGUCAAAAUUAUUUGAAGAAUUUAAAAUUUGAGAAACCAUUUGAAAACUGGAAUAUGAUGGAUUAUUUUAAAAUCAAGGAUGAUGAAAUGAAAAGAGGUGGUACGUGGUCACCAAGACUACAUGUCAAAAGUGACCAUGCAACUCAUGCAAGAGUAGGUCUACGGGUAAGAGUACUGGAAUUGGGUAUAAGAUAACCAAUAGGAAUGGGGUAAAUUAAGAGACCCCAGCGGCAAGCAACUUCAUGAGGCCUUCCUUUGUUGAUGUGUACCAGAACCAACCUUCUUUUUGCCUUUUACAAACUUCUGUAAAGAUCCACCUCUACAAUUCUGAGCUUUUAUGCAUGAUUCAAAGAUAGCAUGAUGUUGUGCUUGGAUGUUCUCUUGGCUAUUACUGCCUUUUCUCCUUGUUGACCGAGAAUUAGUACCAUCAGGCAUCAAGUUAUGCAUUUCUUCCCUCAUCCAAACAAACAAGUUUUCUCUUGCAACUUUAAGAUCCUCUAAUAAGGACUCCAUGAAGAUUUUAAAAUCAUCCAAUGUUGCAGGAUCACAUGCAUUGCUCUUACUCUUCUUCUUAUUAACUUUCUUGAAAGAAUCCCUCUUCGUCUCUUUACUAUAUAAAUUAUUCCUCUUGCUUGAUCCAAUCUGCAUUUUGUUAGCUUUCCCAAUUUUGAAUUGAUCCCCUGAACUACGAUCAGACUUACCUUCUUGUUGAGAUCUAGGAGUACCACUGGUUUCAUCAUUUUCAGGCGAAAUAAGAGAGGAAACCAGUUUGUGCUUCUUGAGAACUGGCUCACCACUGGAACUCGAUUUGGAAUUAUCACUUGAAGAAUCAACGUCACUGUCUCUCCUCCUGAACUCCCACCUCUGCUGAAAUUUCAGGUCUUCACUCAUGUUAGUACUUGGGGAUAUAAUCACAACUGUAUAACUAUGUGCUCAAUCCUCGGGAGAGUCCGACCAUAAACGACUAGACCCACUUAUCAUCAAAGUUUCAACUGCUUGUUUGGAGAAUGAAAUCAGUUUGAUGGAAGGAUUUCCACUGCAACUGCACCUUGAACUCGUUUGAAAGAUUGUACCAGUGAUUCUAGCAGCACCCCUCCUCACAAAUCAAAUUUUGUGAAGAGACACCAUGAUUAAACCGCUCCAUCAUUCUCUUUCAUACACCCAGCACAAGAGCAUCCUCUGUGGAUGAAGCCCAACCAUUGCUCUGCAUCCACUUGGAACAAUCUUCUUAGCCCCAGAUGGGAGCUUGAUCCUGCUGGUGCCAUUAUCAGGGUUGUGGCUGACGACAAUAGCUCACUUGCCGGAUGCCCUGGCGAAGACACCUCGAUCACCAACGUGAUCUUCAACGUUACAGACCUCGGCACCUUCGGGAGUAGAGCGCAGGGGCAGAACGUUAUCGGCAAUGAGGGUGGCUUUCUUACUGCAGCAAACGAACUGGCCCGUGUAUAUGCUCUCAGCCACCACGAUAGGUUCAUCAUGACUGCAACUCCUACUAAACCAUAUCCCUGUCUCAGCAUCAAUAACCAGCUAGGUACUGCAUGUAUCACCAACACCACUAUCGAGGUCCAGGCUAUCACAAGUUCUGUUGCUAGGCAGAGCAGCAGGAAGUUGGUUAUCAAAGACAUGGUAAAUUUUAUCACCACCUAGGCGCACGCCAUCGAGAUGCUCUUUGUAUGUCUGAUCGAAGACACAAGAAAUUUCCAUGAUCAUGUAUAACUUUCUUCCAUUCUUCUUCAGUUGCACCAGUACCAAAUCCAUAUCAGCCAAGGACCCUUCACGCACAAGUAGCCACAGAUCUGUCAGAGAUGCACUUGAUACAAUUUUGCGAGCAACUGUAUGAUGAUUCUGCUUUUGGCCUGGAGGUGGAACUAAACCUUCCACUAAUCUAUAUUUUUCUCAAUAAUAUAUAUCCUCUAACCUUGACAAAAUAAUAACUUAAAUCCCAGUGUUGACUCCUUGCUUCUCGCCACUUAAGCUAACAAUGAUUAUGCCUUGUCACCAGAUGACUUCAAGAGCUAGGUUGUCCAAAAUCCUGUUAAGAAAUUAGUCCACACCAACUGAUAACAAGCUGAUGUGGCCCUCGAAGACAUUGAUUGAACCUAGUCCAUGUUGUAGUCACUUUUUGAAUUUCAUGAUCAAGAAAAUGAAGAGGAAGCCAUUUAGAUGCAUGGUUGAAAAUGGUCAACUGUUAUGCCCCCAUCAUCAUCACCUCUAGUAUUAUGAACACAAACCAGUUGCAACCGCCAUUCACAGACUCCCAUCACAGUUCAUGGGCCUGAAAUGAAUCUCCAACUAAUGGUGUAAGCAACAAGCUGAAUGUUGUUAAAAAUAUGAGAAAUGGGUGGAGAGUUGUGCGUUAAGAAGCAGAGAAUGGAAUAAGGGAAUAUACCCCUUCCCUCAAAGGCACAGAGAUGGAAUCAAGUAAUUGAAGCCGAAGGAAAGCCUUUCGGGUAGCCAAGAAAGCUUGAUUUACAUAUUCUGCAUUACUUUCAGCAACAUUGGCAAUCACAUCCCUGUCUGAGAGGCCAACUGGUUGUCCUUUGUGGUGAGUUCAGUGUCAUUUUAAACUUCUCCAUUGUAUCAAGGGAUAGCCAGCACAAGAAAGAAAUGAUACAAUGAAGCAGACAUGAGGCAUCUUUAGAAAUCCUCUGUGGAUGACAUUUUAAAGGCUCUGUGAUAUUCUGAAGCAUUGCUACUCAACUAUGACCUCCAUCCCUGAUAUAAAACACUAAACCAACCUCAAUCUACUUAACAUGCAUCUCGGGUACUCCAUAGAGAUUAAGCAUCUGUAAUCAUAGCUUCCGCUCCUUGAAUUUGCGUUCUCAGAUGGAGAUGCACCAAUCAAAGCAAACCACAGACAAACACCAAAAACAGAGACGUAUAGAGAAGAAAAUUGAUAAAACAAAACAGGGAUAGGUGAAAUGAGAGUUUGUUAAGCAAAACCUGGUCCCAUAAAUUAUCAACAGGCUUACCAGUUAGUGGGAGGGGAAAUGGGUUUAAGGAGAAAUGAUAGGAGAGAUACAUUCAGACAUCACGCAAUAAAACUGGACAAGAUUCAUACUAUUUCUCUCAACUAAAACCCAUAAACAAUAGAUGGAUAUAUAGUCAUAGCAAAUCCAGUGGAUGCUCAGAGAUCAACAAAAGUAGCCAUAUGAUAUCCACACACAAAUAGCUAAAUAACACCCACUAAUGAACAAAAGAGAAUGAAUAGCAAGAGAAAAAAAUAGAGAUGGAUAAGAAACAUACCUGGAAAUACCCCUCUCCAGUAAAAUCAGCUGAACUGCUAGUCCAUUGCUCUCUCCCCCUUCCUCUGGUUCCCCUCAAGUUAAAACAAUACCCUUCUCAAAUAUCUCCGACCAAAAAACCUUCUCCAAAAACUUCCCUUUCUCCUCUGCCAACCCCCCUCCAAAAAGCAUCUCCCUCUUCUCUACAACUGGCAGAUACGCUCCUCCCAUAACAGAAACGUUCUUCUCUAAACGUCCCUUUGGGAUCUCUUAUCAAACCUCUAAUGACUCUCAAGACUAGGUCACCGAUAUGUAGUGGUAUGGGCUUGACCCGCUUUUUGAAAGCGCGGGCCAUCUUCCUCUAUUAUGCACGAACAUGGUCUGUUGCUCUCAAUCUCAUCUCAUAUAGGAGAUUGAGCUGAUCAAAUCGAGCCUGAGCCCAAUCCGCCUCGGGAAUCUGCUACUUUAGUGCUACUCUCAAUGAACUCAUCUCGAUCUCAACUGGUAGCACUGUCUCCAUACCGUAUACCAAUGAAUAAGGUGUGGCUCCUGUAGAGGUGCGAAAAGAAGUCCGAUAUGCCCACAAUGCGAAAGGGAGCUUCUCUGACCAAUCCCGAGAAGUCUCAACCAUCCUCCGCAAUAUCCUCUUAAUAUUCUUAUUCGCAGCCUCUACUGCCUCAUUCGUCUACGACCUAUACGCAAACGACCUAUGAUGUCGGAUGUCGUAUCUCUGUACUAAGGUAUCAACCUCUGCUCUGAAAUGUACCCCUCUAUCUGAAAUCAACUCAUGAGGGACUCCAUAGCGACAGAUAAUGUGUGAUCUGAUGAAACUAGCAACUCCAGCUGAUGUCAAUCUCUCAUAUGAGGCGGCCUCCACCCACUUGGUGAAGUAAUCGAUGGCGACCAGGAUGAACUCAUGACCACUGGAAGAUUUCGGUGAAAUCUUUUCGAUGAUGUUAAUACCCCAUAUAGAAAAUGGCCAUGGUGAAGUCAAUGCGUGCAACUCAGAGGACGGCACGUGAAUGAGAUCUCCAUGUAUUUGACUCUUGGGACAUCUCUGAACAAACUGACAACAAUCUGUCUCCAUGGUCAACCAAAAAUAGCCAAUCCUCAUGAUUUUACGGGCCAACAUAUGCCCUCCCAUAUGUGGUCCGCAGACUCCCGCAUGAACCUCUCACAUCACUCUAUCGACAGAAGCGUAGUCCAAGCAUAAUAACAGCAUCCCAUCAGGUGAUCGUCUGUAUAGUGUCUUGCCACAAAUCACGAAUCAUGCAGCCAACUGUCUCAAUGUUCUCUUAUCCUUGGCCGUGGCGGCCUUAAGAUAUAUGCCAAGUCUCAAAAAGUGAUAUAUGUCAUGAUACCAUGGCAAACCAUCGUCUAUCUCCGUAUCAUCGAUCAGAAAACAAUAUGUAGGAGCAAAUCUGGACUUAAUCAGUAAAUGACGAAUAGUGGCAUCAGCAGGAAUGUCAAUCAUGGAAGUUAGAGUAGCUAAGGCAUCAGAAAACUAGUUAUGCGCUCUAAGCAGAUGUGUGUAUCUCAAAUCAUCAAAUCUCCCAACCAGUAGCUCCAAAUAUGGCGGUAAGGCCUAAGUUUCACAUCUCUAGUCUUCCACUCGCCCUGAAUCUGUCUCAAAACCAGAUUGAAGUCGCCAAACACCUCUAUCUAUCUAAUCCCGAGCUCAAGGGCCGUCUCUAAUCCCAAGAUACAGACCUCAUACUCAACAAUGUUGUUUGUGGCCGGAUGUCGAUCCAAGAAUGCCAAACAAAUAGAUCGGGGAAUGUGAUCACCAUGAGGGGAUAUCAACAAGACGCCUAUCCCGUAUCCAGAAUGGUUGGCUGCACCAUCAAAGUACAUGUGUCAACCUGAUAAACUAGUCACAACAGCGACAUCCUCGCCUGGGAAGUCAUCAUCAAUGGCUCUACCAUUGGAAACUAGUAAUGAGGCUAAGUGAUCUACAACAAUGCUCCCUCUUAUGGACUUCUGAGUGACAUAAUGGAUGUCAAACUCGGUCAGAAGUACCAGCCAUCUCAUGAGACGACCGAUCAAAGCGGGUCUGUCAAAAAAAUAUCUCAGAAGAUCUAGAUGGGAUAUCAAGUGCACUGAAUACUCGGUCAUGUAAUGUCUUAGUCGGUGAGUGGCCCAAACCAAUGCCAAACAGUAGCGCUCAAUCAUGACAUUCCUUGCCUCAUAGUCUAGCAUCCUCUUACUCAAAUAAUAAAUGGCUUAGUCAUUGCCUGAAUCAUCAAGCUGAGCUAACAUGCACCACAAUGCUACAUCUGAAAUUGACAGAUAUAGGAGUAAGGGACAACCUGGUGUAGGAGGCGCCAAGACUGGAGGUGACAACAAGUACUUUCUGAUCCUCUCAAAUGCACGCUGACACUGAUCAUCCCAAACAGUAGGUUGACUCUUCCUCAAGAGUCGGAAAAUGGGCUCAUAGAUGUCUGUCAAUCUGAUGAUGAAUCUACUGAUAUACUGAAGUCUACCCAAGAAGCCCCUGACCUCUCUCUCUGUCCUCGAUGCAGGCAUGUCAAGGAUGGCUCUGAUCUUAUCCGAGUCUACCUCUAUGCCUCUCUCUCUGACCAUAUACCCCAAGAGUUUCCCAGAAGUCACUCCGAAAGUGCACUUCUUGGGAUUCAGUCUCAAUUUGAACCGUCGGAUCCUCUCAAAGAACCUCUCUAGAGUUGCUAGGUGAUUUGGUCUGUCUUGGGAUUUCACUAUCAUGUUGUCUACAUAAACCUUGACAUCCCGAUGCAUCAUGUCAUGGAAGAGGGUGGUCGUCGUUCUCUAAUGGGUGGUUCCUGCAUUCUUCAAUCCGAAUGGCAUGACUCUAUAGCAAUAAGUACCCUACUCGGUAAUGAAGGACGUCUUCUCCAUGUCCUUUGGAGCCAUCAAGAUCUUAUUGUACCAAGAAAAUCCGUCCAUAAAGGACAACAUCGAAUGACCUGUCAUACUAUCAACCAACAUAUCGAUGUGUGGGAGAGGAAAAUCAUCCUUAGGACUGGCCUUGUUGAGAUCUCGGAAAUCAACACAAACUCUCACCUUGUCGUCCUUUUUGGGAACAAGGACUACAUUGGCCAGCCACUCCGGAUACUCGACCACUGACAAAAAUCCUACACUGAGUUGCUUCUGGAUCUCCUCCUUCACUUGCAAGCUCCAACGAGGGUGCAAUCAUCUCAACUUCUACUUAACCGGUCUAGCAUGGGGCAGAAGUGGCAAACGAUGUUGGACGAUAGAUGGAUCAAGGCCUGGCAUGUCCUCAUAGGACCAUGCGAAAACGUCCAAGUAUGCUCUGAGCAACUGGAUGAGGUUGUCCCUCUCAUCAUCAGAUAAAUCUGAUCUGAUCCUCAACUCCCUAGGCUGAUAUAUUGUGCCGAAAUCAACAAUCUCCAUGUCCUCUAUAGCAGGUGAAACUCUCUGAUCAAAGGGAUCCGAAUCGGAAAUAGAAGAUGAGUCAUCAUCUGAGUCGUGUUGUGCAAUCUCAUCAUCAAUAUCAAAAAUCUGUGAUGUGGGUGAAGAUGGUGCAGAUAAAACAAUAUCGUAAAAGAGAGGCAAAUUUUAAAAAAUGCUCAAAUCCAUAGAUGAAAAGUCAGAAACAUAGUCAUGAUGGGAGACAAAUCCCGAUAAAACAUCAAAUGAAAGAGGUGAGUCUACAAAGUCGAACAUUCCCUCAACUAGGCCAAUAGGGCCAUCAAGAAAAUCAUCAACAGCUAUAAUGUCCUCAGUAAUCUCCGAAGUAGGGGCAGUCUGGAUCUCCUCAGCGAUCUCAAUGAAAGACACCCCGAAGAGAUCAAAUGGUGAAGUGAGCUCAGGCUGGACUAUCUCCUCAAUCUGGCUCAAGCUCAAUGCAAGCAUCUCAUCGACGUACUCGUCACAUGGCAUAGCUCCGUCUACUAUGUCGCUAAUCUCAACAAAUGUCUUGUGAUCAUCGAUCUCAUCCAAUAAGCAAAGCGUCAUAAGGCUCGUGCGAUCUGGAGAGGCAGGAGCGAUCAACGCAGAAGUCGAAGGAUCAAGGGCUCCGUUACUCAAUUGUAACUGCUGGACGAGGCGCUGAAGCUCGGCCUCCUUGGUGGUGUUGAAUCCUCUGAUGAUCCCAUCAGAUGGUGCAUGUGACUCCGAUGCCCUCACAAAGUAAUCUGCCAGGCUCAUGGUGUAUGGGCGAACAGGAUAAUAAAAGAGCGUAUGAGUCAGUCGAGCCCUCACCCUCUCCUUGCUCAAUCGCGCCAUAUAACGAUAAUCGGCCUCAGUGGGGAUGAACCUGAGUCCGAAUGGUACGUCGUGAUCAGGGAUGGCUAUGAACUCACUAGGCCCAUGCUGACACUACCCUAACCCUAUGCCGGGAAAAUAAGGCAUACUCUGCAUCAUAUCGAGCACCACCGUGCUACUAUGCUGGUCAAAGGACAUGGCUACGAAAUCUCGGUAGAAAUCUUCUAUCUCCACGGUUUGUACCUCAUCAAAGGUGAAUCCAGUCAGAAAAAGAUCGUCAUCAGUGUGACUAAUCUCAAGCACAGGCUUGGCAAAAAUGAACAUAUCUCCCACAGACUGCACCACGACGACCUGGCCAUCGUGAAUAAACUUCACCUUUUGAUGAAGGGAAGAAUGAAUGGCCCCAGCUCUGUGGAUUCACGGUCGGCCCAGAAACAGGUUAAAGGAUGUAGGAAUCCUCAAAACCUGAAACACGGUGACAAAAGUGGCCAGAUCAAUUAGUAGUUCAAUCUCUAGUGUGCCCAUGACCUCCCUUCGAGUACUGUCAUACGCGCGAACGGUCUAAGUGGAGGGACAGAAAUCAGAUGGUGCAUAGCCGAGGGCAGUGAUGGUGGCCAGAGGACAAACGUUCAGGGUCGAGCCAUUGUCCAGAAGGACAGAUGGGACUCGACGGCCUGAACAACCAACAGAUAUAUAGAGUAGACGCGUGUGGUCUGAGCCCUCUGGUGGCAAGUCAUCAUCGGAGAAUACAAUGCAUGUGGCUCUACCGACCGUCAUCAUAUGAAUCAAUCCCUCAUGGGAGGUGGUAGUCUUAACUCUAAUCUGGCUCAGGGCUCAAAUCAGAGCAUCAUGGUGAGUGGUCAAGGAUGCCAACAAACUCCAGAUGGAAAUACGAGCCUGAGUGCUCUAUAGCUGCCUCAAAAUCUCGGCGUCCUCUACUCUGACCUCAUCGGGAACAGAUGUACCCUCAACUGGCUUAGCUGCUGCGCGAGGUGGCUAUCGCAACACUCUACCUCCUCAAAGAAUAUACUAAACAUCCAAAGUUUGAGAAUCAUCAACAUGCGGAGCUUGAACCUCCUCAACAUUCGAGAUCAAGAUGAAUGGCGUCUGGACGCUGUAAUAUGGAAAAAUCAAUGGCUCAACAGUGGUAGUCUGUACUAAUGCCACCUGGGGAACUAAUCCGAAUGAAAUGGGCAUCUGAGGCCCCAAAGUCGCUCCGUCCAUCUCAUAAAUCCCAUUUGACAUGAUAGGCUCUGGCUCAAUGUCAUCACAGCUCAACAUAUGGAUAUAGUCAUCAUGAUCAAAGAACUCCAGGAAAUGUAUGCUAUCGACCGGUGGGGGGACCACAUGUGUAGUGUGGGCAAGUAAUGGGUUUGUGGUUACACUCGGCUGACCCAAGUGCACCAAACCCUGGUCGAUCAGAUCCUGGAUGGCAUGCCUCAAAGUGGUGCAGCGAUCGGUCUCGUGUCCAGGCCCUUGAUGGUAUGCACAGUGCAAAUCCAUCCUGAAUUAAGGUGGAAUCGGCUGAGGUGGCAGCCUGGGAGUGAGAACGGUCAAUAACCCGGCCUCUGUAAGCUUCCGAAGAGCCUAGCUCAAUGGCAUGCUUAAUUGCGAGAACUACCUCUGUGUCCUCAAAGCAGAUGGAGCAAAAGUCUGCUGAGCUUUGGGUUGAGGAUAAGGCGUUGUGGGUCUCGCAGUGAAUUGAGCAGCAUAGCAUGGCUGUCCUAUGGCCGUGUAGGAAAUUGGGGGUCUCUCAAUGUCCUGGGUGGCAUAAUAAGGCAAAGCCAAAGUCUGUGGCAUGUAGACUGAUCAUAAGUCGGGUGAGGCGCUCGUGGCCUAUACUGCUGAGGUGGAUAUGAAGAAUGAGCCUCAGGAAGCUAUGGGAUCGGCUGAUGGCGCCUGGGAGGUCUCUAACUGGAAGAACUAAUGGCGCUCACGUCAACUGAUCUUUGUCCUCCAAAGGGCUUCUUCCCCUUAACAUCACUAGGGGAAGAAUCUGUCCACAAUCCUCUAGAGAUGUCGUCCUCGACAUCGUAUAAAGUCAAAACCAAUGAACCAAAAUCUGUGAAUGGUACCCUAACCACGUGUCUGGCGAUCCUGGGCUGUAAACUCCUCAAGACCAUCUAUAUCUGAUCUCUCUCUGAAGGUCUAUCAAUGAUCUCGACAAUCUUCCCACGCCAGCGGGAAAUGAAUGAAGAAACUAACUCAUCUAUUAUCUACCUCAGAGCCUCGAGCUUUCUCCUCGAUACAUCCACGACAGUGUUAAAUGAAAACUGUCGUAAGAACUCCUGGGCCAAGUCGUCCCAUGUUCGGCGUCGUGAGGACUUCAAGGAUGCAAACCAACGUUGGGCCGUCCCACUCAGAGAUAGUGGAAAUAAAGUGAUCAUCUGAGACUCAUCCAAUCCAUGAGCCCUCAUCACUGUGCUAUAGAGUCUGAGGUGGAUGCGUGGACAACUAAUGAUCGUAUAUCUCUUGAUGUCUGGCAUCCUAAACUUAGCCGGCAAACUGGCUAUCGGCAUACCCUCGAAAUCAUCCCAAACAAUUGAUCUAUCUGACACUCUCAUCUGCCUCAUACGCUGUUUAAGACAGUCCAUACGUGCAUGAGCAUCAUCAACGACAGUGGUCUGGACAACAGCGGGUGGAACAAUCUCAGAAUGUCCAUGUAAUAUAUAGGGUGAGGCCUGAGGCACUGAAGGAACGGGUGGUGGUGGUGGAUGUGGAUGUGAGUCAUACGACGUCUCAUCCUGAACUGUUGGUGGUCUACUUUGCUGACCACUGAUCUCCUGCCUGAGGCUAGCCAAAGCCUCCUGGAUAGAAGCCAUGGUAGCCGUAAACUGAUCCAUUGUAACAACCUGCUGAUCCAUACUCGGUCUCUCUGAAUACCGGACUAAUCUCCCCUCUACUCUGACCCAAGAAGGCGUAUCCAGACUGUGAACGAAGAUCCGAUCCUGAUCGAUUCUUCUCCUACUCCUCUCCUCAAGUCUCUCAAAACCAGCAUCCAAAAGCACCUCCUUCGACCUCUCCUAUCUUCACUCCCCUCAAAAGCACCAGAAGUCUCUCAAAAAUCUCUUUUGCCCCUUGCCAAAAAGCCCCCUCCUCUCCAAAAUAUCUCCCCACAAAACGCCCCCUACGCUUGCCAGAAUAUCCUCUCUCUCAUCCGAUCCUCCUAACAGACUGCGGCCUCUCUAGAAUGUUCUUUCCACGUGUUCAACUCUCAUUUGCUCCUCGAUUCCACUACCUAAUUCUCUGUCCACCAACCACGAGGUGAUACGUGGCUCCUUGAGAGCCUUCCACCUGGCAAAAUGAGUUGCAGAAAAUGCAUGAAAGUGAGGCCCCAAAAUGAGGGUCUACAAAUAGGUUUUUAGAUGAGUGUGAAUUGUGUUUUGGAAUUCUAACUAAAAAAAAUUCAUUAGAAUUGAUGAUAGUUUAUUUUAGUCUUGUUCUACUAUAAGAGGUUGAAUUAUAAAAAUUUGUAGUACAUACAUUUCUAAUAAAAAUGUUUAUGAUUUAAGUAUUGUUAAUUUUAUUAUUAAAUGAGGAAUCUACAAAAAUUUAUGAAAUUUAAUUUUGUUGAGAAUUUGAUGAAUUAUGAAGCAGAAACAGUAGCUAAAUGUGGUAGAAUUUUGAUUCAAGUUUUGGAAUUUAUGAAUUUAUUUAGAUUAAUUUGUUACCCAAAUUAAGUUACUUUUAUGUUGUUGGGCUUCUUUUAAUAAAAAAAAAAAAUCAUUAAAAUUUAUAUCUAAAUUUUAUCAAGAAUCAAGAGGAAAAAUGGACAAAAACAAAGCAUAUUUCAAUCAUUUCAUUUUUUUUUCUUGAUGACAACUUUGUUAAUUUAUAAUAUAUUCAUUUUUCUUCCAAAUUACACAAAAUUGAAAUAGUUUAAUUCUUUCUUCAGAUAAAAGUUAUCUAAAGUCAUAAAAAAAAAUGAAAUUGAUUUUAUUUUAUGUGAGGAAUUAGGUCUAAAUAUCAUAACACAGUUAGAGAUCAAAAAAAUAUAAAGAGAAAAAAAAUGACUUUUUCUAUUAAUAUAAAAGUUAAAAUUAAUUCAUUUUUUCCUUAAGUAUAUAUAUAUAUAUAUAUAUAUAUAUAUAUAUAUAUAUAUAUAUAUAUAUAUAUUUUAAAAAAAAAAGUAAUAAGCUGAAAAAUAAAUAGUUCUAAAAUGUAUUCAGUCUUGAAGCAACUUACUUUAACAUUUGAGUAAAAAAACUAAAUAAAAAAUAAAAAUAGAAAAAAUCAAGCCCUAAAGCAUUGGAUGAGCCAAUGAUCGGAUACUUGAUUUUAACUAAGCAGUUACUUGUCAAUAAUUGUGUUCAUGUUCAUCUCUGCCAAGUACCUUAAAAUGAAAAGGAACAAGUUCAUAUAAAAUCCAAUUUGUCUUUCUCACCCAACACAAUUGCAACCAUCCACCACCAAUUCAAUAUCUCGAAAAACCUUCAAUGUCUCUAAUAGAACCAAAAUCAUGUUAUAUUUGGGAACAUUAAAAUCUUGAUGUAAUGCAACAUUUCAAAAGAAUUUUUCACUUUGAUCUAUGCUCAUAUCAACAUUUCUCUUUGAUAUAGGCAUUUUUCAAAAGAAUUCACCUAUCUUUUCUUGCUAAAGCCUUAAAUUUCUCUCUUCUCUCCAUAACAAACCUUGAGCAUGCAACUUACUAAAUAGACAUUACAUAGGAUUCAAAAUUAAUUUUCAACAAUUCUCAAGUAUAGUGCCUAUUGCAUAAGCAAAUAUACUUUUAAAGAUAUUGUUGAUAGCCUUCUCUAUGCUAAUAGCACUUUUAAUGCUUGGGUUGAUCUUUAUGAUUGAUUCCACCAAAGCAAUGCCCCACGAAUCUUCCAAAUCGAGAAGCACAUAGUUGUUCUUGAGCAAAGAUCUAUGGAUGUCAACACAUACUACACUAAGCUCAAGGUCCUCUAGGAUGAGCUCAAAAAUUAUCAACCCAUUCUUGUCUAUCACUAUGGAGGCACAAAGUCUUGGUUAGACACCAACAAUAGGAGUACAUCAUGCAAUUUCUUAUGGGUUUGAUUGAGUCAAAUGCUUAAACUUGAACACAGAUCUUAAUGAUGUCUUUGCACUAGUUGUCCAAGAAGAAUGCCAAUGUACUAUUAAUCAAGGCUCUUUUUUUCCUAUCGAUUCUCUUAUGCCCAACAUUUCAAAUUCCUCUGCUUUUGUUACAACAACAAAUUUUUCUCGAAAUUCAACUUUAAAACCCAAGUGUGAGUGACCCUAAUAUUCCCACUGUGGCUUGCAAGAACAUAUUGUAAAUAAAUGCUAUCAUCCUGGCUAUAAGUCAAAAUCAAAGAAACCUGAAGUAAAAAAUUCAAGCCACCUAGGCCAAUGCAACUAUUAAUGAGACUAUUAACUCUGGUUCACCCCUUGGAUCUCUUACUUUAGCUCAGUGUCAUCAAUUGUUUGCAUUCUUGAGCUCUCAACUUCAUAACAACUUUCUUGUUAUGCUAGAAUCUCAAUAGCUAGAACCCUUUGUUUCCCAGUUCAAUGGUAUACUAUCUUUUUCUUCUGUCUCAUAAUUUUCCAAUUUCUUUUUCCACCUGGAUUUUGGACAUAGAAGUCGCACAUCAUGUUUGUUGUUCAUUAAGCACAUUUACACAAUCUACUCCAGCACAAAAUUCUUUUGUAACUUUGCCUAAUGGUCAAUCUGUUGUUAUUAAUCGUAUUGGUUAUGUGUUUUUGUCUCCUGAUCUCAUCCUUAAUAAUGUCAUGUUUGUUUCUAAUUUCCAUUUCAAUCUCCUCUUUAUCUGUUCGCUCACUCAAAGUUAUAAAUCUUCUAUUAAUUUUAUGGUUGAUUCUUGUACUAUUCAAGGCCAUACACGGACCAAAAUGAUUGGGAUGAGUAGAAGACAUGGUAGCCUAUACUUCUUAAAUAUAGUCAAUUUUCAUUCCACUACACCACAAAUUUUCAGUCCUUGUAAUAAUGUUUCGUUGUCUCAAAAUGAAAUUUGGUUUUACCAUUUAGGUCAUCCUUCUUAUGUAACAUUACAAACAUUCAAAAAUGAAAUAGAAGUUAAACCAAAUUCUGGUGAUUCAAGUCAUUGUUUAGUUUUCCAUUUAGUCAAAAGAUGCAAAUUACAUUUUAUUUCUCACAAUUAUUUGUCUGUUUUGCCUUUUCAACUCAUACAUUGUGAUGUUUAAGGUCUCCUUCACACAUUUACCAUUGAAGGUUAUAGAUAUUUUUUUUACUAUUGUUAAUGAUUGUACUCAUUUUAUUUGGGUGUAUCUUUUGCGUGCUGAGCCUGAUGUUACUGAAGUUAUUCCUAUUUUUUUUUCUCAUUGAUUCAAACUCAAUUUGGAACACAAAUAAAAUUUGUUCACUCAGAUAAUCCUCCUGAAUUGGCAUUUUUUGACUUCUUUCAUGCAAAAUGAGUCAUCUCAUUUCAUUCUUGUGUUGAUUAGCCUCAACAAAAUUCAAUAGCAGAAAGAAAGCAUCAACAUAUCUUAAAUGUUGUAUGGUCUUUAUGUUUCCAAUCACAUAUUCCAUUGGUUUAUUGGGGGGAUUGCAUUCUUAUUAUUGUACACUUAAGAAAUAAAACUGCAUUCCCACUUUUGUCCAAUAAAACAACCUUUGAACUUCUUUGGAAAAAGAAGCUUGCAUAUUCACAUCUUUGUAAUUUUGGUUGCCUAUGUUAUGCAUCUACUUUAGAUCGUCAUAGGACAAAUUUCUCACCUCAUGUCAUUCCUUUUGUCUUUCUUAGGUACCCAUCUGGUUAUAAAGAAUACAAAUUAUUGAAUCUAGUCACUAAUUCUGUGUUUAUCUCCCAUAAUGUGGUAUUUCAUGAGUCUAUAUUUUCUUUCAAAACUAUUCAAACUUAUUCUCCUCUUCCAAAUAUUUUCUCUGAUACUGUUUUACUAUUUCCUUCUUUUUCUUCCAUUCUUGAAUCUACAUCUUUGCCAAUAUCAACAAUUCCUACUGUUUUCAUACCUUCUACGUCUCAUUGUCAUCCUAAUCGUGUUCGUAGGCCUCCUUUUUAUCUAGCAUAUUACUACUGCUAUUCUUGUUCCCACAGCACAUCUUCUACCUCACAUCCUCUCACACAUGUCCUUGAUUACACAAAAUUGUCAAAUUCAUAAAAAUAAAAAAAUGAAUAAAAGUUUGUGUUAUUUCCUAUAAUUUUGAACCCACCACAUACUUCAAGGCUGCUACUAUUCUAGAUUGGCAAGAUGCAAUGUCUGCUGAGUUAGGAGCUCUUGAACAAAAUGACACUUGGUCUUUAACUACUUUGCCACAAGGAAAACAUGCUAUUAGGUGCAAAUGGGUGUACAAAAAUAAGUAUAGAGUUGAUGGAACUAUUGAACAAUACAAAGCUCACCUUGUAGCUAAAGGCUGCACACAACAAGAGGGCAUAGACUAUCUAGGUACCUUCUCUCAUGUUUUCAAAUUGGUUACUGUUAAGGUUUUGCUUGCUUUGGCUACCAUUAAUGGUUGGAGCCUUCCUUAGAUGGAUGUCAAUAAUGUGUUCUUACAUGGUGAUCUUUUUAAGGAAGUUUAUAUGACUCUCCUAGUUAUCACCUGAAGGAAAAUCAUUAUCCUCACACUCUGUUUACAAAAUUCAAAAGUCUUUAUAUGGCUUGAAACAAGCAUACGACAAUGGUUUUCCAAACUCUCCAAUUUCUUACUUGUUGAAGGUUUUUAAACAUUCUAAUGCAAAUCACUCUCUUUUUGUCAAAGUUGUCAGUACUCACUUCAUUGCUCUGUUAGUUUAUAUGGAUGACAUUGUCAUUGUUAGUAAUAGUGAUGAGCGAGUUGAGAAAUUAAAAGUUCUAUUUAGGAAAGCUUAAAUACUUCUAAGGCCUUGAGGUGGUGAGGUCUAAUAAGGAAAUUUCCCUUAGUUAGCACCAUUAUGCCUUACAAUUACUAUCAGAUAUAGGCUAUGUUGGUUGUAAAUCAAGGAAAACACUUAUAAAUCCAAAUGUGAAGCUCACACAAGACAAAGGUGAUCUAUUAAAAGAUCUUUUAUUUUACAGAAGAAUGAUAGGCAAAUUGCUUUAUCUAACCGUAGCAAAUCCAGAUUUAUCAUUUUCAGUACAUAAAUUCAAUCAAUUUCUUGCAAAGCCCAGAGUUCUUCAUAUGUGGGCAAUACAACAUGUGCUUCAGUACUUGAAAGCAUGGUUUGAAAUAUUGGUAAACACGGAUAUAUCGAUACUUGGAUUUUAUGAAUAUGUUGGAAAUAUUGGUAAAAUAUCGGUAAAUAUUGGUAAAAUAUCGGUGGAUAUUUUGGCAAAAAUAUUGGUGAAACAAAAAUUAUUCAAAAUUCAUGGAAAUGUUUGGAAAACUCUAAAAAAAAUGAUAAAAUAAGCAAGAAUACAUAUGUUAAAGUUAUUGUAAGUGGAAUUGACAUAAAUAUGGUCAAUGAGAAAAAUAUGGAGGGAUAUAUCAAACUUAAUAAUUUAUUAUUUAUCUUAUCAAAUUAAUUUUAAUUUAUAAAAUAUUAGAACUUCAUUAUUUUUUUUAUUUUAGUAAUGUUUUGAAUACAUUUAUAUUUUUAAUAUUUGUAAAAUAAAAACAUUCAAAAUUAAAUAAAAUUAAAAGGAUAAACAUAAAAAAAGUGAACUGAUAGCAAUUUUUAAAAAUAAGAUUAAUGAGAUAAAUGAUGAUACAUUUAAUAUUAAAACUAUAAUUUAUUUAAUUCAAAUACAUUCAACAAUGUAAAAUAAAUUAUGAUGCAUAUAUAAUUUUUUUGAUAUUUAUAUUUUUUUUAUAUAAUUGUCAUAUAAAUGAUAUAAAAAAUAAAAUAAAAUAAAAGACUUGUUAAGAAAAUUAUAAUGAUGGUUUUAUACUUUUAUUAAAUAAUUAAAUAAAAUUUUAAAUAAAAUAAUUAGAAUUAAUUUAUUUAUUCUUUUAAUGAUGAAUUUUACCAUAUUUAUUGUGAACAUAUAUUUACAAAUGUGGACUUGGCCCAAUAGUAGUCAGGCUUCACCCAAGCCUUUUGGCCUAGGUUUGAAUCCCCUUGGAUGCAAUAGAAAAAAAUUUGAAGGAAUUUACCCGAAUAUCGACAUCUUUUCGAUGAAGUUGAUUGACUUUCGGUGUACAAUAUCAUGUCGACUCUCCCUGAUAUUUUGACGAUCAACUUUUAGUGUGGAAUAUUGUGUUAGCUCUCCCUGAUAAGCAAAAUAUCGACAAUAUUUCAUCAAAAUUUUGCAACAUUUUAGUGUGGAAUAUCAUGUCGACUCUCCCCAAUAUUUCAACAAUCGACUUUCAGUGUGGAAUAUCGUGUUAGCUCUCCCUGAUAAGCAAAAUAUCGACAAUAUUUCGCCAAAAUUUUGCAACAUUUCAAACCAUGCUUGAAAGUUAUGCAGGACAAGGUUUUUUUUUUUUUUUUUUCAUUAAUAGAGUUGAAAAGGUUUGUUGAUUCAAAUUGGGCAACUUGUGUGGUCUGUUAAUGAGUUUUGCUUUUUUUUAUUUAUUUAUUGUUGAUUCCUUAAUUUCCCAGAAAUAAAAAAGGCAGCAUACAGUUUCAAGAUCUUUUGUUGAAGUUGAGGACAAAUUUAUGGCAAAUGCAACAUGUGAAUUGAUGUGGUUACUUUCUUUAUUUAGAGAUUUGCAUGUAUCUCGUCCUAAGCCUGCCUUGCUAUUUUGCAACAAUCAAGCAACUCUUUAUAUUGUAGCUAAUCCAAUUUUUCACAAGCACACUAAGCACAUUAAGAUCGAUUAUCACUUGGUUAGAAAGAAACUGCAAAAUGGAAGCUUGAAGACACUACAUAUUUCAUCUAAACAUCAAGUGAGAGACUUGUUGACCAAACCUUUUUCUUCACCUCAAUUUCUUUUUCUUCUUAGUAAAAUCGAAAUUCACAAUAUUCAUUCUCCAUUUUGAGGGGGAGUAUUAGAAUAUUUGGGUAUCUUGCAGUAUGGUUACAAGUUAAGUAAAGAAUUGUUAGUUUGUUAAAUAAUUGUUAGCUUUUUUUUUUUUUUUUUUUUUGCAACUAGAUGUGUCUAUUCAAUAACUUCAUAUGGUUAUAGUUAAUUAAAGAAUCCUUUACGUAUUAACUGUUAAAAUAAUUUGUUUCCAACUUUCCUAUUAAAUUUUCUUCUGCUCAAGAUUUCAAAAAUUAUAGUUCAAGAAAGCUCUUUCGAUUUCUAUGUUGCACUGUAUCUUCUUAUAUGUUAGUACAAAUCAUACUCCUCUUUUUACCUCUUCAAUGAAUCCUUUUAGGAGUAAGACCACCAAGUGAGCACCCUUAUAUUGAUCCACAAGCUUUUUAUUACAUAUUUUUUGUUUGUGCACACCACCUCAAAUUUAAGUGGCCCAUAAAUUUUAUACUUUGGAUACCUUACCAUCCAAUCAUAAGCAUAAACUAAAUUUGAAAGGAUAAGAUUAGUUUAUUUUAGAGAAAUUGAGCUCCAAGUCCCCUAGCCAAACAUGAAGUUUUGAAGCAUGAAAUUUUUGUGAUGGGACAUAAUUGCAAUCCUUAUUAAAUUGAUCAAUUGUGUUAUGCCAAGAAUGCAAAUUAUGCAUGGCAAAGUGGUUAGAAAGUGUACAAAUGCACCAUCUUUUUACUUGUUUGUUUACUCAAAUUUCUCGGUCAAUUUUUUUUUUUCAUUCUUAUCCCUCUUGAUUGAGGCAAACAUGUUUUGGCUAGUGCUCUCAAAUUCCUUAAAUAUAUUCUUUUCAAUAUUGUAAACAUUUGGCUUGGUCAUUGUUAUAGUUAUCAAUUGUGUCAACUUUUACUUUCUCUCAUCCCCAAUUACAUAUGCACUUUGUAGCUUUAAUUUUUUUUUAGUGAUUAAUCUUAGUUUUUAUCUAAUUGUUUGCCUUAUAGUCUUUGACAUAACUAUAAGUGUAACAUGUACCUCUCACAAACCAAAAGACAUCACUUGUCUUCUUUAAUUUAAACAUUUUUGCAUCUGUGUAAGAUCUGAAACUAGAAUUUCACAACAUCGCGUAGUCAUUUUCUCUAGUUGUUUCUCAAAGCUCUCUUCAAGAUUUAGUUCAUGUUCAAUUACCAACUUUGAGUUUUCACUUUUUUUUUUUCCCAUGAGUCAUGAGGAAAUGAAUUUCAACUGUGUUUCAUCUAUCCAUCUCUCUUAAAUUGUUUUAUUCGAUAGUUACCAAUUGUAGAAUUGUUUUUAUAUAUUCUUUUCAUAGAUAUUGUUAAUAAAUUAUGCUAAAUGAGUAGCUUCCUGAUGUGGUGAGAGCUAAUUUUGUUAUUGCUAGGAUAAUAUCUUUUUAACUUUCUUAACUUUUUCCGAAUUAUAAACCACUCAUGCUUUGACCAAUCUCCAUGUGUUUUUCAUUUGUUUGGAUUUAUGGGCUUUUGAUUCUAUUUGGUGAAUAGAUAAUAAGGAAUUAAGGAUCUGAGAUUGACAUUACUUUAAGGAUGUUUGAAGAUGACAUAGUGAAGCAUAGAAUAUUUUUUUGGGUUGUAUCUCCUCAUUUCCCAUACUUAUGGUGGACAUUGAUGAGUUGGAUUAUUUGAAUGAAAUGAGCUUUGGAAAAAUACUAGUAAUUACAUGAAUUGUUGCAAUAUAUUUGAGUGAAAAUAUUAUGUUAGUGUCUCUCCAUGUCACUAAUUCAAACCUGUUACUUUCCAUUGUAAGUGGUAGAAAUAUAUUUUUUAUUUUCUAGAAAACAUUACUCUAACUUGUGAAAAAGGUUCUUAUGCCUCCAUAUUAAAUGUUAUAUGAUGGAAAAAAAACUUGAAUCUCUCUGUUUCCUCAGUCUGGAUCAGGUUAGGAAUAUGCAUAACUAUCCUAGGCUUUUUCUAAAUUCUAUGCACAACAAAAAAAUUAAUUUUUUUUAUACUUUAUAAGGAUCUAGAAAGUGCUAACGAAAACUAUACCUCAAAUUCGGAUGCUCCCGAGUCUUCCGCUCGAUGACUCAAACCUUGAUCUUGGCACACUUCUAAUGGGGAGGAAAUGAGGGUGGAGGCUAUAGUUUUCUCUCUCUCUGGAUGGUGGACGAUAAAAGCUAUGGAACCCCUAACCUCUAGGGGGUAUUUAUAGGGUUCCUAAGUGGGCUUAAGUGACUUGAGCCCAUACAGGCUUGGGUCACUUAAUCUAACCCAAAAUGAGUUCUAACUGAUUAAUUAACCCAAUAAGGCUUACUAAUUAAUCAAUUAGCCCAAUCAAGAGACCUUGUUCACUUACCCCUAUACAACCUUGCGUAAUUAUCAAAAUGCCCUUAUGCACAGAAGUGAACUUAGAGUCAAUUCAACCCUCAUAACCCAUGCCAACAAGGUAUAUGAGUUCAAAGUGGGGACCAUUGGGACCCAUAGAAAUACUGACUCCCUCAAAAUCAAAUUCUAAAGUUGAUUCAAUAUCACACUAUAGAGAAUCAACUAAACUCCAAUAUCUUAUGUAAAUAACAACGAGACACUAAGUGAUCGGGUCUGUGACUUGCUAUCCAUUGUGUUCAGUCUCCCCAUGAACUAAUGUCCGUAGUUUAAUAAGGUGAAAGCUAUUAGUCUUUCAAGACUACCUCUACCUUCUAUUUUGUGUUCAAUUGACAUAUCUUAGCUCUCAAAGAGCCUAUGUCAAGUUCCAUUUAAUGAACUACAUGACCAUAGUUUCCAUGAACACACCUCCUUAAGAUCACCCAAGGGGACACACUAUCUCAAUCCUAAGAGAUAUCAUAGUGCCUCUAUUGAAAAUACCUAUUACUACCAGCUUCUAUCAACAAUGACCCAAUCCAUACGGAAUAUAUGAUCAGCUUACGAUUUCACCUGUAGGUCAAAGUCAUUGCCAACUUUAGCACAAGCUUAAUAUUCUCUCAAGGUUGAGAGACAACACAAUGAAACAGCUUGGUGAGGUCAUGACUCAAUAAUAGCCUUAAGUCAUGACUCACCAUAAGUCUUGUCCAAUGUGUAACCAUACAUACUAGUGCACUCACCAUGGGAAACCCAUCCUGAUAACCAAGACCAGUGAUCCCUCCAAUUAGGAGGUGGUGCACUACAACCUUUAAUGGGUUGCCUAGACCCAUGAACCAAUUGUAAACAAGUCAUCUAUUUGCAAGGAACCCAUGACUUAGAUCUUCUGUGCAACUCCUAAUGCACCUAAGUCACGUACAAUACAAAAAAUGCAGACAAGAAUGCUCAUAAAGUAUAAUAUAUGGAAUAAGAAUAGAUAAAAGUGAAACUGGAACAUCAUUAAAUAAAUAAUGAAUUCCAAAUUUAUUACAUCAUGUCAUGAUUUUAAGUGCUUUAUCCUAACAUUAUAUAUUUGAGAUAAACAUGAUAUAAUGAGAUUUAUGUUUCUUUGUUAUAAUAUUUCAAUAAGUAAUUGUGUUUUAAUUUUAAUAAACUAUGCAUGCAUGAAACAAUUCAAGUAUCAUUAGCAUCAUUGGUAUCAUUGUGAGACAAAAGUUUCUCUUAUUACAUACUAAAGAGAUUUAAGUUAUCAAAAAGUGAAAACGGUUUUAUCUAGGCUAGUUUCAAGUUGACAACUUUUAAAUUGUUUAUCAUGUGAUAAAGAACUUUUCCCUACAAAUGAUACUUGAAUUGUAUAAUUAGACAGUGUAGGAAAACAUAAUAUCUAUGAAGUUAACUGUUUAUUCUUAAUUCAAUUUUUAGAAAUUUUGGUAGUCUUUCCUCUUAUUCUCUGGGUGCAUAUUUGGAUAAAGUUGCAUAGUAUGCCUUGUCCAUUUUACAUACUUAGAGAACUAUAAGGAAAUUCUACUAAAACUUCUUUAAAAUGAAAUUGACCACAUUGGUCAUUGACACAUAGAGAUUAUGUAUUUCUAUAUGGGAUAGGAACUACUACCGAAUUUAGGAUGUUGGAGAUGUUAGAAUGCAUAAAACAUGCAUCAAAAUUUGACAUACUCAAAUGAUUUUCUUUAUUUAGUAAAUUAGUAUAGAUAAUGUUUGAUGCAAAGGUCAUGGACAAACCCAAUAUAAUAAUAUUAAUAUGCACUAGUUUUAUUGAGGUUAUACAUCCCUUUUAAUGCAAGUAUUCAUGGUCAACAACAUUUAUAACUUAUUAGUCACUACUACAAAUAAGAUAUACCAUGACCUUGUUUUUUCCUUGGCACUUUUAAAAAUGUUAAUAAUUAGCGUGAUAUUUCAAAAGUGUAGAUCUAUGUUCAUAGAUCAAAAUGGUUAGAACAAUGCUUACUUUUUUUCUUUUAAAUUUGGCAUCUUAAAGAAAUGUUGAACUACACUUUCUUGAUUAUUAUUUGAACAAAAAAAAAAGGUUGUUAAACGAAUAGCAUAGAAAAUGUUGCUAUUUUCUUCAAUUUGAAGUUUGAUCACUAUUGAAAGUUUGUUCUUAAAAAAUGGAUCAUUUGUGGAUUUCAAAGGAUAGAGGACUAAAGGAGUAUGGGGAUGGGGUAGAACAUUUUUAUCACAUUUGCAAUAUAAAAUUCUGCAUAUAAAAACUCCAUUAAAUGUCCAUGCUUGUAGAGUGGUAAUAUGAUAUUUCAUACUCCUCAAAGAUUUCCUCAAAGAUUUCCUCAAAAUAUUAGAGAGCAUAUGUUUUUCUAUAGAAUUAAUCAGAAUUACCAUAUAUGUUAUUGGCAUGGGGAAGCAACUCCAAGUGAACCACCAACUAGAAGGGUAGAACAUUAUAAUAUGGUUCAAUUUAAUGAUGUAGAUAGUACAAUAGAAAUGGUUGAAGUUGUACAAGUUGAAUGUCAAAAUGACCUAAAAUUGCUUGAAAGAUUACUUCAAAUUGUUGAAAAACCUUUUAUAUCCUAGUUGUAGAAAAUUCACACAAUUGUUUGCAUUGGUUAAAUUAUACAACUUGAAAACACACUAUGAGUGGUCUGAUAAAAGCUUUUCAGAGCUUUUAAAAAUGCUUAGAUAUAUGUUGCCUCUAAAUAAUGAGUUACCCUUGUCUAUGUAUGAGACAAAAAUGGCAUUGAAUACAUUAGGAAUGGAAUAAGAAAAAAUACACGCAUGCCCCAUGAUUGUAUACUUUACAGGAAUAAGUUGAAAGAUGCAUUUCAUGUCCUAUCUAUGGAACUUCAAGGUGAAAGGUAGAUAAUAUAGGAACUAAAAAAAUGACAGGAACUCCUGGGAAAGUAAUGUGGUAUUUUCCUCCAAUUCCAAGAUUUAGAAGAAGGUUUCAAUCAUAAAAAAUCGUAAAAGACCUCAUAUGGCAUACCUAAGGAAGAGAUUUAGAUGACAAAAUGUGUUAUCCAGCUGACUCUCUAUCAUAGCUAAUUGAUCAUAAAUGGCCCAACUUUGUUUCAAAACCUAGAAACUUGAGACUUCCCAUUUUAGCAGAUGGUAUAAAAUCCUCACAAUUCAUUGAUUAGCAAAUAUAGUUGUUUGUCCUAAAGAGCUCGAAGCAGCAACUAUGGACAAUGUUUUUUUUAUCAUAAAGAGUAAGUUAUGGGCAACACUAUGGCUGUAAAUAGAGGUAAAACCUUUAACUUGUUUUUAGUUUGAUUUUUCUUUUCUUUCAUAAUGGAAAUAGAAAAUCAUCUAAACAAAUAGGACCUUAAUAAUUUUUUUUUUCUACAAUUUAUUUUUGAAUAAAAUAAUUUAAAAGAUUCCAUUCUUAUAUUUGUUAGACUUUUUUUUAAUGAAGAAAAAAAUAGUCUCCCUUUUAGCAUAUAUAUUAUAUAUGAUUAACAAUGGGUAUAAUAAAAUUUAUUUAAUAAAUAAUUGAUGUGACAUUCUAAAUUGAAAGUCAUAAAUUAGCUCAUUAGUUUGAUGUUGGCCCUAAAACUACAAGACUUGAUUACAUACUUAGAUUUUAUUCUUGAAAUUUAAGAGAUAAUUGAUGUGACAUCUUGAAUUGAAAGUCAUAAAUUAGCUUAUUAGUUUUAUGUUGGCACUAAAACUACAAAACCCAAUUACAUAAAUUUUGUUCUUGAGAAAUGUCAUUAUGGUUCAUAGUAAGGCUUAGUUUGGUGUGUUAGACCAUGCAUGCAUGAUAUCUCUUCACAUUCUCUUGUUUUUUGACAAACAUGCUACCAUACUUAAGGUGUUUGUCAAGGCUCAUCUUGGACUACUCAAAACUUUGGGGUCCUUUCUUUGAGUUCACAAGCUUCUUUCCCCUAGUGUCAACCCCAACUCCCAAAAUCCACUCCUUAGUAGUGCACUGACGAAAUCUACAAAUGCACUAUAAAGUGAGAAUGGCAUCAUGAAAAUGUAUUAAUGCAUCGUAGAUGUGGGAACUUAAAAAUAUAUAUAUAUAUAUAUAUAUAUAUCUAGAGUUUAGACUUGUUUCUAUUAAUUAGAAAUUACUAAGCAAUGAAUCUUGCUAGUGUGGAAAGUACCAAUAGAUUGACCAAGGAAGGUAUAUGUAAAAAAGAUUGACAUUGUCAAUUGGAAAAAUUCCUUUACAAACGUCAACCCUAUCUUCCUAACCAUCAUGGAUGUUGAGAAGUAGAUAUCGAUGACUAUGAUGAGGAUCACAAAGGAUUAUCAUACCAAGGAGUUAGACAUUUGUUGGGUUAUCAACAAUUUUAAUGAGGGUGGUAUUAACUAUUUGGUUGUUGAUAGUGUAUUGCGUAGUUCCACCAAGCCAAUCUGCUCCUGCAUUGAGAUCAAUCUCGAUGAAAAGGUAGCAUAUAUUUUUCAUUUCCUAAUUCUAUCAAUUGCUUCAUGGUGCCUUUGUCUAAUAAGCUUAACAGGUUCUUCUACAUUUUCACCAUUUAAUUCUCUAACGUUCAUCAUGAUAGGGUUGAAAUUUCAUCAUCAAAUCAAAACAUAUCCUCCUAUAAGAGGCCUUUGAAUUCUGAAAUAAUCAAUUCACUUUAUUCUCAUAUUGGCAAAGACAAGCUUACACUAUUGGAAAGACUACCCCUAACCUUUGCCCUCCCAAAUAGCAAAGAUGAGAGAGAACCUUUCACAAAAUCACAAGAAUUAUUCAAGUUUGGAAUUCAUAGGCAUUGUUAUUGAAUUUCAUUUGUAUAAAAUUGGUGUGUUGUGUUUAUUUUGUUGGUAUUAAAAUUGAAUUUUUUUUAAUUGCAAAUUGAUGAUUUUUUUUCUCUCUCACAUUUAUACCCAUUAGAGUUUCUUAUUAGGGUUUGUGUUUGAAAUUUGGAGAAAGUAUGGUGCAAUUGUUCAUCGGUGUGGUGUACCAUUUUGUUUGUUGUAUCUAAUAUUUGGGUAUUUGAUUUAAUUUUAUUGUUGUUGAAAUUGAAAGUUGAAAUCCAAGUUAAUUGUUUAACUAGCUAUUUGUAGUUGACUUGUUUUGCACCAAUCUUGAUUACCCAUUUCAUGGGAAUAAUCGAUUCCAAUUUUCCUUCAUGGUUACUAAAAAUAUAUUGUAGGUGAAGGACUAUUAUGGAGUAUAUUAAUUCACAAGAAAAAUGUUCCUUUAGUUAGUAAAAACUUCAUUCAUGUGGUCAUUUAUGAGCAUCAUAAUAAUCCAUAUUAAAAAUAUUUAAAAACAUUAAUGCACUAAAACAUUGAUUUCAUCAACAAAAAUACACUCAUUCUUUUGACUUAUAGCAUUCAAAGAUGUUUAAAAAUAUAUAUGUACAAUAAAACAUCAUCGAAUUUAUUAACAAUUAAACUUUUAACCCCAAAACAAUCCGUUACUUUAGUAGAUAAGACACUAUUGGAAUAACAUUAUUUUUAGCUCAAGUUAGAAGUUAAAAUGAUAAGGUUAAAAGAACAAAACCAACAAAAAAAAAAAGUUAUUUUUUGUCAAACUUGACACUAGUACAAUUUAAAUAAUGUAGCUCAAUGCCCUAUUGAAUUGAGUCAUAUAACUAGACUCCCUAAUUAUAUAUUAUGAUACACACACAACCUUUGGUCUAGUAUACAUGAUUAAAUUAAAUGCCAACCUAGUUUGCAAAGCUAAACUGGAAUCCCAAAUCUAGUUCAUUAUAAAUACUCUUCAACCAACUUGCUACAACAUUCAAAUAAGACAAUGACAAUGAUAGAAAACCAAAAAAAUACCUAAUAUAUCAUUGAAAACUCCUUCCUAAAGGAGGUAAAAAAAAUCAUGAAGUAACUUUCUUCUAUUAAUAAAAAUGGGAAUACAAUGAUCUAUAUAGUGUUUUAACUCGAAACUGAUGGUAUUACAAAUAUUAAAGAAGAAAUUUAAAACACACACACACACACACACAACAAGCAUGUUGUCAAGCUUAUAAGAGUUGGAGAAAUUUCUCCAUAUAAAUCUUCAAAACAUGAUGGAGAGUAACCUUGACAUUUAAGUCAAUAAUAUACAAGGAAAGACAACCCAAAAAGAUACAACUUUGAGAACAAACUCUCCUUUUUGCUUUUUUACAUAACCUUUUUUUUUUUUUUUUCCUUUUUGAAAACUUCUCUCCUUUCCUCUAAUUGUUACACCAUACAACAAUCCUAAAAAAACAGAGUUUAAAGGCUUGUUUGAUAACUGUUUUUAAAAAUAAUUUUGAAAAAUAGUUUUUGAAAAUUAUUCUCUAAUGUUUAAUUUGUAGAACAAAAGUUUGUUUGGAAACCCAAAAUAUUUUUAACAUGUUUUUAAUGUUGUUAAAUAUGUUUUAAAAAUAAUUUUUAUGUUUAGUAUUUUAUUUUUAAUCAUUUUAUAUGUUUAUAUAAUUAUUUUUUAAGGCAAACCUUAAAAAAUAAGUGAAAAUAACAUAAAACACUUAAAAGAUAUUAUCUGAAAACACCUUAUUUUAUUGUAACAGAAAAUAAAAAGCGGUUUUUGGUUGUCAAACAUGUUUUCUUAAUUUUUUAUUUUGAAGAAUAGAAAUUUGUUCUUGAAAAUAUCUAGUUAUCACAUUAGUUAUUGCCCAUUUUAUGAUUUUAAUUAUUGCUUAAAAACUAGUUUUUCAGCUAAAAAAGAAGGUCCACUACUUAUGGGUCAAACCUUCAACUUUCAAACCCGAACACAAAGUUAUAGUCAAGACUAAUAUUCACAUAUUAGUAUUAAUAUAGUUCAUUAAAUAUGAAUUUCUAUUGAAGCCAAAAUCGAGUUUUUAGGGGAAGUAACAUUCACUUUCAAUUAAGCAAUUUUUAACUCAUAAGUUAGUACUUGUAACAAAAUUUCUUAAUAGAGACUUUAAUUGAGUUUUAAGAAGAAUUUUUUGUUUGUUAAAAACCAAUUCAAACAAAAUCUAAAACUAAUAUUAUUAUCUAAAAGACAUAAUGAACAACAUAAACCAUAAACCAAAGUGGUAGUGACAACCAAUAUGUAGCGUCAAUGAAUAAUUGAAAAUAACCUCAUUUUCUAAUGACCUCGAACCUAGAAGCUCUAAAAUUCUUGCCUAAUUCCUUGUGAUGACUUUGGUUCAACCUUAAUGGCGAGGGCAAAAUUCUAAAUAAUUUUUGUCACAACUCAUAAAUUUAGAAGAAAAAAAUGAGAAUAAAUGGAAUCCCUAAUGAGAAAUUGUUAUUUUUCCCCUUUAUGACAAAAAUAGUAACCUACUAGUAUUAUUAAAUAACAUGGAAAUUAUUAUUUCAACUUUAAUACCAUGUAUGACAUAACUUUAACAACCUUAAUUUAUAAGAUUAUUUAAUUUAAAAGGAUAAAACAAUUACAUAUUCAUAAGAAUCGCUUCUAUUUUUUAAAAACAAUAAAUUCCAUUUUUUGGACAAAAAUACCCUCCAUUGUUUUUAUCAACAUUUCACAAUCAAACACUUAUUGGAAAAAAAAAAGUAUAAGGGUAGCUAUAUUAAAAUGAGGUUAUAAUUAUAAUACUCAAUAAGUGGAGAUUUUUUUUCCAAAUAUUGGGAUCAUCUUCUCCAUUUGACACAAAUAUUUAUAAUUUAUAUUAUAAUUACUCUUAUAGUAAGAGAGAAAGAGUAAUUUCACAUGAAAUGGACCCAUAAACAUAGAUUUAUUAUGAGGCAUGAUACUAUAAUAAUAAUAGGAAAUAAGACGAGACGUGAUACCAUAAUAAUAGAAAAUAAGAUAAGUAAUUCAAUACUUAAUGAAGGUCUGAAAUAAUUAUGUUUCUCAUUAAAUGAUAUUAAAGACGAAAAAAAACUUAUUAAUUUUUAUUUUAAGUAUUAAGAUUAUUUAAUAAAAUUAACUUAAAAUUUAUUUUAAAUUAUCAAAUUGAUAUAUUUAUUUUCAUAGAUUAUAACUAAGGUAAAUGAAAUCAAGUAAUAAUGGAUGUCAUGUAGUGAAAGAGAUCCUAGAGGCAACGGGACAAAUUGUGGUAAAAAAUGUCAAAUAAAAAUACGAACUUAAGAACAAAUUAAUUGUUUGUACUUAUUACUUAAAGUUGUUAUUUAUUUUAUAUUAUUAAAUUAUUUUACUAAAUAUGCUUAAUUUAUUUAAUGACUUAAAUUAAUUUAUUAGUCACUUUAGGCUAUUAAAUCGGGUUUACCAAUCAUAUCGAAUACAUUUGGCUAGUAGGCCAAGACUCAAGAAUAUUGCUAUCAUAUGUUUUAUGUAUUAAGGUGCCAAGAAUAAUUCACCACAAAAUAUAUGAUGAGUUGAUAAGUAUAGGAUACAAUCUAAAAUAUGCACUUGAUUUCAUCAUCUAAAUAAAUGCUCUCGGCAAAUGGAUCAUCCUAGCUGAUACCAGAGCACAAGCCGCCAUGGACAGGAGGCAACGGAGAAACCCUUCUGCUUCUUCUUCUGCCUUUUCAUCUCCAGCUUCAUCCUCAUCGCGUUUCCGCUCAGAGAAAUUCUCCUCGAAUCCCCCAAAAACUAGUAACUCCCUGGAGGAUGCUCACCAAUUGAAAAGCAAAUGUGGGAAGCCACAAAGACCAAAGCAAGAGGAGGAAGGAGAGCAAGAUCCGAACAAUCUUCUCUCCUUAGUUGGAACUUGCCCAUUCAUGUGCCCUGGUAAAAAUGCGUGCUUAUUUUUCCAUUUUUUUAAAAUUCUAUUUUCCUGUUAUUCUGUGUUUGGUUUCCGAGAAAUUGGAGGAAAACAGUAGAAAAGAGAAGUGAAUCUGGAGUUUCUGUGUCAUUUUUGUGGCUUUUACAUAAAUUUUACAAAUAAAAUUGAUAUUUCUCCCCCUUUAUUAGAUACCAAUCUGCAGAAGAUGUAGGAAUCCCAAAAAAAAAUUCGCUUUUGCCUUUACUUCCCCCAAAUCUUUCAUAAUGGAAAAUGGACUUACCACCUCUUUUAUCACUUUUCCUUUACCAUGUCAGGUUUACAUGUAAUCAAACACUGUAUUUGGAGUAGGGCACUUAUUCUAAUGUCAAAUGGUGUUGAAAACUUGAAUUACUGGAUCUUAAGACUCCAGAAGAAAUUUGAUUGUUUAUGAUUAUUGCUCCAUGAGAAGGGAAAGGGAUUUCUUUUGUUUUUGCUCACAUAUAUGGCCAAAUUGAUUUAUCUCCUUCUCAUACGAACAAAAUAAGGACAUUUCUUGUCUUGCUGCCUUUUAUGCCACCGGUUCCACAUGCUGAUGUGACAACCCUUUUGCUAUUCUGUACAAAUGGUAGGAAAAUUCUGGUAAGACUGGUGGCCAGCCUAUCAUGUUCAGGGAAUAAAUUCAUUGUAUAUCUGGAAUUCACUCUAUAUCAGCAUAGGGUGUUGAUACUGAUUAUAAAUGACAAAUUCAAUUUAUUAUCCUUACAUUAGGGAGUGCUAAAAGGAUGCAAAUUGUUCAUGUUAUACCCAAAGACAUACAAGUGAUGCUAGAGAUUUUCACAAUGUGGAUAAUCAUAGAGUAGAGAUGAACACUAUGGAGUCUUUUGGCAUGUGUUCAUUCCAUGUACGGGAACAUGCAUUGGAAGAUUAUGUUUCCUCCUCCCUUCCCCUCCCCAAAGUUAAUACUAUGUUGUCAUGGCAAGAACUUUGGUGACAUGCUUCUGAGUGGAAUAGCCUCCUAGAAGUCCAUUUAUGUGGCAGUUGGCAAGUUCUUCCGGUCAAUGAGAACUUUGUGACUGUCUGAUUGUUGUACUAAUCAUCAUCAGAUUUUUUUUUAAGUUCAAGUUGUAAAUAGCCUUUCACAGUUGAAGGUAGCGAUGAAGAGGCCUGUUGACAUAAUUAUUUCUUCUGCUUGAAUGGAUUAAAAUCAGAUACCACACCUUCAGCCUAGAAAACUAUGGACUUUCCUAUGUACCUGCAAUUGGCUGAAUACUGGUGUGGCACUGACUAAAGGCUCUCUGAUGCUGUUAUUAAUUUCCUGAGCAAAUUAGAGAAAACAGAGAGGUCAUAAUGUGAAUCAGUUACCUCUUGAGUAGGGAUGAAGGCUUUUUAUAACUUUUUACUUUCUGGUUAGGCCUUGGAAGCACUUCUGUGAACCAUGAUUUUGUACUGUAAAAUUAGAUGGGAUGGAUAGGUCACCUUAACUCUACUUUUGGAAGUGAUUGGGGAGCGCAUGACUGUAUGAAUAUUGAUGUGUUCUCCCCAUACAGAGCCCAACUUCUUUUUGAACUAGGAAGCAUGAAGGGUGGGUGGAUGUGGGCUGAGGAAGGAAGAUUUGACUUGUGUGCCGCAGGCCUGCGGUACCAAUUUGUUCCAGAACUUGAUAAGGCCCAUAAACUGGUAGGCAAGUUUCAUUAUUUGGUCACCACUGAAUUUUGGCAGUAUGGCCACAAGGAAGGUAGGAAGGAGAGGGAGAAGAGAAAACCCCAAUUGCCAAUUGCAAGCUUCCGGUUGGCACAGUGCUCAUUGCUGACAUUUUCAUUUGAUUUUGACCUUGCAACAGAUACAGCUUAACAUGAUGGACCAGUUUUUCACAAUCUUGUGAUUCAUUACCCAACUUCUAGUAACAGUUUCUCAGCAGAUGACUCACCUAUGACAGGCUGAUGAUGUCUGCACACAACUUGAAAGGUAUUCAUGCCAAGGUGUGAAAGGUAAUAUUGUGACACCAUUUUGCCUAUUCCAGAAAAUGUAACAAAUGUAUGGCUGGUUCUUGACCUAAAAAUGCUGGCAUUGGUCACCAAGUGCUAGGGUGAUUCUUGACAAAAAAUGUUCGUAUUGUUCAGAACAAUGAUUUACAACUUCAGAUUGGCCAUCCAGUUAACGAUGAUAAUCACUUGUUUUACAAAGUUCAGUGUCAUAAAAGCAAAAUAAUUUUGUCAACAAAUAUGCGGAUAACUUUAUCAUAAUUACUACUUAUGGAAGUUAAGGAUAAGUUGGGUAAUGUGAGAAAGUUUUGGUCAGAGGAUAUGAGGAUAAAUUUGUUGCAAUUGCUAAGCUUCACCUCCUAGGACUACUAGGAGAAACGUAUGAGCAAUAGAACAAAUUUACAGUCCAUCCCCAUUAGCUGCAUGGAGAGGUUGGGCUUAUUGCUGCUAUGGUGGAGGUCACCUUCUUGUAGACUUUGAAAUCUGCGAAUGAAGAGGCAGAUUUCUUAGAGGAAUUGGUAGGACUCCAAGCCCCCCAAAUGACAGGGGGGUGGGGAGGAUGGGGGUGGUGGGGGGCCAUUUCUAAUUUCAUGUCUUCUCAAUGUGGAUUUGAGGUUUAACGAGAUUUUUGGGAAAUCAUUAAGGUUAAAAGUAAUUGAAAGAGUGUGUCUGUGGAGAGCAAGAGGGGGAAAUGUUUGGUUCCCAACUGGGGUUGCUUCAUCUGACCGUUAAUCUCACAGCAAACACCGACGGAGCGUUGUUGUUGGAGGCUUCCAGGUUCUCUGAUCAAUUCUCUUGUUCUUUGUUUUCUUUGGGGAAGCGGGAAACCUCUCUUUCUUCUAUUCCUUCUGGGCGGGAUGGGGAAGGUGUUGCCAUUGCCAGGGUUUCCGAUCAGGGCAGUGGUUUAGAAGCCGUAGGGGGAGCUGUUAUGGGCCCGUUAAGGAUGAUAUUGGCGGAUGGGAGGGAGGCCGAGGUCUCAAAUUUGGCGGGUAGGGAGUUUGGGACUUUCGAGGAGGCGUCAGAGGGGGUUUCGAAAAGGGUCUCCCAAGAGGAUGAAGAAGAGAGGGACAAAGAGGGGGAACUGUGUUGGCAUUCUAGUAGCUUGGCUAAGUUCAGCCGCUAUCUUGGAAUGCCGAUGGAGGGCUUCGAAGGGGAAAUUUUGUUUUUGCUUAAAAGAAUGAAAGAGAAGAAACUUCAAAAAGGAAAGUUGAAUGGCAGAAAAAGGAAAAAAUUGGAGUCAUCAAAAUUCGAAAUAGAAUUGAGAAAGUUGGAAUGGACAGUGAAUUAUCUUGGAGGAGGAGGAGGAGAGGGGGGGGAAGUACGAGCAGGUCUAAAUGAAGCUCCGACUGCUCACUUGGAAUGUAAGAGUGACCAAUAAUUGUGAUAAGAGGAAGGUGAUCAAAGCGUUGAUAAAGAAGAAUAGGGUGGAUCUGGUUUGCCUAUAGGAAACCAAGAUUUAGGAAAUGUCAAUGGGCAUUAUCCGUAGCUAAGGAGUGGGAAGAUUCCUUGAAUGGGGAGCUGUAGAUUCAAGGGCACAGCUGGAGGUAUAGUGGUGUUUUGGGAUAACAGGGUGUUGGAUUUGGUUGACCUUCAAAAAGGAUUGUUCUCUAUUUCUUGCACUUUUAAGAGUUGCGAGGACGGUUUCAUAUGGACGUUUACAAGGGUUUAUGGCCCAACAUUGAGGAGGAAUAGGGAGAGUUUUUGGGAGGAGUUGGGGGCCAUUAAGGGGCUUUGGAAUGGGCCGUGGUGUGUUGUAGGGGAUUUUAAUGCCAUUCUAAGUCCGGAAGAGCGCAACAGAGGAGGGAGCUUGAAUUCAAACAUGAGAAGGUUCUCAGAAGUUAUAGAAGAUCCAGAGUUAAAGGAUCUGCCUAUGGUUGGGGGUCCUUUUACUUGGAUUGGAGGGGUGAAUAACCAGUCUUUUUCAAGGCUGGAUCGUUUUUUGGUUAAUGAGGGGUGGGACAGUCAUUUUGGUGAUGCGAGGCAGUUUGUUCUACCAAGACCUGUGUCCGAUCACUUUCCGGUUCUUCUGGACGGAGGGGGCCUGAGAAGAGGCCCUUCCCCAUUUAGAUUUGAGAAUAUGUGGCUGAAACUGGAAGGUGUUAAGGACCUUUUGAAGCAUUGGUGGGAGGAAGGUAGCUUCAGUGGAUCCCCAAGUUUUAUCUUGGCCGAAAAACUAAAAUUUAUGAAGGCUAAGCUGAAGAAGUGGAACAGAAACACAUUUGGUAGGGUUGAAUAUAGAAAGAAUUUGGCUUUGGAGCAGGUGGAGUUUUGGGAUACCAAGGAGAAAAUUAGCAGACUGUUGUUGGAAGAGCUGGAAGCUAGAAAAGAAGCGAGGGAAGAUUAUAAAAAAUGGGUCUUACUUGAAGAAAUCACGUGGAGGCAAAAAUCUAGGGAAGUGUGGCUGAAAGAAGGGGAUAGAAAUACCGGUUUUUUCCACAAGAUGGCCAAUGCUCACAGGAGGAGGAAUAAUGUGGACAGAAUUAAGAUUAAUGGAGCCUAGCUUACAUAGGAGAAUGGAAUUAGGGAAGGGAUUGCCAAUGCUUUUAGGUUGUUGUUGUCCAAUCCGGGGGAAUGGCGCCCUUCUAUUUUCGAGCUGCAGUUUGAGACUUUGGAGCCUUUGGACGCUAGUGCCUUGGAGAUUCAUUUUUCGGAAGAGGAGGUCUUCGAUGCACUAUUGGGCUGUAAUGGGGAUAAAGCCCCGGGGCCAGAUGGAUUCUCUAUGACCUUUUGGCAAUUUGCUUGGGAUUUCGUGAAGGCUGAUGUGAUGUGUUUCUUCAAGGAGUUCAAUGAAAAUGGCAAAUUUGUUAAAAGCCUAAAUGCAACUUUUAUGGUCCUAAUCCCAAAAAAAGCAGGGGUUGAAGCCUUAGGGGAUUUUAGGCCUAUAAGCUUGGUGGGAAGCUUGUACAAGUGGCUGGCCAAGGUCUUAGCUAAUAGGCUAAAAAAGGUGGUUGGAAAGGUGGUCUCCAAGGCUCAAGGGGCGUUUGUGGAAGGUAGACAAAUCCUAGAUGCAGUGUUGAUAGCUAAUGAAGCCAUUGAUUUGGUUCUCAAGAAUAAUGAGAAUGGCAUUCUGUGCAAACUGGAUAUAGAGAAGGCGUAUGAUAACAUGGACUGGACUUUUAUUCUCACAGUUAUGCAGAAAAUGGGUUUUGGGGAAAAAUGGAUCAGGUGGAUUAAGUGGUGUAUAUCCACUGCAGGUUUCUCCGUGUUGGUCAAUGAAACCCCUACGGGUUUCUUCCAAAGCUCCAAGGGUUUGAGACAGGGUGAUCCCCUUUCCCCUUAUCUCUUUGUGAUAGUUAUGGAGGUCUUUAGUGCUUUUCUUAAAAGGGCUGUAGAGGGAGGUUUCUUAUCGGGUUGUAGGGUGAAGGGUAGGAGUGAAGAAGGGGUCCUAAUUUCCCACUUGUUGUUUGCUGAUGAUACACUGGUGUUCUGUAAACCUUCACAAGAUCAAUUGACUUAUCUCAGUUGGUUACUUAUGUGGUUUGAGGCCGUUUCGGGAUUGAGAAUAAAUUUGAAAAAAAGUGAACUCAUUCUAGUAGGGAGGGUAGAGAAUAUGGAUGAUCUUGCUUGGGAAUUUGGUUGUAGACUGGGUAGCCUUCCAACCACCUAUUUGGGGAUGCCCUUGGGUGCUCUUUUUAAGUCAGUUACAGUUUGGGAUGGUGUGGAAGAGCGCUUCUGAAGAAGGUUAGCCAUGUGGAAGAGACAAUAUUUAUCCAAGGGAGGAGGGCGACUCUUAUUCGAAGCAUGUUAUCGAAUUUACCCAUCUAUCUCAUGUCAUUGUUGUGCUUACCAAGCUCAAUUAGACGGAGAUUAGAGAAAAUCCAAAGGGACUUCCUUUGGGGUGCAAUUUGGAGCGAAAGCCUCAUUUAGUAAGAUGGGAGUUGGUGUGUUUAAGUAAGAAGAAAGGAGGUUUGGGGGUCAAAUGCCUUUCCAUUCUCAACAAGGCUCUUCUUGCUAAAUGGAAUUGGCGUUUUGCAAAUGAGAGAGAAGCUUUGUGGAAUCAAGUGAUUAGGGGGAAGUAUGGAGAAGAUAGAGGGGGUUGGUGCUCUCGGGAAGUGAGAGAGGCUCAUGGUAUGGGGUUGUGGAAAGGAAUAAGGAUGGAUUGAGAGUUGGUGAGCGAUAGGAUGGUUUUCAUUGUUAGUAAUGGGAGGAGGGUGAGAUUUUGAAGGGAUAGAUGGUGCGGGGAUUCUCCUUUGUGUAUGUCUUUUUCUUCUCUUUUUGAUUUGACUGUUGAAAAGAAAGCGUGGGUGGCAGAUUUUGGGACCCUUUGGCUAAGGGGGGUUUGGGGGGGGGGGGGGGGGUGGGAACCCCGUUUUUUAAAACUUUUCAAGAUUUGGGGGGAGAGGGAGGGGAAAAAUUUUUUGCGAAGGUUUCUGGUUAAAAAAUUUUUUGGGNNNNNNNNNNNNNNNNNNNNNNNNNNNNNNNNNNNNNNNNNNNNNNNNNNNNNNNNNNNNNNNNNNNNNNNNNNNNNNNNNNNNNNNNNNNNNNNNNNNNAAAAAAAGGGUGGGGGGGCAAUUUUUGGGCCCUUUUGGUUAAGGGGGUUUGGGGGGGGGGGGGGGGGUUGGAACCCCUGUUUUUAAGAGCUUUCAAUGAUUGGGAGGUAGAGGAGGCGGAAAGAUUUUUGCAGAGGCUUCAUGGUAAGAGAGUUAUUGAGGAUGUGGAGGAUAUGGUGUCUUGGACUGAAACUAAGAGUGGUAAAUUCUCGGUCAAGUCUCUUUAUGUUGCCCUUGAAGCGGGUUGUUCAUCUCUGUUUCCUUUAAGCUAUAUUUGGAAUGUGAAUGUGCAGCCCAAGAUUAGUUUCUUUACAUGGGAGGCUACGUGGGGCAAAGCCUUAACCUUGGAUAUGGUCCAGAAAAGAGGACGGGCAUUGGCAAAUAGAUGCUUUAUGUGUCUUGAGAAAGAGGAGACCAUAAACCAUCUGCUCCUUCAUUGUUCAAGAACAAGGGUGUUAUGGGAUCUACUUUUUACUUUAUUUGGGGUGUCUUGGGUAUUGCCUUCUUCAGUUAGAGAGACCCUUCUAAGCUGGAAUGGUUUUUUCGUGGGCAAAAAAUGCAAAAAGGCGUGGAGAGUUGCUCCUCUUUACAUUUUCUGGACGGUUUGGAAGGCGAGGAAUAGAUUGGCUUUCAAGGAUGAUAUGUUGUCAAUUUAGCAACUGAAACACUCUUUUAUCCUUUCUUUUUGGUCCGAGAUUAAGUUGUUUAUAGAUGAUUGCCCUCUAACUAUAGCUAAUUUUAUUGAUUGGUUGGGCUCUAAGUAGGAUUGGGUUGUUGGGCUAUCUUUGUUUUUUAGCCUUGUUGGAGGCGGGUGUAUAGGUAUUGUAUACCUUGAGUCACUUUUUUAGCGUUUCUUUUAUAUAUGAAAUCUUAUUUACUUAUCAAAAAAAAAAAAAAUGUAAUCGAAGACUUUCACAUUAAUGAGGUAAUGAAUAACCACUGAUACUUCUUCACCCCAAAGUUCCUUCACAAAAAUUUGGUAAGUGAAGAACCAUUUCUGAGUUGUGAAGCACCAAUUCCACCUUCAUUAUCUUGAUCUUUAGAAAGAGGGAUCCAACUUGAUUUGGGAUUUUAUACCUGUCAACCCAGUCACUAAUUUUUAGGAGAAUACUUCCAAUUUACCCUUGGGUUGCUUUAGAAAGUUUCUUAAUAGUGCCAUCUCUCUAGCUUAAGGGGCUUUUGUUAAUGGAAGGCAAAUACUAGAUGUGGUUAUCAUUAGUAAUGAAAUCCUAGACAAAUACUAGAUGUGGUUGUCAUUAGUAAUGAAAUCCUAGAUGAAAAAUUCUGUUCUAAGGACGAAGGGAUGGUUUUUAAAAUAGGUUUUGAGGAAGUUUAUGAUCACAUAGAUUGGGGUUUCAUGUAUGAUACAUACUUUGAAUAGGGAAGGCCUUGAACCUGGAUGGCACAAAGGGACUGGAUAUUUUGAGGUUGUUUUUCAAACUGCAGGCUCUUUAAUGGUGUUAUUGAAGCUGAGUGUUUAGCACUCGAGGAAGAUUCGGAUAUGGUUGUUUGCCUGGAUGUAAUGAACCUCCAUAUUGAAGGGGAUUCCUUUGUUAUUGUCUCAAAACCUUCUUUGAAGGCAAAGGUCCUUAGUGGAUUGCUCAUCAGAUGGGGUGGCUUCAUAAUCAUGCUAGAGACAUUGCUUGUUCUUCUCUAUUGAGGCCCAGAUCAGCUAGCCAGGUGCAUGGCUAUAUUUUUCUUAUAGGGAUGCUAAUAUCUGAAAAUUUUUAUUGAGAACACUUACUGCUCUUUGAUUGGUUUGAGGCAUGGAGUGGCUUUUCUGUUCUCUUCUUGCCAUACAUGCAUAUCAUCCCUCUUUUUUAUCUUGUUUAACUCAAUAAAUUCUCAUUUGUUAUAAGGAAAAAAAGAGAUAUUAUGUUACAUGAUGGAAGGACUUUAUUCUGUUAUGGAAUAGGCAAAACCUAGAUCUAUUGGCUAGAGCUAUACAGUAGGUUGUUGGGCUGUUCAGCAUUGUCUUUUUUUUGGAUAGGUUUGGCCAAUGCCCCUUGAUGUUACUUUUUGGUAAUGUAAUUUUCUUUGAUUUUUCUUGAAAAUUCCUCAUUUUUCAAGCUUGCUUGUAUAUCUUUCCUUCUUCCAUUAAUGAUUGUUUGAUUCCUUACUAAAAUAAAUAACAAAUUAUGAUGCAAAAGGAUUACGUUUAUGGAAAAUUUUGAGAUUUUCACCAUAUUAGAGUCUCUGAAGUUGGUACUUGUCUUGACACAGAUAAUAGGAAUCAUUUUCCCCCCAAACUACAUAAGACAUGUCUGCUACUUGGUAAUGUUCCAUUGGCAGUUAUAAACUCUCCUGUCAAAAGUGAAUCUGUUGUAGCAUUCCAAAUGGUGUAGUGUCGUACAUAGAUUGGUAAUUGAGGACUUUAUUAUGGAUUUUGUCCUGUUGUGGUUGUGCCAACAAGUUCUAUCCUGUUCUUUGUCUUGCUGAUUUGGGUGGUUGUGCAUCAUGUUCCUACAGCUGUAUAAUUAUGCUUCAGGAGCAUAGUUAUUCUGGUUUUACCAUCCAGAUGAUGGUAUUAAAGUAUUUGUAUUCUAGAUUGCGCAACUCCUUAUAUGGGAUAUUUUUGCACCAAAUGCUUAGUGAUCAAGAGAACUCUCAUAUUAAACACAGUCAUCUUCUAUUAAACUAAAUUCCUUAAGUAUGCAGUCUCACAACUACAUCAUACCAUUCUUUUCCUUUUUUAUUCCUUUCUUGCUAUUACAGGUUGGUUGCCACUAAUAUAGUAGAAAGCAAAUUACACGACCCUGCUUCCAUAAGACCUUUCUUAUUCCAUAGGUUGAAAUAGAAAAAACACUCGAUGGGACUAAUGUUUCUCUUUGCAACCAAGCAAAUUAAAAUGUUUUGAAACCCAUGCUGCCAUGAUCUUAGCUAAUUUGCAUUUUAUAUCUCUACCCCUUUCUAUUUACCAUAAUGAUGCAUGCAUCUAGUCAAAUUGUGUAUUUCUUAUGCUUAUAUUUAUUUCCUGAUGAGUUUAUUCUGACUCUUUGAUCAGGAUUUCUGCAAUCACAUUGCUUGCUAUUGAAUUUUCAAUGGCUUAAUAUGAAUUAUUAAUAAAGAUGUUGUUUAAUUAUUUCAGCAGCUUAUACUUGGUAAUUUCUUUUAACAACUCUUAUCUCUGAUGUUCAUUUGUAAUAUAUAGCUGGAGAAAGGGCCCAACGUGAACGCCUUCGGGACUUGGCUGUGUUUGAGAGGUUACAUGGAAAUCCUGGGAAAACAUCUCCAAGCCUUGCUGUCAAAAAGGUAAACCCUACAUCUCAUUCCUCUAUACCGCAUCUUAGCUUCUCAUCUUGCAUCGGACAAUGAUACUCUUAUUGAAUCAUCUUUACCAUAUCAGCCAUCAACAUGUGCACUUAUUGAGCGCUAAUUCAGGCACUGAUACUUGUGCUUUUGUUUUGUUUUGUUUUAUCUUGUCUUGUUUUGUUUUGGAGGUGAUUGUGUUGGAUGACCUAUAUCUGUGUUAGACACCAAAGCCUAUCUUAAUGCUACUGUAAAGUAAGACUAUGCUAAUAAGCUAUUGAUCUGUUACAGGGUUUAUGCCAAACUGAUUUUUUAGUUUCUCUAGUAGAAAACUUGUUUUUUCCCCUGUUAUAUCGGUGCUAUUGUUGGAUUUGUGUUUGUUGUUGAUCAAGCAUUUGCUGAAACCUUUUUUUUUUUCCUUUGCUUCUUGAUGUGCAAAGCAUUAUUGUUUGAAUUUUAAUGAUCCCAUUUGAUUCACUAUUCAAUAUUUUUAUUUGAUAUUACAUCUAUCUCAUUUGUUUUCUUUUCUUAGUUUGUUUGUUUGUUUUUUUUUUUUUUUUUUUUUUGAAUUUGUGACAUUUGAAUUUGAUGGAGCCACCAUUAAUUUAUUUUUCCUUAUUAUUGUGGGGUGUGCUUUAUUUUGUUCAAUUGUUGUUGCACUAUUAUUGUCAUGUAACUUUUCUUUUUUGUUUUGUUUCUAUUGUUCCUAUGAGCAUUAAAUGCUUCUAAAAUGUAUGGAACAGGCUAAACCUUUCUAUAGUUUUUUUAAAAAAAAAACUCAUUUAUUAUCUAUUUUCUUGUGCUCAAAAAAUUAUAUUUUUUUAGUAAAAUUGAAAAUUUAGGGAGCGCUUAGGCCUCAGCGGCUCAACCCCUUGAGGGUUUAGGCCUGUCAUAGCAAGAUGUAAACCCCCUUGCCUCUUAUGCUUUUACCUUAUGAAACUAUACCAAGAAACAAACACCACAACUCCCUGCUGCCAUCAAAGGAUACUUCAAAGUUUGCUUCAAAUCAAUCUUAAGGCCAAUUAUCAUAGGCUUGUCAUCAUGUCACUAAAAUUGGUAUUGUAACCAAAGUCCUAUUGCGAAAUCUUCAAGUUGCAGCUCCUCCUUUUCUGUUGGCUCUUGUAUUGUUAGGUGGCCGCAACCUGUUGCUUUUCUUAUGCUUUAUGAACUACUCCAGUUAAAAUAAUGCUUCAAGUAGAUGCUUUCUGGAUCUUGAUUCUAGCAAGAGGCUUAUAUUGCAAAUUUUUUUGUGGAGUCCUAGAUAGGUUAACUAGGAAGACAAUAGCUUGCUUAAGAGGAUUGCCACCUCUCCUUUUGGGUUUGUAAAAAUUUUGGUUCUCCCUUGACCUUGGGAGUCCUAUGGUUUCAAUUUUGGAUGUGCUCUAGGUUGUAGCCUGUGUUAUGCUUUCUAAAUGGUAAUCUUCUUCUUGUUUUAGCUGGGAUGCUUUUGUUUAUUUUGCUCGUUUGUUUUCUUUGUUUCUUUAUUGUGGCUGUAGGAUCACCAAUCAACUUUUUAUUCUCUGCAAAAACUGUUUAUGUUUCAUAACGAAAAAGGAAAAAACAAAGGCAAGUUAGCCUAGAAUAGGUUUUAUCUUGUUUCUUCUUUUACCAUUAGUGUGGAUUCAAACUCAGGAAGAGGCCUUCAAACAAGUGGCAUUUGUGUUUUUUAAACAUAUAUCUUUAUUCAAUCAUUGUUAAGUGUUUGUUGUCUUGUCUGUUCUUUUGGUUGUUUUUGUCUUUGUCAAAGUGUAUAAUUAUAAUAUCCCACAUUGUAUAGAGGAAAAAGUUUCUAACGCUAUAUAUGUAUGAACUUUUUUUAAUCUUGUUGAUUCGUUUUUAAGCCGCGAGGGUCGUUUAGGCUCAAAGCAAAUAAUAUCCACACAACUGGGAGUAGGUUGUUACAAAUGGUAUCAAAGUCAAUCCUCGACCUUGGUAGGAGAGUUUGCUUGGCCUAAAAUGGGUGUCCGUUUAUUUGACCUUACAAUCCUAUGGGACACAAUAAGGACGUUGUGUCUGCAUGAGAGGGUGAUUGUAAUAUCCUACAUUACAUAGGGGAAAAAGUUCCUAACGUUAUAUAUCAUAGUUUUAAAAGGCUCAAGGCGCACCAAGGCGCAAAGUAGUCCUGGAGCCUGAGGCGCAAGGCGCAUCUAAGGCGCGGGCUUUAGUGAAGUGAGGCGCACCCUAAUUUACAUAUAUAUUUUUAUAUAAUAUAAUCAAAUUUAACAAUCAUUUAUUUGUCCUAAACACAUAAAUCAUCAAAUAUCAUCCAAAACUUCAAUUUAAUAAACAAAAAACAUAAAAAUAAAGAACUCCAAGCAUAAAAACAAAUCCAAAUCCAUAUUGCUAAUUGCCUAAUACAUAUCCAAAUCCAAAGUUUCCAAACCUAAAGGUCCAAAACAUGAAAUUUGUCCACAAUUCAAAAACAUCAUUAAAAAACACUUAAAUCACAAAUUUGUCCACAACAAGCAAUCAUCACUCCUCCUCUAAAUCAACAAAAUCAUCAUCAUCAUCAUUUCCAUCACCACAUUUGUAGCCUUCCCCAUCUUCUUCAUCUGCUGAAUUAACCAUGUCUCCAUCUUCAUCUUCAUCUAUUAGUGAAUAAGAAGGCAAAGUUCUAGAACUUGAAGCUAUCCCCCUUGUUGGUGGUAUUAUGCUUGAGCUUGCUCUAGCUCUAGCUCUAGUAUCAAACCUGGCCUCCUCAUCUCCAGCAGCUCUAGCAACAUCACCCCAUGUCAAAUUGUCAUCAUCAAAUACAAAAUCAUCUUGUGCACCUCCAUGAGAAUCCUCAUCUUCCAUUCUCCCUAUCAACCAUUCAUUGCUAUCAUCUAUAUCUUUCAAGGAAAUUGGGUCAAUGGUGUUACGUUCAUUGUAUCUUCUCUUCAAGGCUCGAUUAUACUUGAUGUACACCAAAUCAUUCAAGCGUUGAUGAUCUAACCUAUUUCUCCUCUUGCUAUGAAUCUGCAAAAAUUCAUAAGCUCAUAAAUAUAUUUUAAAAUUUUAACUUUUAAGUUACAUUCAAGACUCUAUUAGACUAUUACUUGUAAUUAUUUUGGAUUUGGUCACUCACAUUCUCAAAGAUGCUCCAAUUCCGUUCACAACCCGAUGCACUGCAUGUUAAGUUGAGGACUUUCAUUGCAAACUUUUGCAAAUUUGGAGCUGAAGCUCCAUAUGCAGCCCACCAUUCAGCUGUAGUAUAGAUAUUAACAAUUUAGUGAAACAAUUCACCUAUUUUAGCAAAAAUACAAUCUAAUCAUUUAAAUAAACAAAACUAAAUAACUAACCUGGUGCUCUAGUCUUUCUUGUCCUAACAGCUAACUCAUUCCCGAAUAGUCCUUGGGCAUUUGUGAACAAACUCACUUCGGCCACAACUUUUUCUUGCUUAGCAGGGUCUCUUGUUAGCCUUAAGAUGCAUUUAUACAAAUCACUCAUAAUCUCGGCAUCAUGCUCUAUUUCUGGCUUAUCAUAGAAGAAUUCCGGGUUCAAAAAGUACCCUGCUGCAUGCAAAGGCCGAUGAAGCUGAAUCUCCCACCUCUUAUCAAUGAUGUUGAAGAUUUCUUUGUACUUCUCUUCAUUUCCAUUAAAACUUCUCACAAUUGCAUCCUUAGCUCUAUUCAUGGCCUCAUAGAUGUAUCCCAUAGGAGCUUUUUUUUCACCAUCAACCAAACGAAGCACACGAACUAGGGGACCCGAAACCUUUAAGCAAAACACAAUAGUGUUCCAAAAUGAAGGCAUUAGAACUAUGUUGGCUAUAGUUUUCCCCUUCUACUCUUUUGCCCAUUUACUAUCUAACCAAUCUGAGCUUGUAAACAUCUUCCUCAAAUUGUUUUUUUGUUCAUGCAAUCGCGAUAAUGUGAUGAAAGCAGUUGCAAACCGAGUCUUAGCAGGCCUAAGCAAUUCCCUUUGUCCAGUAAACCGCCUCAUCAUGUUGAGUAGCCCUGAGCGAUUAUAAAUAUACCGAUUUAGUGAUAUAGCCCUCUCCAAUGUCCUCUUGAUGUUUGGUAGCUUUCCAAUAUCUUCCAACAUCAAGUCAAGGCAAUGUGCAGCACAUGGUGUCCACUACAAAUGUGGACGCUUUAAUUCUAACAACCUCCCUAUAUGAAAUUGUAGAUAAUAAAUUUACAUAAGUUCUCAAGAUAAAUAAUUCAAAUUUUAAAAGUAAAUAAAAAUUCAAGAAAUAGUAUUUAUUACUUGCUAUCACAUAACUUGAGUGAUUAUCUGUUAUAACUUGAAUAACAUUCUCUUCACCAACUUGCUCUACCCAUUUGUCAAGUAAUUCAAACAUCUUUUCUCCCGUCUUAAUCAUUGAAGAAGCAUCAAUGGAUUGCAUGAACAUGGUUCCCUUUGAACAAUUAACCAAAAAGUUCACCAAAGUUCUCUCUUUCCUAUCGGUCCAUCCAUCCGACAUAAUUGAACAUCCAUUUUUCCCCCAUUCCACCAUAUGAUCUUUCAUCAAAUCUUUUGUGAGAGCCAAUUCUUUCUUAAGGUUAGUAACUCUUACCUCAUGAAAAGUUGGUCCCUUCAUACCCACACCAUAUUGGCCAAUAGUCUCAAUCAUUGGUUGGAAACUCGGAUAUGUGACUGCAUUAAAUGGAAUAGCAGCCUCAUACAUCCAUCUUGUGAUAAGCGUGCAAGCUCUUUCUCUUGCUUCCUUUUUGUAGGCAUCAUUGAUGGUAGUUUGAUUCAUCUUUCCACUCCUUUGAUUUUGAACAACCAUCUCUGCAUUAGGAGUGAAAAAAUGAUCCAUAGGACCUUUUUGUCUUGGUUUUUUUGAAGAAAACGUCCUACCACUACUUCCUCCUCGGUUACUACCUCCACUAGAAAUGUUGGUGACAUUCGUUCUACUAUUAAUCUCCUCACCAAUAUCUUCAUCUUCCAAACCAAACAAAUCUUCAUUAACAUAUUCGCUCCCCAUAUUCAUUUGCUCUUUUUGAUUUUUCUUGGAACUCAUAUACUCUUCCAUUUCUUCUCUAACAUGUUCCGGACAUUUUCUAAACUUUUUAGCAUUUCUAUAUCCACCAACAAGAUGUUGUUUGUGUCUAUAGAUGCCUCCUUUGGUUACUUUCUCACAAAAAAUGCAUAUGAUGGUGUUCAAAUCUUUUUCAUUAACCAAACGACCAUAUUUCCACCCCGGAUCUCUUCUUCCACUUGCACUAGAGUCCACUUGAGUUUCACUCUCAUUAUCCAUCUUGCAAACAAAUUAUCUAUACUCCACAAUAAAAUAAUUAUAAUUAAAUUAAGAAAAAAAAUUGAAAAAAAAAUGCAUAUCACAUUAUCAAAUAUCACAUUAACAACAAAUAUGCAUGAGUGCUUUUUAUUUAUUUAUUUUUAUUUUGUAAAAUUUUCAUGUCAAAAACUCAAAAUAUAAUAUUUAUUUUUAAAAAAAAAAAAUUACCAAUGAGAGUUAUGAGGUAAGAAUGGAAAAAAAUGCAGAAAAGUGAAGAAAAAAGAAAAAUACCGAGGUUCGGAAGGUACGUGACUAUUUCCCCUAUUUUUCUUCUUCUUUUUCUUCUUCUUCUUCACUUCUCCAGCACAGAAGAGGCUAAGGCAAAAAAUGGCAGUGGUCUCGGGUUGAGAAAGACCAGAAAAGGGGGCUGGAUGGAAGGAACAAGUCAAAACGGCGUCGUUUUGGUCCCUGUUCACUUAAAUGAACAGGCUCCAAAACGACGUCGUUUUGGGCCCAAAAAAAAAAAAAAAAAAAAAGCUAGGGCUGCGGGGCGUCUCUGCAACCCGACUGGAGGAGGAAGAAGAAGAAGAAGAAGAACAAGGAGAAGGAGAAGGAGGAGUGCGUACCUGGUCGGACCGUCGGAGGCGACUCGGGCGAUCGCCUCGCGCCUUGCUGGAGGCGAGCGCCUUGCGCGCCUAAGCGGCGCCUUCGUGAAGGGGCGUCGCCUCUCUUCAGGCGAGGCGCCGAGGGUGGCGUCGGGCCGCCCCGAGCCUAGGCGCGCCUUUCAGAACUAUGUUAUAUAUAUAUAUAUAUAUAUAUAUAUAUAUAUAUAUAUAUAUAUAUAUAUAUAUAUAUACUCCUCUUAACCUUGUACACGUAUUUUAAAGUCAUGAAGACCACUUGAGCAUAGGAUGGAUAAUAUCUAUACGGUUGGAUGCAGGUUGUUACAAUAAUUACUUUUGAUUUUCCUUUCAUAUGUUUAAUUGCAUAACAUUAUUAUAGCAAAAUAUUAAUCUAUCAUAAUGCAACGUCUUGUAAAGCUUAUGUUGGGUGUCAUGAUUUGAUCUCUUGUCAUUUUUAUUAUUCUGAUUCAACAUCAUCUUAGCUUAUAAUCAUUUAUACACUUGAUGCAUGAGAAAUGAAGAUGCUAUAAAUUGUAGGAUCUUUUUCUCCAAUUUGUUCCUUGAUAUUUUAUAAUGCCAUGAAAUGUCUAUAUUUUGAUGCAGAAAGCCGUUCACACUCCAUCUCUCUCACUAGUUUUGCAGAACCAUUGCCACUAAGCACAUGCAGGCGUCAGAUGUGCGGCCACUUCCAGUGUUGGAAGAGACUUUGAACUACCUAUUAAACCUGUUGGAUGCCACAGAACAUCCUUUUGAAGUGGUUCAUGAUUUCGUCUUUGAUAGGACAAGAUCAAUAAGACAAGAUCUUAGCAUGCAGAAUAUCAUUAAUGAUCAAACAAUUCAUAUGUUUGAAGAAAUGGUAUGAAUUUCUUGAAACAUAAUCUCAAUUACCUUUUUUUCUGAGCAUUCAUCUCCUCAACAUACAAUAAGUUAGCCAACCCAUUGCUAAACACUCUCCUAGUUGGAGAAAAUAAUCAAAGUAUACAAGAGAUAAAAUGUUGAAUAAUUGAGUCAUUAUCCUCUCUUUUUGCUUUAUUGAAUAAGAUAAUUUAUUCGAUGGAGUCCAAAUGAGGUGAAACUGUGAUCACACAACUUGAAGCCUACUUUACAAUGGAUAAAUGAAUGGUCUGAUUUUGAAUCUUUCUUGGCACAUUAGUUAUUAUCCAAUCCAUUCUAAUUAAAUUAUCCACUAUUAAGUGUCUAUUUCCAGUCACCCUCUAAGUUAUGAAAGACCCAUAGAACCAAAGCAACUCACACCACCUGUGAUAGGAAUUGGUGCUCUCUUCCAUAAUGUCAAGUUUUCCAGUACACUUGCUGACUUUGUAGAAUAUGCCUACAAAAAGGGCUGCCACCUCCUAAUUCCCAAUCAUAGAAGUUUCUUAACCAUAUUUCAAAAGUUGUAUUUCCUGUUCCCUCUCUUAAAGUUUUUUAAACCUAUAUAUCUUUAUCCUAGUAAUUCGGAAAAAUGAGGAAAUUAUUUAACAAGAACUCCAUCAAUUUGUUCCUCAAAAUUUUAUAUAGUUUCUCUCUCUCACUUUUGAUUCAAAUUCUUGAAGCAAAGGAACAAAUUCAUGGCCAGUAACAUUUUUAGCCAAGCAAUAGAAUGCACGACAAGCAUGUAUAUGAAUGAAUUGUGUUUUUUAAUGAUAAUAGAUCAGAUAUUUUAAUCUCAUCCUAAAACCUUUGAGUUAACUAAAAGCCGCAUCUUAUGUUCUGACUUGUGGUUUGUUUCAUAAUAUAGGUGAAAUUUCAUAUUAUAUCCCACCACAAGCUUCACAGUUGUAGCAGCAAGCCAAGUUUUUCUUCAGUUCAUUACCUCAAUAUGGAGCAGCUGAAAAAGUGUCUAAUAUCUCUAUAUGCUCUAUACAAAGAAAAUCGAAAUUCAAAUUCUAUUUACAAGAAUGAACCUGAGUUCUACUCAUUUCACGUUCUUCUUCAUCUUGGCUCUAACAACCAACCAUUGGUGGAUACUUGCUUCCGUUGUUUGUUUGAGUUCAUCUUUUUCAGUAUCUCUUGCUGCCUUGUACUGGUUUCUGAAUAUGUUACUAUUUCUGUUUUGAAGGGAGAGUCACUCUCUUUGUGGUUGGGUCGUGUACCUUCUCUCAUUUUAAAGUCAAAGGAAAUGUGUUUUGCUCGGAGACUUUUAAGGUGACCGUAAAGCUAUUAUAGAUUCGACUUGCAUUUAAAUUGUUUAUAUUCAUUUUACAUUUAACUCAAUGUAGAGUGGUUCUGUUUUCCAAUCGAUUUUUUUCUCUUCUUUUAGUACCCAAUGUUAAAAAUUUUGUUUUCAUGAACUGAAAGAUCUGUCUUUUCUUGUAACAGAUUAUUUCGGAUGGGCAAUUAUAAGCGUUUCCUUUGUACUACAGCAACUGAGGCAUCUUAUUUACAGUACUACAUAAUUGAACCUUACAUCAAUGAGGUUGCUUAAAUAUGUUGAUUUUGCUAGAUUUUUCAGUUUGAAAAAUAUAUGCUUCUUUGUUCAUUUAUUGUUUUCCAAUUUCAUUUAUGAGAAUAUAUCUAAAAUCUAGACUCGAGUACUUGUGCUUUUGGGUUUUAUUUUUCUUUCAUUUUUGUUAGUAGUUGUACUUCAUUAUUCUUAAAUUUCUCACAGUUGUUUCUUUAUGUGGUUUAUUGCUCCUCACUUUCUUCAUUCAUCUGAAGUGUUCAAAUUCAAUUUGCUUGUUUCAUAAACCAGGUCUUAUUUAGAAGUUCUUCUCAAUUGCCUUUUUUAGUGCUUUUAAAGGACAUGCCUGAUUUAUAUAUAUUUUUGUUGGUUUUCUUUUGACCGUAAAAGGUUCGAGCAUUGGCAUUGUCAUGUGUAAAUUAUUGUGGCUACAAACUUCAUCCGUAUCCAAUUGCACACUUGUCCAAACUCUUGAUGAUGAAGGUAUGAUUGCAUUUACUAGCAUUAAAUUGCUAAAAUUUGUCAUCCAAAGUUCCAAUAUCUUUUGAACCUUGAAGGCUUCAUUUGCAUUUUUGUAGGAAUUAGAUGUGGAAUCAUUUUGCAAUGCUUGUGGUCUUGAGACCAGCACUGAUGAACGGGGAAAUAAGUUCUUAUCAACCAAGCAAACAAACUUCCAUUAUCCCAAGGAAGUCUUUCCAAGCUAUUGCCUUCUGGGUUUGGAACACUUUUAGAGGUAACAAUCAAUUGGAACUAGUUACUCUUUCAAACUUCUUAUUGUACAAAUAUAACCUGCAUGUGCAACCAUUUCUGAUCCCAUAAUUUCAAGAAUUUAUGACACCUUCUAGUGGUUAGUUUUUCUGGGAAUAGAGUAAAGCAAUCUAUUCACUCCCAGAAACUAUCGUCAAAGGAACAGUAGAUAACCCCGCAAGACCAAAUUUAUGUGUGUGCAUGGAGAUGCAUGUUUUCUGCAUCCCAAUCAUGCAGUGUUGUGCCAAAUGGAAUAAUAGCAGCUGAUGAUAAGUGGUAUUUCUAAAAUCUUCUAAGAGUAUUCCAUCUAUUGUAAUAUUGUUUUCUCAAAAUUGUCUUUGAGUCUUAUAUGUAAAUAUUAGACUUGACCUCUUGUAAGCUAUCAACUGAUGUUGUAACUUAACUUGAAAGGGAAAUUCUAUAAAUUUAGCCUUGGUUUGGCUGUUGGAAAGCAAAGAAAAAUUAGGUUAAUAGUGAGUUGAUUUCUUCCCUUCCCAUGGAUGUAAGCACAUUCUUGAAUCAUGUUAAUUACUUUUUGGUUUAUUUUGUUGUUUUGUUGUUUUGUUGUUUAUUGUUCAAUUGUCUCCGCAUAACAAGUGGUAUCAGAGUUGUUUCCAACACAACAGAUGAUUCCUGUGCUAACACAAAGUUUGAGGCUAAACGUAAGAUGGUAAAAGUUUCUAGAAUAUUUCCCUAUGACAACUGCCAAUAAAGGAUGUACUUAACAGAAAGUUCAUAAGGUGUUACAUGGCAAGUUGAACAAAACCAAUAGCUAGAGAUAUCUGAAAUAUUUGGGGCCACUGAUCCAACAAUAGCAGAGAAUAACACAAGAAGAGACCCUCUAAUCACCAUUUUUUCUUUGAUUCUUCUCUACAAAGCAUCAUCUUCUUUAUACAAAAAGACAACCCAUUGCUGAGCCCACAUUAUUCUCUACAUAUCCCAAAAAAGCCCUCUAAAUUUUAGGGCAUGGUGCUCUUUUUAGGGGUAUUUUGGUACUAAAUUUGUGGUAGUCUCUCAAAUACCUAAACUACCCUCCAGAUUUUAAGGCAUGGCCCACUCUUUGAGGUGGUAUUUUGGGUACUAAUUUUUGUUAGGAGAGGUUUUGGUGUGGAAACUGGAGGGCUUUACACACGUUGCAUGUAUUUUCUUUUGCAUGCAUUACACAUAGAUUGGAGUUUAUGCAGUUACUCACUUUUUGUUCGUCCAACAAUACUAUAGUGCCACGUCACCAUAUGAUGGGCUCUUUAGUCUUUUCAAACCCAAAAAAAAACACUAAAAAAAAAAAAAACUAAUACUAAAAGGAUUGCUAACUAGCUAUGUGAAGAUGAACCUCUAUAGCUAGCUUCUUAGAGGGACCAUAAUCGCUUAGGCCAGGGAAGUUUGAGGUGAUAAUAUGUCUGUGAUGCCCUUAGAUGUUUUAGGCACAUGUGCGUUACAUUAAUGUAUUCAAUGAGUCUAUAACCUUGAUUGACAGGUCCGAGUAAUCUUUGAAAUUUCAUUGUGGUGGGAAGGUUCCAUGUGAACAACACUUGCACAUGGGUUAGUUAAUCUUAAGAGACGGGGGAAGCUCAUCUAACAGCACACAAUGUGCGAGCUUUGAAAGGCAAUCGGGUUAACAUUUCUGAAUUGGGACAUGACAGCGGACAACAACAUUAGGUAGUCCAAAGAUGUCGUCAUAUUAAUUGUUAUCAAUAUUUUUAUUUAUUCAAUAGAGAUUGAGGAUUAAAAAAAUACCACAAAAAUUAGAAAAAACAAAAUUAAUUACAUGGCUUACAUUUCAAAUAUUUAAUAAAAUAUUGUAUGAAAGUUGAAUAUCAUACACUAUUAAAUGGUUGGAUUCUCUUCUUUAAUUUUUUUAAUUGUCUCAUCCUAUUAAAUUACUCAUCUAAUAUUAAUUUAUUUUAAAGGUGAAAUUAAUUAUAUUGUAAAAAACUUUUAACUGACCAGAGUUUGUGCACAACAUCUAAUAUAUACUUAAAUAUAAUCCUCCAACUAAGAAAUGAAAUCAAAACUUAAAAAUCAUUUAUAUAUAUAGAUAUAUGUUAUCAAGUUUAGGUAGUGAAGCAAUUAAUGUGGAUAUAAAAUUAAUGCCAAAACUUUUGAUUGUUCCUUCACAUUCUCCACAACCAAACAAAGGAUAUAAGAAAAAUAAAGAAAGAAAUUUAGGGUAGUUUGAUUUUUGUUCUCAUCUUGUUGUGAAGUUAAUAGAGGAAUGCUUGGGUUGGUGCUCAAUAGUUAAGUGACAGCAGGGUAUAAUGAUUCUUCCAAUCGUGUAAAUAUUAUUUGUUUUAAUUUCAAUGGAUCAUCGUCACUUUAAAUUGCAUCCACAUGGUUAAGAGCAACUCAUAUGUAUAUAAUAUCAUGAAUUUCUUCUUAUUCGAUACGGAAUAUCAAAUUAGGUAUCUUUCAAUUUUAGGUAUUGUGUAAGUGUUUCAACUCAAAUGACUUGGCUUAAUGUAUACUCAAAGCCUUGACAAAGGAGCGUAUAUGUAAUAAAGUGAAAAUUAAACCUUGUCGCCCUUCUAUCUCUAGUACUCCAUUAUCCCUUAAACAUGUGCAAAAAAAGAUAUACACCUUUGAUACAUUAAUUAAAAUAAACGAUAGAAAAAGAGAUUUUAUAUAUCCAUGUACAUAAUUUGAUUAGAUUUGUUAUAUAUGAGAGAGAGAGAAAAAAAAAAAAACUGUUUAGAUUAAGGAUCUCAUUAAUUAAUACCUAGAAAAUAUAAAAGAAUAAAAAAAGAUUAGAAGGUGUGAAUCAGAAGAUAAGACUACAUUUUUUAAUUAGAUUCAUCGAAAGAUGGCAUAUUGUAUGAACAUUUUUACUCUACAUAUAAAAACUUAUAUUAUGGUUGAGAUGUAUUAAUUUGUCAUAUUUUUGGACAUUUAAAGUAAUGAGUAAUUACACUAAAUUAAAUUAUUGACCUUAUUAAUCAAUACCUCAAAAGUAUAAAAUAGUAAUAAAUGAAUAAGACAAACUUCAUCGAAAUAUUUUUAUGGGCACAUUACGUAAAUAUUCUUAUUUAAUAAAAGUUUAUAUGUCAUUAAAUGAAUAGAGAAUUUUAACAUUAAUUGCAGUGCUAAGUAGAGGAGAUCUCAUAUUUAAGCUGUUGAUUAAGGCUUAUUACUUAAUAAUUUAAGUUGACUUUAAGUUAGAUUAUAUUUAAGUUAUUUACGUAAAAUUUAUUAUUUAUUAUUUAAUAUUUACUUUAAGUAUUAAAGUUAUUUGAUAAAGUUAAUUUAAAAAUCAUUUUAAAUUAUCAAAUUGUCAUAUUUACCUUCAUUAAUUUGAUAACUAGAUGCAGAUAAAUGAAACAAAAAAAAAAUUGAGAUUAAGAAUAAGUUAAUUAAUUUGAUUUAACACUUAAAAGUAACUUUAAGAUAUAAUAUUAAGUUAUUUUAUCAAAUAUAUUUAAUCUAUUUAAUAAUUAAAUUAAGUUAUUAAGUUAAUGAAUGAUUACCAAACACCUUAUAAGACCCAAAAAAUCGAAUGAGUUUUAAUAGUUUCCAGGAUGGGCAUGACUAGGUGGUGGUUCAAUGCUGAUUAAUCAUAAUUCAAUCAAGGCAAAAUAUGUAACAAAUACAUGUCAAACUGCACCAUCCAAAUGGGCGCCAAGAACGUUACAUUUGACAAAUGCCAUUAAACCUCGACAGCUACCAAUUACUUGAAGCUCAUUAACUUCAUCUUAAUUUGAUCCAAAUUGCAGAAACAUGUGAAACUCCAUGAAUCUAUGGUGCUAUGGUGGCCUACAUUCAUAUAACUGGGGACACUUUGGUUUACACUACAAUGACCCCAAACAGGGUUUGUAGAGACUUUAUCAAGAUCACUAGCUUCAAAAGACUAAGGAAAGAAAGAUGUUCUCAAAACUUGGAGUCAAAUUGCAGAUAAAGACCUAAAACUCCCACUUAACGUGUUUGAGGAAUUGUUGUUUCAUGGGGAUAAGCUGUUUGGUUUGUACAUGUCUCCUUGGUGAUACUUAGAGUUCGGCGAAGUAUACGUAUCCUUUGUGAUCUGGUUUGUAUAUGGGCAGAUGAAUGUUGAUGCCAGGUUCAUAUAUGUUUCUGAUAUAUAUCACCCUGGAAGGAUCUAGAUCAAGGGGAUGAGUUUCAAAAGCUUGAGUAGGUUUAAGAUGUUCCGAGAAUUGGUGAGCAUGAUAUAUAUCAAUAUGAUAUUGCAGAAGACAACAGAGCUUCUGAAAUUAAUAUGUCAGGUUCAAUAGUGGGAAAUCUUAUCAGCUGUCACUUACUGUAAUCGUAUGCUCUCAAUAUUCAUUUGUUGAAGAAGAAAAAAAAAAUUGCUUUCACACUAUUCAAUUACAAGAGAAUGUUCAAUUAUAGAAGAAAAUAAUAUUCGCUAGUCUCUUUCAACUUAAUCAACAUGCAGAGAAAAGCAGUGAAUAAUAACUUACAUACAUUGUCUCUCUACCCCUACUUGUUACUCAUCAGCCAAGCUUAUGGUAAUAUAAGCUUGGGUUCAUCUCUCUAUGCCACUGAUGAAAACUCCACAUGGGCUUUGCCUUUCUGGUGAUUUUGCAUUUGGAUUCCGACCCUCUCCAAGUGAAGAGGACCUAUUCCUUCUUGCUAUCUGGACUGCAAAUGGAAGUUAACUGGUGCCAAGAGGAUCAAAAGUUUGGGCUUACCACCAAUGGACAGCUUGUUCUCUAGAGGCUAAGAUAUAUGGAAGACAAAGACUGGUAAUGUGAGCAGCGAACCAGUGCAUGGUGCCAUGCUUGGAGAUGGAAAUUGUAUACCAGUAUAUGGGAGAGCUUCAAGCACCCAACUAAUACCAUAUUGCCAAUCCAGGGAUUGGUGUUGGAGCCUACUGUGCAGUUGCUAUUUUUGAGGACCUGAGGUUUGCAAAUGGAACUGGAAGCUGUUGGAGGAAAAGACUACCUCUUUCAAAUGGGAGGUUGGAUCAAACUGCUGUUUCCAGAAGUGCUCUAAUCAAGAUAUUGAAGUCCAGUGAACUAACUUCAGGCAGAUGCAAGCAAAAUAAAGCAAUUCUAAUACUCUCAGUCCUCUUAGGCCCCUCUGCGUUCUUCUUCUUCGUUUCUCUAGCUGCAAUUUCACUAGUUUUCUACUGCUUGAACCUCAAAAAUCUGCAGCUUUAUCACAGAAUCCUGAGUACAAGCGAUGGUAGAAGCCUUUGGCACUGUCUAUAAAGGGAUAUUACCAUCAGGUUCUGGAAAUUCUGUUGCUGAAAAGUUGGAGAAGGUGGUGGGAGAAGAUGAGAAAGAAUUCAAAGCAGAAGUGAAUGUGAUGGGCCAAACUCACCAUAAGAAUCAAGGACACUUGCUGCGUUACUGUUGUGAGGGUGAACACUGACUACUGGUGUUUUUUUUUUAUGCACAAUGGCUCUUUAUCAAGCUUCCUUUCUGGAGGCGCCCGAAAGCCCUCAGAACACAACUCUUGGAUGAUUCUUUUACAGCCAAAGUUGCAAACUUGGACUGGGAAAGCUUCUGAUAAGCAACCAGACUAGAACACUCACAGGCAUCAGAGGGACUAUGGGGUAUAUUCAGACAACUCGGGCAGCCUAUGUCUCUUAUAAUAACACGUUAUGAAGCAUCAGCUCAAUGCUGGGGUUCAAUCUGCAAAGCAAGGGAUUCAUCAAUGUUUCCUUCAAACUAAAUAAUAAGGAACAGAAAUGGAUCAUUCUGCAUUUUCAGUGGUGUUUGUUAUAGCAUUUAUACAAGAACUCUAGGGGUUUCUAUGUAUAACUUCAUUCCCAUUUUGUAUAAUCCAAAUCUCUUCAAUCGAUUAAAUGUAUAAAUGAAUCCUAUUCAUUGUUUGGAGUAACAACAAAAUUCUGGAAGACUGGGAAAGUUUCAACACUGGAGAGAAAACAAAAUGACAAGACCAUAAAUUCUGGAAGAGGGCUUUGCUUUCUAACCAUUACCAUAAUUUUAGAGCUCAACCCGGAUGAGUAAAUUAUAUUUCAGAAUGUUCAGGAGAUAAUUCUAAAGUGAUGAACCUUCUACUCACAGUUUCUUGUUCUUCUUGAACAGAGCAAUGAACAUCAAUAGUUCAGCACCCAGGAAUCUCCCCUCUCCAAUUCCUCCACUGGGAAAAGUCACCUUUCCAGUUAAGAAAAUCUUCAGGAUUAAUUUGAGCAAAACAUCAGAGUAUACAUCAAGAAAGCCUUGAUCAAAAUCAAAAUACAUCAAGAGCUGCCAUUUUCUUCUAUUUCCUCUUCCUUGAAUGGAAUGCCUUUUGGACUGAGGUGAUCAAUGGUAACAGUCUAACACACUCCUUAAGCUUUGAUUGAGGUCAACGGGGAUUGGCACAUUUAAUGACUUUGAAAUCAUAGCUGUGUGAAGGGAGGCAAACAUGAAUCUCAGGAUAAUCAACAAGUCAACAACUAUCAAUCAGUAAGGAAAAGGAAAAGGAAAUACCUUUGGAUAUUUACAAAUAAAAAAUUUGAGAGAGUCCAGCUGCUCUGUACAGAAAGGCUUGAGCUUAUUCCAUGGCCAGGCUUUAGAUGGUUCUGAAUUACGGAUGAGAGGAUUGAGUUUUCUUUCAUUCUGCAAUAAGAUUAAAAACAUCAAUGAAACACUAAAAGUUUAUAUAUAGAAGCCCUUUAAAGAUGAGAAUUGGUAAGAGAGCUCACCCAUGGUCUAGUAAAACAACAUCUGUUAGAUAAGUAACCACCAUUCGAUUGUCCAGCUAAUGCAUUUAGACAGUCCAAAAUAGCUAAAGACAGUCCAAAAACUCAUUUGACUAAUAAUUUUCUAAAAGCAGUAACAUAAAACCUGGAUGAAGAAUCCACCCCUCUACCUGACACCACUUCAAUACCAAAUAAAAUGUUACGAUGACCAUUUAUAGUCUUAAGAGACAGUGGGUGUUGUUUGGGCUCAAGACCAUCAAAAUUGGCACAGAAACAAGUACAACAACUAUCUAAUAAAGAGAUUUAUGCAUGUAACAAAUGCAAAUGAAAUAUGAUACAAGAAGUUCAUAGAUUAAACAAAAAUAGAUGGCAAAAUAGAAGGAUAAGGUCACAGACAGGACAAUAUUAAAAGAAAUUAUUAUUUUUCCGACCUGAAAAUCGAGGCAUUUAGAACAGUACAAGUUUGUAAGUAGUCCAUGGAAACCAGGGAACUUAUGCAGAUGUUGUAUUCUAUUGCAUAAGGCAAACACUCAAUACUUACAAGCAUAAUCAUGCCCAGAAAGCCAUGAAUCCCUUUUUGUUUUGCUUUUUUACCUAUUCUCAUCUCUUAUUGCCAGAAGUGCCCAGGAUGAUACAACCUCACCAAAUAAGUUAGAAACCAGCCCAUUCAGCAGGUUGAGUAGCCAGCUUGCCCUCAAUCUUCUUUGAGUCAACAAACAGUUGGGCAUUAUUGCCUCCAAUGGAGGGUCUGGAAAUAUUAGAGCCGGCAGCAGGGGUGGCUGUAAAACUCUCUGUUCCAAAACCCCAAGUUUCAGGGCCAGAAGUUCCUUCUUUGGCUGGUUUGUUGUGAUGGCCAUUUCGGGUCCUACCAGACUUGCUAUUGUUGUCUGGGCACCUGCCUCAGAGAAAGCCUGCCAAAGAUUAGAGUCUGGGCCAGGGGAAACGGAUUUUCUUUGCUGGAGUUCCCAGUCUGUUGCUUCAAUCUUUUCUCUGUGCUGUUACGAGAAGAAAACCUAUCAGACACAUGAAUGGGUACAAAAAGGUAAACUUCAGGUUUUGGUUGUAUUGAAAAGCACAGGAAACUUCACAAGAGGCAAAUUAUACCCCAGACUUAUUGAAGAAAAAUGAAGUACAAUUGACUUACCCAAAUGUCUACUUCCUCAUUUAUAGAUUUCCUCCUAAACAAAUCCCCACAUCUAGGACAGGAAAAGGAAGAAGCUGGGAGUCAACAUUUUUUCAACCAAAUGUCAGCACUAACUUAUCAAAAAACAUAGUUUUCCAUUCAACCUCGGGAGCUGUACUUUCUGAUAUUGUCUUCUUAAAGUGCUUAUGAUUGGUGGAGGUGCUUCCAAAAUCACACAACUUCCAUGAUGCAUUAGGGCCCAAUAGAAGAUUCUCAGCAUUUAUAUAAGAACUUCAGGGCUUAUACGUAUGAUCAUGUUACAGUAUAAAUCAUAGUGAACUGGUGGAAUUUGAUUAUUAGCCAACCUCAUCAAAAACUGUUUCACAGUUGAGGGGAUUGUUAACCUUGCCAUGGGCCAAGCAGCAAUUUCUGGAGAAGCUGGGUGACAAAGAGUACCAUCAUUUGGACUAGUUUCAAUGGAAAUUCCUCUGUUUUUAUACAUGAUAUCUUCAGCUUCAGCUUUUCCUUUUGCUUUUGACAUGGCUGAAACUGAUCCUGAAAUAAAAAAUCCCACGCAAGUAGAUAUUUAACAGAAGAGGAUCCGAAUCUCUUCAAUUGAUUAAUGUAUAAAUGAAAUAAUCAAAAUUUUUAGAUAAUUAUAGGGAGAUGAACCUUGUACCUCUGAGUUUCUUAGUCUUCUUGAACAGAGCAAUGAGCAUCAAGUGUUGAGCACCCAGGAAUCUCCCUUCCUAUACAGGGAAAAUCUGAACAAUCUAUCUUUCUUCAUAUUCCACUUCCUUGCAAAAGUCAAAACAUGAAGAAAAUAUCAUCAAAAUUGAGACAAAAAUAAGUGCAUCAACUGUCUCAAGAAGAGAUUUAUGCCUAUUGCUUACCUUUUGCAGAAGUCCACUUGGUUAGAGCACAUUUUACAUGGACGCCCAAUCACUGCAAGCUGCUGAACCAAAGGAGAGUUCAAACAUCUAAAAAAUUUGACUAACUCAAGUAUCAUAAAAUACUUCACAUGAAUUCUAAAUGAUCUCAUAUCUAAAAAACAUUGGCAUAAAAUUAUUGUUGUUUACCUUACAUAUUUCUUCCAUGGUCAUAAUCGAAACUUUGUUUAUCAUAACAAAUCUUCUAUGCUCAUCCUGAUUACUAACAAUGAAAAUUGAAAUGAAAAGAAAAAAAAAACACAAAAAAUGAUGAUUAGUUUGGUUUGAUAAAUUUAGCACACACAAUUCCCUUUUUCUUGCCCGAAAAAGGAAAGAGUAAAAAAAAAAAAAAAAAAUUAAUAAUUUUUCAAAACUAGCAAUUAUAAAUCUAGUUUGGUUCUCAUAAAAUUUAUGGGAAAGCAGGGAAAAAAAAGUGUAAACUUUUUCUCUUGUUUGAUUGUUUAUGGGAAAAUUGAGGGAAAAACAAAUAUUUAUGAGGAAUCUAUUUAACACUUUUGAGGAACCAAAAAUGUUUUAGAUGUUGUCAAAUCGAUAAUUUAAAUGUAUUUAAUUCCAAUUAAAUGAGUUUAAUCAAACACAUGAAAUCGUGAAUAAAAUUAUUUAAAAGCAUUGAAAUUCAAGUCAUUAAAGUUGUCCAUAAAAUUUGGUAUAUUGAAGCAAGAAAAAAACAAAGCAAUUUGAAUGACUUGCUAAUAAAGCAGCUAACUAGAAUAUGCCCUAGAGUUGUUCUGUGCCUUGUAUAUAAGAAAUAAACAAAGAACACAAUAAAAAUAAAAAUAAAAACCAGAAAAUAAAAUACAAACAAACGAAAUAUCCAUGGUUCUUCGUUAUUUUUUUCUUAAUUUUUCAAUGGUUAUUUUUGCAAACCACCAAAUCAAAACAGAGCAUGAAAAUGUGUUCAAUAUUUAUUUCAGGCUUGAAGCUUCAAGAAAAAGAAAAUCUUAAAUCAAAUAAACAAGACUAGCGAAUGAAUUGGAACUUGAAAGAAAAGUUCAUGCGCAAAAGAAUUACCUGACUCUAUAUUGGCGGAGUGGCACUUUGAUUAAUAUAGCACACCAUUGAUCACUAUUUUUGGAACGUGAGCUAUAUAACGCCAUUCUUCCCCUUUCUCAAAUUGACACCGUUUUUCCAGUAAAGGACACCCAUCGAUGACCAGAAAAGAGAGAGAGUCUGGAAGUCUUUCUUUUGUCAAGUAUUUGAGCUUACGACAGUUCAUGAUCACCAAUGUUUUAAGAGAGGUGAGGUGUUGAAGACCCACUUUUGUCAAGGAUUGGAGCAUUCGGCAGUAUACGAUCUCCAAAUUUUCAAGAGAGGUGAGGUGUUGAAGACCCCCUUCUGUCAAGGAUUGGAGCAUUGGGCAGUGUUUGAUCUCCAAAUUUUCAAGAGAGGUGAGGUGUUGAAGAACCGAUCCUAUCAAGGAUUGGAGCCUUGGGCAGUAUAGGAUCCUCAAUAUUUGAAGAGAGGUGAGGUGUUGAAGAUCCGUUUCUGUCAAUGAUUGGAGCCUCAAGCAUCCAUAAAUUCCUAAUUCUUUUAGAGAGAUAAGGUGUUGAAGAACCGAUCCUGUCGGGAACUGGAGCUCUGGGCAGUUUCUGAUCUCUAAUUUUAGAAGAGAGGUGAGUUGUUGAAGACCCCUGCUGUCAAGAGACUUGAGAUCGGGAAAUGAUUCAAUUUGAAGAGAAGUCAGAGAAGAGGGCAGCAAACACUCCUUGGGAAAUAAUUCAAUGUCUUCACAUCCACCUUGGAUUCUUAAACGAGUAAGAGAGGUCAGCCUUUGCAAACCCCACUCCACCUGGGGCGUGAGUUGGUUGCACUUCUUAAUUUCAAGUAUACGUAGGUUGGAAGGCAAACCCUCUCUCUGAAACAACAAUUCUGGACAAUCACAUAAAUACAACUCCUGUACAGAUGACUGUGUGUGUGCCAACGACCUAAGGUUGAAGCACCUAUCAAUCAAACAAGACUCUAAGUUGAGAGCGUGCAAUUCGAUAGAUUCAAGAUCAGAGCAACCAAUUAGACGCAGGGAACAUAAAGAUGUGGGAUCACCCUCUGAAACCAAAAUGGAGAGCUUCUCAAGCCCCUUAAGACCAUCGAUUGUGAAAUCAGUCAACUUGGGGAAGAUGCCUAAUGAGAAGGAUAACGUGAGAGAAUCAUCGAUAACACCACCUUUGAUUUCUAGACUUUCAAGGACUGGGAGAUGGCAUCUGAACAACUCAGGUACGAGAAUCUCUAAUUUCGAGCACUCAGAGAUGAAUAGUGAUUUCAGUGUAGUGGGUAAACCAACUUUGUGCAGGGAUCUAGAAAAACUGCAAUCAUAGAUUUUCAGAUCAUGUAUGUUGGUUUGCGAGAUUUCCUCCUCUAGCAGAGACUCCGCAUUAUCACAUUCUCUAAUUGAGAGCUGGUGUGGUGCCAUUGGAAGUUGACUCCACUGAGACACAUCUAAAAUUUCAAUUUCUGAAGUUUGAAGAGCUGUGAAGUCACAACCUGCCAUUUGCAACUGCAGUUUACCGAAAUCCACCAUCCUCAACUGACGAAUUACAGGAACUGUGAGUGAAGCCAUAAGCAGUUGCGGACAUUCAUGAAUUUGAAGUUCCACCAAUGAAAGAAGCUGUUCUGGUAAUUUCCCAGUGAGUUUGGGACACCUUCGUAUAAAAAGCUUUUGGAGACGAGGGAAUUCUCCACAACAUAACCAUUUCUCCCAGUUCUGCAUAUCCUCAAAUGAUAGUGUUUCUAGGAAUUGAAAGGAAGCAUUCCCAUAGAACUCAUCACCCACACACUCUACUCCAUUCAUCCUUGAGAUUUGCAGAUAUUUAAGCUGGGUUAGCUGUCCA
Molecule: long non-coding RNA, 91831 nt
Filed under: Vitis vinifera (wine grape)
Lineage: Eukaryota; Viridiplantae; Streptophyta; Magnoliopsida; Vitales; Vitaceae
Description: long non-coding RNA (VVIN_LNC006929)
Source: RNAcentral